GCCUCAAGCUGUAAAACUUCAAUAGCUGGAAGGGCAUUCAAAAAUCUGGCAAUCCAUGCCCAACCUUCUUCAAUUCCAUGCAGGUUACGGAAACCCUCAACUUCAGUCUAAAAAAAGACAAUAAUUUUCCUGUCACUUGUGAUCCUUCAAACUAGAAAAGAGCAUGGAGUAACUUCUUCUUUUUUUACAGGUAGAAUGUACAAUAACUUAAUCUUAUAAGACUAGCUAUUUGUUUUCCAUGGCUGCUAAAAUCCUGCACAACACACAAAUCGUCAGUUACUGAUCAUGAUAUAAUCCCUCGUGUUAAAAUACAUAUUUACGUAGGUAGUUUACAAUACAAAAUGAAGAUCAAAUGAAAAUAACCACUACGUAGGUAGUUUACGUUAAAAUACAUAUUUACGUAGGUAGUUUACAUGACAAAAUGAGUCCCGAAUCAUAUUUUCGGGUCGAAUCCGAAUCGAGUACCGAACUACUCGAACCAAUUUUCACCCCUAGUCUUGGGGCACACAGACACUAGCGCCCAGUGUCAUCGCUCGACCUACUAGUGAAUAUGAUCCUCAUCGCCAAGACCACUAGCACCCAUAUACUCAUAUGCCUUUGAAAUCACGCCCCUAUUCGCCCCCAAACAUGCGUGACACUCAACAUCUCUACCCACACUUGCGCCCAGUACCCUUUUACUCCCAUACCAACGCGUAAAUGCUCCGCGCACUAUUAAUUGCACCAGCUUUGCUUAUAAUACUUUGGUAUGCGCCUGCGCAUGCAUGUCCUCAAACGCUUAACAAUCGGGAUAGGGAUUGGGUGCUACGCUACGCAUUUCCAUGCAGACAUUUAGCCCCAUAACCUAAUCGUCCUUUCCCCUUCACCCGAAGCACCAGCACUAUUUCUCCUCCGCGCUAGUGCACCCAAUCCAACCUCGCACCCAACGCCUUCUUCCAUGCGCCACAGUUCUUGUGUUCCCCAAUUCACCAGCUCCUAUGCGUUCACACCAUCCAUACCCAUGGGCCUUAGCACCUACUUAAUGUAGGACAAAGUGGGAAGAAAAAGUAAGAGUACCUAUCUCUACAGAGAAUCGAUAAAGAAACACAAAACAAAAGCACACAACAUGGAUGGUCUAGCAAUCAAGUUAGUAGCUAUUUCAAACAUGGAUGGUCUAGCUAGAGAUUAAAAUAUUGCACGAGGCAAAACACCUUAAAGAUAUCAGACCCGACAGCUCACACAGCCUCUUCUUUAGUUUCUGUUUUUUAAAAUUUUAAUUUAUUUUAAAAAAAAAAUCCUCAAUAAGUUUUAAGUAGCUUGUUAAGUAAACCAAGAUUAGAAGCACAACUUAAAAGAACAAAAGCAAAUUCCCCAAUGUGUCAGAGACAUUCCCACCUGUAAAUAGAAUAAUNNNNNNNNNNNNNNNNNNNNNNNNNNNNNNNNNNNNNNNNNNNNNNNNNNNNNNNNNNNNNNNNNNNNNNNNNNNNNNNNNNNNNNNNNNNNNNNNNNNNNNNNNNNNNNNNNNNNNNNNNNNNNNNNNNNNNNNNNNNNNNNNNNNNNNNNNNNNNNNNNNNNNNNNNNNNNNNNNNNNNNNNNNNNNNNNNNNNNNNNNNNNNNNNNNNNNNNNNNNNNNNNNNNNNNNNNNNNNNNNNNNNNNNNNNNNNNNNNNNNNNNNNNNNNNNNNNNNNNNNNNNNNNNNNNNNNNNNNNNNNNNNNNNNNNNNNNNNNNNNNNNNNNNNNNNNNNNNNNNNNNNNNNNNNNNNNNNNNNNNNNNNNNNNNNNNNNNNNNNNNNNNNNNNNNNNNNNNNNNNNNNNNNNNNNNNNNNNNNNNNNNNNNNNNNNNNNNNNNNNNNNNNNNNNNNNNNNNNNNNNNNNNNNNNNNNNNNNNNNNNNNNNNNNNNNNNNNNNNNNNNNNNNNNNNNNNNNNNNNNNACCCUAAACCCUAAACCCUAAACCCCCUAAAACUCCUAAAACUCCUAAAAACCCUAAACCCUAAACCCUAAACCCUAAACCCUAAACCCUAAAACUCCUAAAACUCCUAAAACUCCUAAAAACCCUAAACCUUAAACCCUAAACCCUAAACCCUAAACCCUAAACCCUUUGCACAAUACAUGUUUGUGGUAUUGCCUAAGUGAAGUCGAUUUCAUUUUGCGGUGGAUUUUACUUGGAUUGUUGAUUGUGAAAUUUGUUGGGUUGACUACAAUGGCUUCAAAGCGUCAAAGGGGAGCUAGUUCACGGUCCUCCCAAGCUUAUGACCAUAUGAGAUCUAUUAGUGAGGAGGCAUCCGAACGCUUCCAUAACAUAUUGACGGGGAAGACAUUUGUUCUACAAAGGGGUCUUAGGUUGGAUGAGACUCGAGACGAGGAGAUGAGCGUAAUGAUUAUGGAACAAAAUUGAUUUGAUGUAACAGAGCAACCGGACUCAAUUGUCCUUGGUUAAGGAAUUUUAUGCAAACGCAAAAGAGGCGGUGAUUUGUGUGGUGCAAGUUCGUGGUAAAUUCGCAUCGUAUGCUCGCACGGUGAUCAAUUCUUAUUUCAAUCUACAAGACAUCAUGUUUGAUGACUAUUUGUAUUAUGACUAUGAUCGAUAUGACUUGGAUUUGGUGAUUUGUCGACUAUGCAAACCGAGAACCACAUGGACUUUGAAGCAAAAUACUAACGAAAGAGUGAGUUUCCCGCACACUGCAUUAAGUCGUUAUGGGAAAGCAUGUUACAGUUUCAUCUGUGCUAAUUUAAUGCCAACAAGGCAUCAAAAUGAUGUUACCAAAGAGAGGAUGAUCUUGUUAUACGCCAUAGUGACCAACAAGAAGGUUGACGUGGGAUUGAUUGUUAAUGGGUCCAUUGCUAAAUAUCUAUAGGGAAGUACGACGGGUGGACUACCUCAUUCAUCGUUGAUCACUGGGUUAUGUAGACAGACAGAAGUACAGUGGAGUACUGACGAGCUAAUCCAGUUCCCUAUGGCGGUAAUCGAUCAUGCCACAAUUCAAAGGUAUAAGGUAUGAGAAAUAUAUUUCUUGCACCCAAGAAGUUUCUUGCACCCAAGAAGUGAGUAGAUAUCUCAAGAUAUGGAUGAUGACCCAACAGAUACGCCCGAGUUGGGGUGUUCAUCGAUAAUUUACCGUACUGAACCGGACCGGUUACCGAAUUCAUCCGAAACUGAGGACCGGUACCAAUUUUAUCUACUUUUGUACCGGUUGUUGUACUAUAUAUAUUUACCUAAUGAAGGGCAGGGCCUAAAAGGCAACAAAAAUCCCCAUAGAUACACAUCACAGUAAAGGAUCUUGAAAUCACACAGAUGAACACUUGAGUUAUAAAGAUAGUAUUCCACAAAAAGUUUUUCUCGUCUUAAGUUCCACAGCUUGCAAUGUUCAAAUUAAUAGCAAUAUAUUACACAAAUAUCCCACAAGAACCCCAUUUCAAUAUAUUUACUUACCUACAUUUAUAUACUAAAAGUGAAGUAAAAGGAAUUAGAACACAAACUUUCAAGAACUUAAGAGAUGUAUUCCACAAACAACACUGAUAACAACAUAGAACCAAACAUCUCAUGUACUUCAUUGCAAAUUAUAAGAUUUCAGCAUUAACCAGAGCAAACUGCUAGGGUUCUUCUUUAUAUCCAUAAUCUGCUUUUCAAUUGAAUUGAUACUAAAACAGAGCAGGUAAAUACUAUUGUAUCUCUGAUCUCUCUUACUUUUUGAGUUAAUUGUAUAAAUAAAUGUAGUGAUUAAUUUUCAUUUUUGAAAAUUACCACCAGCAGCAGAUCAUAAUAUAUGGGCAAAGUUAAGUUUUGUUAGGAUAUACCAAUUUGUCACAAGGAACGAAGAAGUAUUAUUUUGUUAUAAAACAUUUUAUAUGUCCAAAAUAACGGAAAAAGGUUUAGGGAAAUGCUGAAGUGGGUAAAUGCCCUUAACAAAAAUAAGUUGGCAUCUAACAUUGCACUUAAAUAGACAACUUGCCCCUCUAACUAAGUUGUUUCCAGAUUAGUGCAAGCAUCUAAGUUUGAAAUUGCUAAUCUAAUAAUAAUAGAUAGGACUCCUAAAAUUAUCCGUUCUGAGACACAGGACGACUUUUGUAAAAAAAAAUGUUAUAUACACUUUUACAAAUAGCUUAUAAAAAAGAUCAAUAGAGAAAUAAUCCACAAAAUUGAGAAAUACACAUUUUUUAUUAACUAAUUUCAAGUAAUACAUUGAAAAGUAAUUGGUACAUUGUACUUACGCGAAUCACGACAACAUGUUGGGAAAUCCAGUUCAACGCAUCCACUAGUCUCCUAAUCUCCCCUUUUUCUACCAUUUCAACAACUCCCAUCCAAACAACCUCGGAGUUGAGCAAAGCCACGAAUUAGGAGAGUUUACGCUUCUCCCAGAAGAAACCGAGAAAGAAACCGCCAAAAAAAAAAGCGCAGAACAGCCGGAAACGUUCAUUACCGCACGGAACCAUAUAACCUGAGGGAGCCUGAUAACCCUCCCAAAAAUGGGGCUCCGACCCGACUGUACGAACUGUAAAAUCACCAAACAGUAACUGUACAGCAACUCCGAACAGCAGGGGAGGCCUAACAGCAGGGAAAGAAGAGCGGCGCGUGACAGCGCGUCCGACCUCCGAUUUGGUCGAGCUUCUUCCGGCUAGAAAGGCCCGAUCAGCCAUAACCAACCUCAAUUACAUCACACUCAAAUAUUCCAACAAAAUCAGCAAUAAAAACAUAUAAAUUGCACCGCCUGAAACCAAAGCCCCAAGUCAAGAUGGAGAAGCCAAGUGAACUGUGGCUUCUUACUUGGUCCUGGGUGUCCGCAUGUGGCUGUAGGCCUCAUUUGUUUAGAACUAGUAGUUUUAUAUGGUUGAAGCCUUUGUGUCACUAAACAAUGACAAGAAGAGUAUUGUUUCUACUUGGUGAUAUAUUUAAGGCGCCUGUGUUUGUCUUUUGUCACGGUAUAGUAAAAUACUAAAAUGGAUGCUGAUUUUUUUUUAAUCUCUUUGUUUGCUCACUCUCUCUCUCUCUCUCAAUUUCACGAAUUAUGCUUUUCGACAAUAAAAUAUUAAAGAUAAUAUAGGAGAAAAAUAAAUAAAAAGUUAGGAUUUGAGGCUUAAAAUUGAAUAAGAAUAAGAAUAAAGAUAAACUAUACAUGUCUAAAAUAUGGGAGGUGUCGUUUGUGAAAUCAUGAAAGGAGUAGAGCGAGAAAAGGGAUGGAAAUUGAUUUUGGUGAAAAUUAAAAAGAUAGACUGUGCGAACUGUGCGAAAUGGAUAGUUAUUUUAAGAUUUAUGAUGAAGUUAUUUUUUUUUCCACCUUUUACAAGGCAAAGUUGGUGAUAAAAUGAAAAAAUAAGUUUAAAUUCAAUGUUAUGAAUGAUUCUAAUAAAAGUUCAUUUUUUGUUUUCAAUACUAAAUCUAGCCAUACAAUGUGGCAUGAAAGAUUGUGAUAUGUUAAUUAUAAGAAAAUUAAAAGAUUAACGAAUUUGGGGACUAAUUUCAAAAUAUAAUAUAAACAUAAAAGUUAAAUGUAAAAUAUGUGUACAAGCAAAACAACAGAAAAAAUCUUAUAGGUCCAGUCCAAAGAAAUUCAAUUGUUUUAGAUCUUAUACAUAGUGAUGUUUGUGAUUCAAAUAUACCUCCAACUAGAGCCGGUAAUAAGUAUAUUGCCACUUUCAUAAAUGAUUAUUCUAAAUAUAAUUAUGUUUAUCUUAUUAAAACUAAAGAUGAAGUUUUCGAUAAGUUCAAAAUUUACAAAGCUAGAGGUUGAUAAACAAUUAGAGAAGAGGAUUAAGGUUCUUAAAUCUGAUAGUGGGUGGAGAAUGCAGGGAAAAAGACAGAGUUUAAUCAAUAUUGUGAGGAUAAUGGAAUAAUACAUCAAAUAGCACCUCCAUAUUCACCCCAAUCAAAUGGUGUAGCGGAGAAAAAAAAUUAGAAUUUUGAUGGAUACGGUCAGUGCAAUGUUACUAAGGUCCGGAGAACUCGAGAAUUUGUGGGGGAUACAAUUUUAACUUCUUACUUUAUUUUGAAUCGAGUAACCAUGAAAGAUGAUGAAAAACCCCCUUUUUGAGCUGUGGAAAAAGAGAUCUCCUAAGCUAAAUUUCUUGAAAGUGUAGUUGUGUUUAUCAAAGGAAGCCAUGCCUGAACCAAAAAGAAAGAAAGUAUGACCUAAAACUUAGACCUCAUAUUUAUAGGAUAUGUUCAAAUAGUUAUGCAAAUAUAUUUUGUACGUAAAAUAGGUAACAUUUUUUUAUAAUUGUAUCCAUAAAAUGUGUUCUAUUAAAAAAUAUACAAAUUUUAAGUGUGUGUGUGUAUAUAUAUAUAUAUAUAUAUAUAUAUAUAUAUAUAUAUAUAUAUAUAUAUAUAUAUAUAUUUACUCCUAGUUUGUUGAUUUUUAGUUUAACUGAGGAAAUGCAAAUUUAUAUACUACCAUAAACAAAUAAAAAUAGAAUAUUGUUAGAAAACAAAAUUUUGGCAAAUGAGAAGAGAGUAUAAUCUUCUUGUGGAAUGCAAUAUGGUAACUUAUCCUUCUUGUUGCAACUAAUUGUUCAACUCAUACAAUAAUAUCACAUGUUUCAUGUACCAUUCCAAUUCAAAUGAGACAAUGUUGUCAAAACUAUAUGACCUCUGAUAAAUGAAAAGUCCGUCAUCAAGGAAGCCAAUGUAAUAACAAUUAAAGUAAUAAAUUAUCACUAAACUUAUAUCCCAUUAAAAAUAUAAACAUAAAUUACUACCUCCGUCCCAUAAUAAGUGCCUUUUUAGCUAAAAUCACACAUACCAAUACACAAGCUAAAAUGGCAAAAAUACCCUUAAUAUAUUUUCUUUGAAGUUGAAGAGUUAAUGAGUGUCAUUUAAUUGUAGUGAUGGUAAGAUACAAUAAAUACCAUUGAAUGCAUAAGGGCAUAUAUGAGAAAAUAUUGCAAAAAUUGUAUUAGAGUUCUAACACAUCACUUAUUUUGGAAAAAACUAUUAAGCCUAAAAAAACACUUAUUGUGAGACGGAGGUAGUAUUAUUUUUUGUAAAUGUUUCCCUUUUGGAAGACUACAUAUAGACAGACACAUAAAGGGAGGGAAAUUUUAUAAAGACGAAGAAAGAGUAUACUUAAACUAGGGGUUCAGAAAGUUUCAUCUCAUUGGAACUUUCUUCUCGUGUAUGAGGCUGACGGAAGCCUACGAGUUCAAUCCCAGCCAUUGUCAUGGCCAACAUACAUAUCUGGGUCUGUUUUAACCAGAGCUCGAGGCUUUCCUAAGUAUCAAGCUCUUCAAGUUGAUGAGAUUGCUCCUCCACCUUAUCUCUAAGGCUAGAAACCCCUAGAUCAGCCAACGUCAAUGAUUUUUCAACUACCAUGGUAGCAUCUACUGUUUCUUCUUUGAAUUUAAGUUUAUUCUUAGAUCCAACCAUUGCUUGCUUCGCCUCUUCAAGUUCACCUUUCUGUGUUGGUGGGUUGUGGAUCAUUUAAAAGACCAUGUUGAAGUGAAGGUGUCAGUUGAUACAAUUGGAGUUUUUAAAUGAAUUUCUGCAGCAAUAGGUCUUAUUGCAGAUAUUGAUGGAGAAUCUGGUGUGUCUGCAUGGCCAGAUGACUUUUUUGAAGUAUUGUUCAAUUUACUGCAAGAUGGAGGGUCGGAAUCUUGAGAUAGGACCUGAUUUUUUGAUUGUGAACCAAGCAGAUGAGAAAACCAAUGGUAUCUUUUUUGAGGAACACACUGCUGAAUAGUACUUCACACUGGAAUCUUCAUCCCGCAAGGUAAAAUUCGAUUUUUCAGAAAAAAAAUCCACAGGAUGUGCGCCCAGAAGGCCAUUGAAUUUGUGGUGAUGGAGUUUCCUGUCCAGAGGCUUGAUGUGCUAGAGAUGAAGGGGGUACUAAUGAUGGCAAAGGCAUCAAUUGAGCCUCCUUCAAAAGUGAAGCUGCAGUUGUUGCCAAACCAGAUGCUUGUAGAUGUUCAUGGAUAAGGAGUAGAAGUUCCCUGAAUAUGAAAAGUUCAAACACAUGUUACAGCAGGGGGACAAAAAAACAAAUCAAUUGAAGAGUAGGAAGUGACUGCAUCUAUUCUCAGGAACAAUAAAUCACCAAGUACCUGGAAUGGUAAGUAAUAGGAGUGGCAGCAGCUAUAGCAGCUCUCUCUAUGCACCUCAAAGUAGGUGUAGCAGCAUCAGUAGCUGCUAAUGUACUUGCACUCCCGGAACUAGUUACUAUCUAGAAUUCAUUAAAAAUAAUUCCAACAUCAAAACUCAUGCUUUGAAAGACAAUAGGACAGGAUAGAAUGCAGGGUAACAAAGCCAAUUUUUUUUUUUUACUAUGUAUGCCAACUACUGCCAAUUUUUUUGAAGUGCGGUUCGGCGUGGGCAGGCCUCCAUCGCAUGGAUUAUUACCAACGAUGACAAUAAACAUUUCCUAGAUAUUUCAAGCUUACUCAGGAUAGUAACAAUGGUAUUUUAUAAUAUUACUAGUAAUGACUGCUUCUUUCACCAGUUAAAAGACAACUUCUGAAGUGCAUUUUGACAGUAACGAUAUAUAUUUCCAUCAAAAGAUGAAAGCGUAAUGACAAUUUAUCAAAGCAGAUUUAGCAUCAUGCAUCUUUCACACAAAGUUUACUCAUUUCUCAAGUCGUCCAUAGGAGUGUUUUAAGUGGUCAACACAGUUUUCACGCACUUCUACAGACUAGGUAAGAAAUACAUGUGCAUGCAUCCCAAAACAUGUGCUUACACAAAGAAUGUUGACAAUAUGUAUAUGUUUCUUCUGUCCAAUUAACGCAAACCUUAUUCUUCUGAAAGCAUAGACUCACCAAUCAACUACUUCCAAACAUGACAAAAGCAAUUGAUAUUCACAAGUGUGGUUCAAAGUUUCGGCUAUUGGCGUAUCGGUGAGGUAUCGGCCGGAUAACCACAACCUUGGCAUGAAUCGCAAAACACCUAGCAGAAGAAGCAUGCUAGUGAUGGACACCUUUCAGGAAACAACAGUGCACAUGGACCUUGGAAGCCUCUUGAACCAACACGUUGAAUAUUCCUUUAUUACCUUGGAGUGGAAUCUUAAAACUGAGAGUUACAUGACUAAAAAAAGGGGGAAAGAAACAGAAUCCAAGGUAAAGCUACAAUUUUUCCUUUUAUUUCAAGCUCACAAAAGGGAAAAAAUACCUAAAACAGAAAGACGAAUGCUUAAAGGAGUGUGAAACACAAAAUCAAGAACUGAAUGACCCAAAAAGAUAAAAGCUAGACCAGCUAGCAACGAUACAUACACAAACAAAGACAUGCACACAAACACGAGGAGGGGGACGAGGAAAAGAGGAGUAUUUAGGUACACGUCGACCUAAAACCACAUCUAACAAUCAAUAAACCUUAAAAACCACAAAUGUGGAGGGAGAGAAAGAGGGGUUUUCUUCUUCUUUAUCUGAGAUAGUGUCCUGAGAUUUACCUGAGAUAGCGAGAAACGUUUCCGAGUUUCAGUACUUACCCCAAAAAUUUAAACUAAGAACAAGGGAUAUUUGGGGAUAAAGAAACAUAAGAGAAAGUUUGAAUUUUGGAAGUCUGAAUGGAUAAAUAGAGUACAAAAAGGAGGGAAACGAACAAGACUAAAGAGUGCAGUGCCAUGCCCUUAUCCUACGAAGAUAACAUAUGGCUGAAAAUAUAAAGAGAAAGUUUGAAUUUUGGAAGUCUAAAGGAUAAAUGUAAUACAAAAAGGAGGGAAAUGGAGUACAAAAAGGAGGGAAACAGACAAGACUGCAGAGUCACAACCACAAAGUUAGACUAUACUGAAGGAUGAACUUACAAGAGGUAGCCACCUAGCUUAGCUGGUAGGAUAGUAAAUAGCUAAUUGUUGAAUGAAUGGAUGGGUUCCACCGUUUGAACAAACGUCAAAUAAUUAGGGACAAAUGAAAAACUCUAAAACGUUAAAUAAUUAGGGACGGAGGGAGUAAUGAUGUUGAAAAUUUAUCAAUAUGAUUCAUAAAUUUGCAACAUCAUUACUCCCUCCGUCCCUAAUUAUUUGAUGUUUUAGAGUUUUUCAUUUGUCCCUAAUUAUUUGACGUUUGUUCCAAUAUGGGUGCACUGCAGGAGAGACAGAGAGUUCGAGAAACAUCUAGCAGAAGAAGUAUGCUAGUGAUGGACACCUUUCAGGAAACAACAGUGCACAUGAACCUUGGAAGCCUCUUGGUUAACUAUAUUGUUUUCAACCUAAAUUGCCAAGUCUAGUAAGAAUUAUAUUUUUAUAGUCAUAUUUACAGGUUUUUAAGUACCUGGUCUAUCUUAAAGAGUACUAUAAAAAGAAUAGACUGUAAAAUGCUUUAAAGAAGUUGUCCCAGACUUGCAAACUAAGUGCUACAAUGCCAAAAUUCAUAACGCUGCCUUUGGUUUGCAACUGUGAUGACAUCUGAGAGUAUAUGAACUUCUCAUGAUGUGAAAAGAUAAAUAUUCAAUUCAAAUAAAUGAAAAUCCUGAAUUGAUCUUUACUACUUCUAUCGAAGAAAAAACCAUGCAAAGUUGUCCCAUAUAUCAUACUCUUUAAGUAAAUGAGAUAAUGACAUAUUUCUAGUCAGAUUGUGUUAUAAGAGGUUAAAUUCCAAUUUAUCCUUCAUGAAGUGAUGGAAUAUCAAUUUUAAUGUUAGAUCAUACCCUCAUGAAGUGGACUAGAGGAGCACAAGUCAAUUUAAUGUUAGAUUCUACCCUUGAGUUGAACAAUAAUCAGAGCAGUCAAGACUUGAUAAUACUGAUAUUAUUUUAUUUAUUUAUAUAGCUAAAAUGUGCAACAAUAAAUCAACAAAGUCGUGAAACCCAUAGAAACAUUACUUAUUCAAUAAAGCAGAAGAGAACAUAAAAGCCUCAAACCAACGCUGAAAGACUACAAAGAAAACCUCAGGCUCCAAACAAAAUUCACUAGACUCAUAGGUCAAUGACAUCUAAGCUUCACUGUGUCAAUAUCUAAAUGUAUAAAGACCAAAUAAGUAUCCUUCCAAGAGGUGUAAAUGUGAAAUAGAUAGCCUUAAACCCCUAAUACACAUUUGAUGACUCAUAGGUCUUGCUAUUUCACUUUUUAUCUUUUACUUUAUCAGAAAUUCAGAACAUAUUUAAUUUACCAGGACAAUCACAACUCUUUCUAUCAACUGAAGGAAAACCUCUUCGAAGUUAUAUAUGCUAGAACAUGUGUAGGAUAUUGCCAAGUUUACAAGCACCCGUGUCCCAACUGGAAAAUAUUUUGGCUUCAUUUUAAAAGUGAAAAUGAUACUACUACAAUACAAGCAACAACUACUGAAAUCCAAGACUUGGUUUAAAAUAGUGGCUAAGAUGUUGACAAAUUGACUCAAGUGUGUUCCUUUGAAUUUUAUUUUCGGUUGACACAAGUAAAUCAGAUAUUAUUACUUGUUGUGACUUGUCCAUCAUACUACAGUAAUGGAAUUUUAUUGCCAUUCCACUUUUUUGAUGGACAAUUCAAGAGGACCAAACACCAAAUUGUUGCAGAUUUCUGGCAAUGUGUAAUAAAAGGAUGAGAACUUACCCGGUUGUAGUAAACAUCUGCAUCAGUUUCUUAUGGUUGGAAUGGCAUCGGUAUGAGGAUAUGCUAUGACUUCAUCCUUUACAGCCUAUCGCAAAGAUGAAUGAACCAAGAAAAAGGUAAUUCUGUUGCACAUACCAUACGGUCAUUUGGAUUCACAGCCUGCAGCAUGGAAGAUAAAACAUCCAGAACCUCGCGCAUCGAGCUUAUGCUUGACAAACUUAUGUGAAAAGAAUAAAACAAAUAAAAGGACUAGGUGUUAUAUAGCAUGAACGGAAAAAUGAGUCAAAACCUCACCUUAAUGUUUCCAUCUCAGAUGACAUGGCUUCAUCAAGCCUCGUUGAAGAAUUGCUUGGCAUCCCAUAACCUGCAUGAGCAUGUCCAACUGUUGGGUGGGCAACAGGUGUGAAUAUCAGAGCUGAAUCUGAUGUACGGUGGGGAAAUUCAACUCCAGAGCGCUGCCAUGAAUAGUAUAAACAACAUAUAUUAAAGUCACGCCAUCAAUUAUCAACAGGAACUUCAUAUUUAAAUAAUGAUGUAUACAACUUUUAAACUUGGAAUAGCAUAUAGAAGGAAUAACACAUAAAAAGACCUCGCAAAAGGAAUUAGACAUCUGUAAAUAAAGCUGAAUAAUCUAUUUUCUCUUUUCUAAAACAAAUAUGCAAGUUUUCAAGAGUGCUGCAUUCUAUAUGUGCUUCAAUUCUUUAUUGCCAUGAUCACCAAAUAAUUCAAUCUUUAAUCUGCAAAUAAAAUAUUUGCAAAAGUGAGCACAACGGCUCAACAAGUUUAACAGUUAAUACAUUUCACAUAAUUCAUCUUUUUUUUCAAGCUUUGCAUUUUAUACAUACUUCAUAAUACUCAUGUUUCGCAUUUCUCAAAUUAUAUAAUUCACGUAGAAAAAUUAACUUAAAUAUCAACUAGAUAUCAACAGUUAUUAUCACAUUAUUGCACAUCAAAACAGAUUCAUAAGAAUUUCAUAUAAAACUGAAAAUUUGCAUGUAACACAUAACAAUAAGUUCUGAAAAACUUGCCUUAAAUGUCCCGUAAAACAUCAUGCAAAUGCGCCCUUCCAACGUCUUGAAUAGCUUGCUCAAAAGCACAAAACAUCCCAAGUAAUUAUUGAACUUAUUUAAUUGAAUAGGGGAUGGAUCGACUCGUGUCAAUUAAAUGGAUUACAUGAAGGCAGGAGUCUAUUAUAAUCUUUCAUGAUAAAUCUCAGAACACUUGUCAAGUAUAGUCUAGUCGAACUCGAAUAGCAUAGACUGUCAAUAUAAAUUCACGAAUCAAAAGAAACUUUAAUAAUAUUUAGAUAAUGAAUUCAUAAGGGAAUUAUCAAUUCAAGAUACAAAUUAUUCAUUUCAAGCUUCAAAAGGAACGUUGAUCCAAGAUUUCUACUCAAAGAAGAAAGUUAGUAUACUUGCAAUAAAUAAGUUUUUCAACCAAAUGUUAAUUAUGGAGGAAAGUUGAAAUACUUGCCUUCUUGGUGCAAAGCUAUUGAUUCUACGCGAUUACGUGAACCCGAAACAUUAUGUUCUUGAAAAGCGCCUAUUUUACAUACAUAAGGUCAUUACUAGAUAUAAUACAACCACUAUAUUUCACAAAUUCCUUUUAAACUUGUGUUUUUUUUCUCAUAUUUAAACAACUCACUUUAAUUACUAUAUUUCUUAAAUUUAUUCCUAAUAUUAUAUACUAAUUAUAAUUAAUAUAUCAAGUUAUAUGCAUUUAUCAAUUUGCUUCCACCUUACAUGAACUAACUGUCAAGAUGAUUACAACAGAAGCAAAAUAGUCAACAAGCAGGCCAGGCCAGCUGCUGCCCAGCACUGCCCUGCAGCCGAGCCUCAACAGCUCUCCUUUGCUAAUUUCUAUCUUACAACUCACAUCAUUAACUGCAACCAAACCUUUAACAGGUUAUAUAGGCAUGGCAUAGUAUUUUUAAAAAUUGUAACUCAGCUAAAAUGGACACUCUAAGACAGGCAAAUCAGGUGCCAAAGCUGCCCAGUUGAGACUGUUGCAACAGCCGCAGCGCCUGCUGCUACUGCUCCAUCUCCAAUGCCAAGUUGCUAGAUUUGUUAUUUUAUAAUUCUCAAACCAUAGAUCCAAUCAAAGUCAAUUUCUAAUAUUCUAUAACUGGUAUAGCAAGCUAAUUUUAGAAAAUAUAAAAUAGCUAAAAUGAUCAGUUAAGAUGGAUUUUACAGAGCUCUGAAAACUGCUCUGCCGAAACAGUUUCGAAUCUAUGCACCAAUAUGACUUUUACUUUAAAACAGACUUCCAACCACACUUAGCUGAUGCAAAACAUUCCAUGUAUACUCUAUAACAUAUAUGAAGGAUACCUUACUCACUACAGUACCUCAAUUGCUCAUUUUGGUCUUAACAGUUCUAUGAAGCAUACAAUCAAACAGGUCAUAGGCACAAGCUUUAUGGACAAACUUCAUAAACCUUUGCACAUGUUUUAAACCACAUUCUCCACCCUUAUUUCUCUGCACAACAACUAAACUCCAUCUAACAUACAACCCAAUUAGCACAGUUAUAAUACUCUAAAUUUUAUAUAAAACAGUUAAUUUUUUUGAAAACUCCAUCUAACAUACAACCCAAUUAGCACAAUUAUAAUACUCUAAAUUUUAUAUAAAACAGUUAAUUUUUGCUUUAAAAAUCAAGAUUUAAAACUUACCUUGCUUUAACAGUUUAAUAAGCUGAAAUUGACACUUAUGAUUCAGUUAGAACCCUUUCUUUUUGCUGCCCUGCUAUCCAAAUUAUCCAGCCCAGUCUACAUUUAAACUAUCUUGCUCCAUUCUUGCUCAAUUUGCUAGUUUAGGCGACAAAGAAGAGAAGUUUUUAUAGAAUUCUGGGGUGCAUAAAUUCGGUAAUCAAGAAAAAUAAGAAAUAGAUUUGAGAUGGAAGGAGAACAAUUAUUCUUGCCAACUCAUGCUUUAUAUUGGCUUAGUGGCUUAGUUAUAAUUGGAUGCGGAUUGGAAGCAGAUUGAACGCGUUUCGGACGUGUUUCAGACGCAAUUUGGACGCAGAUUUUACACAUUUUGGAUGCGGAUUGGAAGCAUUUUGGACGCGCUUUGGAUGCGGAUUGAAAGCGUUUGGAUGCGUUUUGAACGCGUUUGGAUGCGUUUUGAACGCGGAUUAGAUGCGUGUUGGAUGCGGAUCCCACGCGUUUUGGACGCGGAUUUUACGUGUUUUGAACGUGGAUUUUACGCGAAUUGUACGCAUUUUGGAUGCGGAUUGGAUGCGUUUCGAACGCGGAUUUGACGCGUUUUGGACGUGGAUUGGAGUCUAAAACGAGUUCAAAACGCGUCCAAUCCGUGUCCAAAACUAAUCCAAUCCGCGUUUUGGACGCGUUUUUUCCCGCCAAACUAUCACCCAUCUCAAUCCAUUUAUUUAUUUUUUAGCUCACUAAUCACUUCAAUUUUUCCACUUAUAAUUUUUGGUAUUUUUUUGAAUUUUUUUCCACUUUGAAUUUUUGGCAUUUCAAACAUAGGAUCAAACACAUCUAGAUAUGAUCUAAAAUGCUAGGAGAGCCUCAAAUGAAGAAUUAGUUAUAAACAAAUAAAGCCCAAGCAUAAUAAUUUACAAAAAAACUAGAUCUAGAAUAAAGAUGAGGUGGGUCGUUGGUCAAAUCAAUCUGACCAACACCUAAUUUCCUUGCGCCCCCCAAUGCAAAAAUUAUUUUUUUGUGUCAGAAAAUAAUUUAUGCUCAACAAAUCCGACCAAAGCGAAGGUAUGGACACUUAAACAGGCACACAGGCGCAGUGAUGAUAGUGUUGGGGCAUAGAAAAUAUGAUUUACUAUUAUCUUUUGCGGGUGAUAUGGCGAGAAAAGAAUUAUGGAUAUUUUAAUAGGGCUAGAGAUGUAAAGAGGUUGUUGUUUUGAAAUUAGAUCAUCUUAGAAUAAGUUACGACAUUUGAUAAACUUACACUUUUUAUUUUCAACGAACUGAUUAAAGUUUGGGUUGCUACUCCUAUUAAAUCUUAUCAUAUACAAUUGUGUGGUAAAGAUAUGUAAAAUAUUGUAUUUUAGGAAUACUUGUAUGAAACAAAACUCGAAUGUUAUCCUAUGUUAUGAAUUGUUCAUCAUACUUUAUCUUGUUUUUAGUUUAUAAAUUGGUGUUCUUUGUAUGAGUUGUAAACAAUACGAACUUUUAGAUGUAAUGUUUCACUCCAUCAAUAACGCGUUGUAAUGAUAUUUAAGGUACAAGUACUUACCUCUUGGUUAUGCUAUAAAAGGUGCUAGAAUUUUAAAAAAGGUAACCACCUGGUUAUGAUUGUGAAAUAUAAUUCCUCCGGAAAAGGAGAAGAAGAAGACUGAAAACCCUUAUAACAGGGCAGCAUCUCCUUAUAACAGGGCAGCCAUUCAAUCUCCAUAUGCAGAGAAAGAGAAUAUAUUCUCAAUUUAAUAAAGAGAGUGGAACCUUUAUAUUAUCAAAACAAGUACUCCAGAUUCAAAUUUACAAUCUCAGACCAUUCAUGACUUAUAAUCACUAUACCAAAUGUGAAAUGUAUGUAUACCUAAACCUUCCCUCUACAUUUUGGACCCAAAAAAACUUGAACAAAUUUAACUAAAGCUCUAAUAACUAAAACUAUAUAUCCCAGAAAUUUGACCAAGAAAAAAUGUGUAUAUAUACAUAAACAUUAUAAUAAAUAAUUAUAUAUUAAUAUAUAAUUAUACAUAAUUAACUAUAUAAUAUAAGAUUUACAUUUAAAAUUUAUACAUUCAUGUAUAUAUAAAUAAAUAUAUUAAAUAAUUUUUUUUUACCAAACACUCAUUAACAAAUAAAUAUAUUAAAUAAUAAUCUACCUCAUCAAACUAUUUGCCAAAAACUCAAUAACAAAUUUUGGAGAAUCAGAAUCGAUUACAAACACUAGUUAACAACUUAUAAAGAAUCAAAAUCAACUCCAACUUCUUAGAAUCGGAAGUUGAAAAUAAAAAAGUUGAGAUAAACAGGGCUAACAUCUAUCUACAAUCCAACAAAAAGAGUUAAUAUAAUUUCCAAAAAAACAAUAACAUGAUCAUAUGUAUCCUAGGCAAUCAAAUCCCAAAUCCAUAUUUAGAACUACAAAACACUAACAUCAUAACAUACAGCCUAAGUAGUCAAAUACCGAGGCCAUGUCCAACCGCCCAAACAUAUCUCAAUCCAUCCCAUCCCAAACCAAAUCACAAAUUGUAUUUUCAUAUCAAAGCAGACAUCAACACUUGCAUUGUCUUAAAGUUAUCAAAAACAUUAAUCAAACCAAUAUUUUAAUAGGUUCAACAAAAAAAUAAGCAUCUACACAAAGGCAACUAGUUGACACCAAAAUUGCUUACAAUUUUACAAAGAUUGUAAUUUGGGAUAACUAAGGUAAUUUUUCAGAAAAACAACUCUUAUUCAAGUAUUAAAUGGGCCUUUUGACAAAUUCGCCAAAUAGUGUCUAUUUAAUAGCAUGCACCAAUUCAUUCAAAUUUUAGUAUUUGGAAUCAAAAUGGCACACAUUGAAAUCACUAUUUUGAUCACACAAUAAAAGCAUCAGCAAGUCUGGAUGAGUAUUAAUUUGGGAUACCGGGAGUACUAAUUAGAAUAAAGGCGAAUAUAUGUACCUUUAUUUAGUGACAACCAAAACUAGGAACUGCAGGAAUGGGAGUGACGGCCGUAUCACGGGUCCACUAGCUAUCAGGAAUUUGGUUAGACCACUGAUCACCACCAAAGUAGUCGACAUAAUCACGGGCAACAGCUGUUUCCUCUUCUUUCUUAGGCUACCCCAGGUUCCAUGUAGAAAAACAAAUCAACCUACAGCUGCUAGCUAAAAAUUAGAUAUAAUCGAAGUUCAAUACUACAUCAUAAGUCACCUUUAACAAAUGAAAGGCAGAGGGAACACAUGCGACAUUUCAUUCACCUCUUCAUUAUAGGUCAAGAGAGGGAUUUCAGGACCAUUGUUAGAUAAAUCACCCUUGAACUUUUAAAUUUAAUCAAUAAUUUCAAAUUACAAAUAAUCUUUUUCUUUUUGCUUGUUCUCCUCCUGAAUAUUAAAUCAGUAAAUGCGAGAUGUCAGUAAUUUCCUUUGGACAAUUUGGACAAUGCUAUACAUUUUAGAUGCCAAGUGUUUAUCUAAUUGAUUUACUCGUUCUCUUACUAUUUGGAUUUUUUUUCAUAAUUCUUUAAAAAUUUUGAAGCUCCUAACUAUCAUAUGGGUUCGUAUCGCGGGAUACCAAAACCAAUAUCGUUACCAAGUCCUCGGAUGCAUCUUCUUCUAAUCAAAUAAAUUGUGUUUCUACCUUUUUUUUGGGGUUUGUUUGUCGCGUGUGUGUNNNNNNNNNNNNNNNNNNNNNNNNNNNNNNNNNNNNNNNNNNNNNNNNNNNNNNNNNNNNNNNNNNNNNNNNNNNNNNNNNNNNNNNNNNNNNNNNNNNNNNNNNNNNNNNNNNNNNNNNNNNNNNNNNNNNNNNNNNNNNNNNNNNNNNNNNNNNNNNNNNNNNNNNNNNNNNNNNNNNNNNNNNNNNNNNNNNNNNNNNNNNNNNNNNNNNNNNNNNNNNNNNNNNNNNNNNNNNNNNNNNNNNNNNNNNNNNNNNNNNNNNNNNNNNNNNNNNNNNNNNNNNNNNNNNNNNNNNNNNNNNNNNNNNNNNNNNNNNNNNNNNNNNNNNNNNNNNNNNNNNNNNNNNNNNNNNNNNNNNNNNNNNNNNNNNNNNNNNNNNNNNNNNNNNNNNNNNNNNNNNNNNNNNNNNNNNNNNNNNNNNNNNNNNNNNNNNNNNNNNNNNNNNNNNNNNNNNNNNNNNNNNNNNNNNNGGGGAAUCUAUUAAAGAUGUCACUACAAUAAUUCAAUACAUUUACAAAUCUCAGAUCCACAACGAAGAAUUGCCAAACACAGAAUUUCAAGGUUACCUGAAUUAUAGCUGAAUCCUUGCAUUCAUGUUUUACAUCUAUUUGAGCAUUUCCUUCUUUAAAGUAGCGGGCUCCACCUGAAUGAAUAUUAGAGAAAGCAUAAUCAUAAGUUUUGGUCCAAAUGAGUCGAAAACAGAGUCCAACAUAAAAUGUAAGCCAGUAAACUCCCCUAUUGAGGCUAAUCAUAGACUCUGUGGUGCUGUGGUAAUCCAGUAGAAAAGGAUAGAUACUAGAGACUCACGGGAAGACUUGUUUACCUGUCACAUACUAGACUGGAAAUUGCUUAUACAGUUGGAAGACUUAUUUACACUGAUGCAGAUUGGGUUGGCUCUAUGGAAUAUAUUCGUUCUACAACUGGCUAUUGUAUUUUCAUUGGAGGUAAUUUAGUCACCUGGCGCAGCAAGAAACAAGCAGUGGUUGCUCGAUCCAGUGUUGAGGCAGAGUAUAGAGCGAUGGUUCUUGGUGUGUGUGAACUUCUAUGGACUCAAUAUUUGUUAACUGAUCUGGGACUUGCAACAAAUGCCCCUAUGAAGUUGUUUUGCGACAACAAGGCUGCCAUCAGCAUUGCUCAUGAUCCAGUACAACACGACAGGACGAAGCAUAUUGAGAUUGAUCGACACUUUAUUAAAGAGAAACUAAGUAAUGGCCUCAUUUGUAUUCCAUAUGUAAAGUCAAGCGAUCAACUUGAUUCACCCUAUUGUUUACAAGUUAGGCAUGAGGAAUAUUUAUGCUCCAACUUGAGGGGGAGUGUUAAACUUAUCAACGGUUGGCUGUUUAAGUCUUUAAAAGUUGUCUGUUAAAGUCCUCAAUAGCUGGCUAUUGAAGACUUUAACAGCUGGCUAUUGAGGACUUUAAACAGCCAGCUAUCUCCAUAGCUGUUCUAUAUUGACUAUUGAUGUAAUAUUUAUCUGAUCAUCUGUGUAGUUGGCUUAUAUAAUGGUCUUACUAUCUUUGUGUAAAGGACAGCAACAACAGCUAAUAAACUCUAUUGAUGUUCUCUCCAUUCUUCUUUUCCUUGCUCCCUUGUAUUUGAGUGCAUGCAACUACUAAUUAGAGUUCAAGGAAAAAUAAACAUAAGGGAUUAAAAGAACAAUUAAAUAUCAACAUUGUUAUUCUUCUAAUUUUCCUUCUGUUUAAACAAUAGGAAAAGCAGUAAAAUGUUAUCUCUAUAAAUCAGAAGGUCGCCAACUGAGAUAAGACAAACAAUGCCAUAUACUGUUCCAGCUGCCUUGGGUGUUUCUAGCAACUAAAUUUAUAUGAGAAGUAGUUCUACUUACUUCUAGUUUUACAAGAAGUACAAUGAUAAAAUGUAUUUUUGGAAAAUGAUAAAAAAAAAUAAAAAAAAUCCUACACACCGAAGCAGUUAUUCCACACAAGCACAUAAACAUAUUUGGAAGAGGCCUCCUAAAACAGCAACAGCUCGGACAACACGAAGCUGAGCACACAACAAAUAUAAUCAUAUCACUGUAUUUGAAAUGAGUAGACAAAUUUCUGAACUUGGGCAGAGGGAAGGAGGAGAUAGAAAAGCCUACCAUUUUUGCGGAGAAAUCCUGCCCCAAAGCAAAAAGAAGAAAAACAACACCGAAUUGAGCUACUGUCUCAACCUGUAAGGAGAUAUUUGAAAAAAAACUGAUGGGUUGGCGCAGAAGCGUCAGAAAUGUUUAGGAAGUGGCGCCGCAGCGCGAUCAGCCUAGAUUUUACGCGCUUUGACUGCAAUUAUGAUUCCAGAUUGGAUUCUUAUUCCUCCUAAAUUAGGGGUUUAUUAUGUGACCUAUAAAUACAUGCUAAAAGACACAAACAUCUUUUACCCACUUUACAUGGCCUUUCAGGUGAAGAUCCUCACAAACAUCUAAAGGAAUUCCAUGUGGUAUGUACAAGUAUGUACAACUCUUAUUAAUAGCAUUCAACGAACUGAGAGACCAUAUAUAUGCCUAGACUUGCACUGAAUUCUAGAUUGUUGAAGAAUGAAGACAAUACUAGAAUAUUGGGCAAGAAAAAACACUCGCAUCGCUAUUUGGAAGAUUCAACGACUUUUCUCUCUGUUUCCUCGUCUCUUCUUGAACUUCCUUACGCAUAGCCUCUUCCAAUUGUUUUUCUCUUGCAUCCAUCAUAGCUUGAAAUUGGGAGGUCUCCAUCGUAGCAAGGAUGAGAGAUUGCAUAUCAGUUGAUGUAGGUGAGGUAGUCAAGCGAGAUGCAAAGACUAUCACUUUUAUAUUUCUCUUGCAGUUUGAAUAUACAAUGUUAUGACUAAUAAAAGGUAUUGAAUGAGCCAAGUUUAGAACAUAAUAUAAUUCUCUUUGAUCAUUCGCAAAACCGCAAGAACCACAAUCUGAGCUUCAACCUGUCGGGGAAAAUUUGAUGACGUAACUCAAGAAAACAAAUUGAAAACUACUAAUGUUGUUUCUGAAGUUAAAGAUUGAACAACUCGAGAGUAAAUUCAAGAUAAGACGAGCAUGUUGUUCUAUUCAGUAAGAUAUUUUCAAACAUCUCUUCCAUCCAAAGUUAUGCUUGGUGUCAUGCCAAGUAUAUAUUCCUAGAAUAAUUUUUCUUGUUUUAAUCUUCUACAACUCGAUCCAUUUUAUUUUUGUUCUUGUUUUAUCAGUCACUUUCUCCAGUUUCUACCAAAAUGGUGAUUAAUUUUUACAAUUUGUAGGUCAGAUUUUAGUAGAUCAGUCAUGAAUUAUUGCUGACCAUAGAAUCUUAUACUUUUUUAAUUUUACUUGAAGCCUAUAAGUAAGAAAGAGGACACUACUACUAAUCAAAAUAAAAGGUAAAAAGAAUACUAAUCUACUUGGGAUUUUCCUGUAACUGAUACCUGGUGAGGUCAAAACUCAUAACCAUAAUUUACCUUUUAUAUAUAUAUAAAAAAAAGACUAGUUCUCAUGAUUAAUGCGUUGCUAAAUUUGACAAUCUUGAUUUAUUGAUGUUUAUCUACCUUUGUUAGCCCCUGAAUAUCGACAGCAAAGCUUGCAGCGCCGGUCUUUUGCAAGUUUGCAGCAACUUUCUCCAGAUGAAGGCUUUGAGGUCCCCCCAAGUCACCUCUGCUGCUAGAACUGUGUUGGCUUUGAUUCUGAUCAUUACUUUGUAUUAUUCCUUCACAUCACUCCUCUAUUAGUUGUUUGAGAUAAUAAUCAUUGGAAUUGUACCUGCAAAUUGGUUUCUUCAAUUACGGAGGAAAUUAUCCCAAAAAAAACAUUAUCUUUCACGACUGAACCUUUUCCAUUUUCUGAGUACUGGGAAUGCACUAUAACAACAAAGUGAAGUGUAAGAAAAAAGGUUAAACCUUUAUAGUUGCUGUGUAUGCAACAACAUCAGGUUCAAUACCAGCCUCACGCAUGGAAUUCAAAAUCUGCACUAGAAGAAGAAUGGUUAUUAGAAGAUCUAUAUUGCAAUGGCAGUGUUCGCCUAUUUUGAAAACAACUUGUACGCUAGAAUCAUGUGUUCAUGAAUGAAAACUUUUUUUAACAACCAACUUGCGCCAACCGUUUCCCUUCCAGAUGUCCACAUCUUUCAAAGGAGGAAAAGAAUGCAACUCUAAGAUCUAAAUUCAAAAGGCAUAGUUACCGCAAUACUUGAAAGGUAAAAUCUGGGUUUUCAAAUUUCUCUUGACAAUAGAUUAACAAUCACCAAAUGCCAAAAACAUAUACCUCCAUAGCACCCUUGACAUUCCUUGAUCCUCCAAAAAUGUCAAUCAAAAUUGAUCAUCUUAUAUGAUUAGGACAGAGACCUAAUGUUUUGAUCUCCUGCAUUAAAGCUUUUGCACGGUGGUAAUCAGUACCACAGGCCUUCAUCAGAAUAUUGUAUGUUGCAGUAGUGGGUGUAAAAGUUACACUUUUAGUAAAAUGUGCACGAUCAGAAUCAGAUCCACUGCCAGGCACAUUAGUAGUAUAACUUUUAUAUGAAUGGUCUCCACCUAUAUUUAUCUUUUCCUGAUAAUCUUUUCUAUAAAAUUUCUUAGAUGAACUUGCUUUCCAGAUAUGGAAUAAACGGAUGGCCCUGUCGUACUGGCAAACCUCAACGCAUGCAUGAAGAACAAUGUUGCAACAUCGUGUAUUUGGUUUGCAACCAGCCAGAAGCAUCUCUUCAAAUAAUAGGAUUGCCUGCUCAACAAGACCUGCACUGGCACAUGCAUUUAUCAAAGAUGACCACAUAACUGUGUUGGGAGUAACACCAGCUGCAAGCAUAUCUUCUUUAAUUUUCAGUGCCAUUUGCCACAUCUUUGCAUCAGCAAAGACCUGUCAUUUGAUGCAGAAUAUAAAGAUACAAGAUAAGAAAUUUUUCAUAGAAUGGCUGUAUAAUGUACAGGAGAAGUGUAAAAAGUAUGCAAAAGCAGUAAGAAUGUAAGAUAUUAGACACAUAAUGUCCAUUUUAAGACUGAAGUAUAUUUACUAUAGAUAGAUAAUACCUUAAUUAUUGUGUUGUAUGUGAAAACAUCUAGUUUCAAUACUCCUGUUGAUUUCAAAUGUUGUACCUCCCUAUAAAUUUCCUGGGCCAAAUCAACUCUUGAAGCACGACAACAAGACUUCAAAAUAAUGUUGUAAGAUGUCAUAUCAGCAGCAACACCUAGAUUCUGGACAUAUAAUAUGAAGCAGAUAAAAGAAACUUUCUUGUUGAUAAGAAUAAAUUAUUAAACUUCCGCGUAUGUUCAACUAGCUUUUAGCAUAGAAGAAACAUGAGACCAUCUCCUACUACAAUAGAGUACAAACCUAAGUUGUUUAGUAUGUGUUCAGUUGUGUGCCACCUUAAGGGAAGCGCUAUAAUGAGUUUUAGAUUCCUAACCAGUGUAUUCCUCCAGACACUAUUGAUUAGUGAGACCAAUGGACCAAUACUGGACAAAAUGUACCUUUUGUUGGAGAACACUUUUCACAUCAAUAGCAAAAUUAUCAUUCAAAUAUUAAUAAGAAAAAAUAAUAAAUUUAUUUUACAAAUUCAAAAGGCAACACAUUUUUAGGGGGAAAUAUAUGCUAAAUCAAGUAAAUAAAGAAUAUGGUUCAUCUUAAAUUAUUCAAAAGCAUAAGGUAUUAAAUGAAGAAAGACGACUGUGGGCGAGAAAGAGAGAUGAUAGUCCCCACUCUCGAACAGAGGAUCUAGUAGGAUCUCGAGCAUCAUUUGUCAAUAUGAAAGAAAGAUGAAGUAAAUAAAAACAUAAAAACAACCUGCUUUAAAAGAAACUGUCCUAGUCUACUUAAGGAGCACAUAGUGAAGUAUGUAUAUUUAUGCAUGCUAGAGUAGAUUUGCUUAUUUGUGUGUCACAAACAUACAAGAGAGAGAAAAAGAGCAUUACUUGCAUAUGUUUGUAGAUCUGCAACGUGUAGCUCAAGUCACGGGCAUUAACAUUCAUCAGACUGUUGAAAACAGAAAGAUUUGGGGUAAUCCUUUGAGUUCAUAAAUCCUGCAGUAAAUAAACAUGAAACAGCAGCAUAAGAACAUCCAGAAAUAGCCCGGUAUUACUACAAGUCUGUUUUUCAAGAAUCAAAUUGUAGUUGUGAUAGAGAACCAAAAUUAGAUUAACAAAAAGCUUUUGCCUGACAUUCUGACAACCAUGUAGCCACAUAAUUGAUAUUGUCUCCAAGUUAAAAAAAUUGGUCAAGCAUGAAAAUCAAUUCUAAAGCUAGUAAUCGAAUAUCGAUACAGAUAAUAUUAUGUAAGGAACAAGGCUGGAAGCUCAAGAUUCAGAUUAGUUUAAGCACAAAUUGAGUUUAAUGAGUUAGUUAAGUAACAAAGGUAUUUUAGUCUUUUAGCUGCUGUUAUGCUGGAUAUUAUUGUCCUUAUUUGUUGAGUCGGUUAGAUUUGUUGCUAGGAAUGCAGGAGGCAUGUGGUCAUAUGCUCAGUUCCUUGCUCAGUCAUUUUCCAUUUCAUUCCUUUUGCUGAUGAAGGGAAUAUGUAGGCAAUCUAUCUCAUUUUUUAGGCAAGAAUGAAAUACUAGAUCUAUUUUUCUCUCUCUAAUACGGUUCUCUCUUCUUCUCCUCUCUAGCUAAAUCUCUCAAUCCAAAGUCUGCUAUCUGUUCUCUAAUUUCUUCCAAUUAACUCUAUCUGUCUUGCUGAUUCCUUACAUAUUACUCCUUCCCUUGAAGCCAAUAUAAACUUGAUUUUAACCCAUCUCUUAAAUUUUAGCUUCUUUACAUAAAUUUUAAAACUGGGGUUGAAUCUUAGAGUCCAUCGAUUCCUUCUACAUUACAUCUCCGACUGAAUUUCACUAAUCCUAUAGGUUAUAGUUAUCGGAUUGCCAAAGGAAGAAGAAGAAACCUGGGAAACGAAGGAAACCGAGCUCGGAGUUGAGCAAAGCCACGAAUUGGGAGGGUUUUACGAUUCUCCCAAAAGAAACCGUGCGAAAAAAGGCGAAGAACAGCGGGAAACGGUCAUGUACCGGACAGAACCCAUAUAAUCUAAGGGAACUUGAAAACCCGUCCAUUAAUGGGGCUCCGACCCGUAACUGUACGAACCGUAAAAUCACUAAACUGUAAUUGUACGCACUGUAAACCUGUUCCAAACAGCAGGGGAGGAGUAAUCGCAGGGAACGAAGAGCAUGACACAAUUUAGUGAAAAGUUUCCUUUGAAAUUAUAGUUCUGAAUAUCUUAGUAACGGCUACAAAGUAAAAUUUAAAAAUACAACUUUUGGUUUGCUUCAAUCAUUAAGGUGUAAACUGUCAUUGAUACACCAAGAAAAUGAAUCAUAUAAUUUCUGCUAUCAGCAGAUUAGUGCAUUAUAGUUGAAACAUAAAAUCAAAAUAUCAACUUCUUACCUUCCAAGCAUUUUCAAGACUCUGGUCUGUGUUCUCUGUGUUAACUUUGAGGGCAAUCGAGCUAAGCAGUUGUUCUUGUUGCAUUAAUGCAAUAAUCUUUGGGUCAUCCUUCUUGAGGUACAUUCCUUGAAUCAUGUCAUUACUGGCUUCUUCUGGAUCCAAGAAGGAUAACUACUCAGUUAUGGUUAUCAAUUAUGCAAAAUUAAAGCUUUUGAAUUUUGAAGAUGGAUACUAUGAUGACUAAAGAGUAAGCAACUUAAUCAAUCUCUAUUACAGUUUUAUUGUGAUAUACCAUCUUUGGUAACCCUUGUGGUGUUGUUGGCAUCGUUUUGAGUUGUGAUGUAACAAGAUUCAUAUUGUAGUUGUGUUGUGAUGUAGAAUUCAUAUUGUAGUUGUGUUGUGAUGUAUUGUAGCAAUGCCUAAAAUUAUGAUUUCAUUUAAUGUUAUGUGAUUUUUUCCCAUCAACCUAACGUCAUAUAAUAUUAAUUAUUAAAAAUUCAAAGAAAGAUUAAUUGAAUUAAUGAAAAUACCUAUUCUUCAACCUCAAGUUAUAGUGAACAAACACGAGAUCAUUAAGUCUUUGAUGCUCCAACCGGUUUCUUUUCUUGGUGUGUAUGAGAUCAAAAACACUCCAAUUUAUUUCGCACCCCGAUGAACUACUAGUUUGGGUAAGGAAUUUGAUUGCCAACUUUUGUAAAUUUGGAGCACUACUUCCAAACAACCUCCACCACUCAUCUAAAUACAAAUAAAUAACAAUGACAUUAGAAAUCAAUGAAAUAAGCUACAAAGGAACAAAGUUAACAAGAAUAAACAACAAUUACUAAAAGGGAACAAAGUCGAACAAAAAUUAAUAAAUAUAACUUACCUGGUUGAGUAACUAGUCUUCGAAGUAGUAAGUGUAAGCUCCCUACCAAAACUCCCCAUCCGCUCUCGAUAAAUUCUAGUUUCAUCCAACAACUUAACCUUACUAGUGGUGGCAUUUGAUUCAAUGACAUCAAGAAGACCCGCCAUAACUUCCGGCUUCCCACAAAAUGAUUCUUGAUUAUAUUGAAAACAAGGUUCAACCAAUAUGUGGCCGUGUGAACACUUUCACGCAAUUACUUAUCCCAACACUCCUUGAUAAUUCUUGUAUAAGGCUUGUACAAGCUUUUCUUUUGCCUAAAAACUAUCUUUAUAGCUUUUCUAGCUCUAAACAUGCCAUCAUACAAAUAUGCAAUGGAGGGUGUCUCAUCCAUAUCAACAAUUCUCAAUAAACGCAUCAAAGGCUCCACAAUUUUGGUUACAAUCAUUCCAAAAAAAAUUCUCCGAUAUGUAAGAAGCGACAACCUUGCCUUGUGCAUCCUUUGCAUAUUUAUACUCCUUAAAAUCCUUACUAGUCACCAAAGCCUGUAAACCAUGCAUAUGAUCAUAAAUAUUAUGCAAUGCAAUGAAAGUCGUGGCAAAAUGAGUAGGCCCAUGCGGAUGAUUUGCUAAUGUCAAGAUUUGCAUAGGACACACUUUAAAAUUUAAUAUUAUAAAACUCAUAAAAAAAUUGUCUAAAUAUUUGAAAGAGGAGAAGUGAACAAAAAAAUGUAGGACUCUCUUUGCCAGACAUGGGAGUAAUAAACAAGCUAAUCAUAAUAAGGGUAAUGAUAAUAUUGGAGCUGAUAAUAAGGGUAAUGAUUAACACUCAUUAUAAACAAGCUAAUCAUAAUGAGUGUUAAAUAUUCGCAAUGACUGUGUUCAUAAGGAGUUUUCAAUGAUUGUGUUCAUAUACAAUACCAUAUAUCCAGUAACACUAGUAACUAUUACAUGGAUAUUUUCAAUGUUAUGCCUUUUAUUACUCGAUUUUCACAACAGUGGACGUACAUAAAAAAACAGGCACAAGAAUGUAAUCACCCUCAAUACACUACCAUAAUUUAUGUAAUGCAACCAUAAGGUGAUCAACCUUGUACCAAAAAAGAGAGAAUGAAAAAUAAUUAACCAAAUCAUUUUUAGCUACAUUACAGAAUUAUUAGCUUGUUAUCUCUAGACCAAGAUUCAUUAGUUUCUUAUAUAGGUUGUAUCUGAAGCUCCAACAUCGAUGACCUAUGCUAUGCUACAGACUGAAAAUCAGUAUUUAGCUUGUCAAGAUUCAUUGGUUUCUCUUCAAACAUGGUCAAUUCUCAUUUUUGAUAAAAUGAGCUUCAUCACUUAUAAUAUAGCACCAGCUAAAGCGGCGUAAGGCAUUCUUCUCUUUGAUCACCAUUUUAAAACUGGUGACACAGACAUCAAACUUCCUAGAAGCUACGUAUGUAUCUCUGAAGAAUAAUAUAUUUAACAUUAGUUUAUUCAAUAACAAUAAAAAUGAGGGGACUGAAGAUACUUAAUCAAGUAGAGCAAUUAAGAACUAAUUCUUUUUUAAGGAUUUCCAAGAAAUUUGAGUGCACGUAAAACAGGGCAAAAAGGCCGAAUCUCAUUCAUCCAGUUGCCAAGAGUGGAUUUUGGAGCAACACUCACGUGAAGACCAGUUAUUCCACUAAAUUCAUGCAGAUAACCAAGCAAGGAGAUGGUUUGUAAUGUUUUACCAAGCCCUUAGACAACAACAAUAAUAUUAACGGGUAAACAAUUAGAUUAACUGGUUAAAGACUUAAAGUAGAUACACUCGUAGUUACAUGCAAAGGUAGUUUGACCUAUUGGUAGGACAAGGAUAUUAGAGAAGCCGAAAAUUCAGAACAUACCAUUUCAUCCGGAAGGAUUCCAUUUAUACCAUUCUCAUAUAUAAUCGUAUAAGCCAAUAUAACCCAGCAAGUUGGUAAUCCCUCAUCUUCCCCUAAUAACUGCAGAGGAAAAGUUGAGAAAACAAGAUGCAAAGGAUUAGAUAUUCAAGAAAAGUUGCAAAAAAAAAAAUCAUACUUUCAUGCUCGGUAAAAAGAGACAUCAAUGAGUAUGAGAGAGAAAUUACCUUCGAACAAAUCAGCUAAAAGAAGAUGGAAGCGUGGAACCAAAUCAGACCCAAAUCGUGGAGCCUCCACUACGCUACCAAAAAUCUCAACCACCUCGGCUUAGAUCUGCUACCAAACAGAUCUGAUAGGAAAAAAUAAACGAGAACGCAACCUCCGGUACUAAAGUAGAGAGACAUUAGAUGAAACAUAUAUAUUUAUAAUGGAACAUACAGUUAUAUGGCAUUAAUUAUUACCUGAUUUGAUCCAGUAUUCAUCUUGUUUCUCCAAUAAUUGUUCCUGCCUCUGAAUACCGUUGCUGCAAUUAGGCAAGACAAGGCUCUCCACAAAGGUACAACCGUCCAAAAAAGGAUAAAUGCCAUGCAUCUCAAUAUCUGUCACUUGAUCCUCCUUUGCAUCAUAAACAACCAUUUUCCACCUGUUAACCAUCAACAAAACUCUCCAUCCCUCAACUACGCUACCAAAAAUCGUGGAGCCUCCACCACGCUACCAAAAAUCUCAUCCACCUCGGCUUAGAUCUGCUACCAAACAGAUGUGAUAGAAAAAAUAAACGAGAAUGCGACCUCCUGUAGUAAAGUAGGGAGAGGAAUCAGAAGAGUAUAUUCAAGUGAUAGUUGAAAAUACAAAAGAUAAAGAAGACUGAAUAGAAAAAUAAGUCUGAAGGGAUAAAUAGAGCGAGGGACGCGGACAAGACUGAAUAGUCACAGUGCACCCUUGUCCUGCCACAAAGUGAUUAGACUGAAGAGCAGUGCAUAUCCCGCCACAAAGUAGAUCAAAAAGUUUUUGAAAGUCUGAAGUGAUAAAUAGAUUACACGAGGGAGGACACGGACAAAGACUAAAGAGUCGCAGUGCCCUUAUCCAAGCCUCCAACCAGUCAUCGCAAAAGCCUAUAAAAGUAUAAAUUUUGUGAGGCAUACCUUUUUAGAUACAUUAUACAUAACUAAGCAAGAAUAGGCAUGAAGGGGAAUUUCAAGAAUGGAAUAGUGUGGAAGAUCUCUAGAUACUAGUUCUAUAAUGUGACUAAACUGUAAUUACCUUAGAAAAUCCAUUCACUGUCAGAGUCCGAUCACACAUGCCUGGCAAAGAUGCAAAGCUUGUGUGAGUUGCGGGUGCAUAAAUAAUGUGUUCAUAUAUUUCGUCAGACAACACCUGAAAUAGAAUAACCAAGCAUAGUUAAGGUUUCAAAUGUUAGCAAAGUUGCCAUAAUUACGAGCAGGUACAAAGUGUAAGGUUUCUUGAUCCUACCAGAAGUCUGGGAUGCUUCGCAACAAUCUGUUCAAGUAGUUUCCAGGGGUAAACAGACCCAGUUGGGUUGGAAGGAGAACAAAUAAUAAGCAAUUUUGAUUUCUCUGGACUCAAGAAUCUUUGGAUCUAAAAGAAAGUUUUCUGAGAUGUGGGUCGGCAGAAUCACAGGCAUUGCAUCAGCUAUCCUGACCAUUUCUGGAUAACUCAUCCAAUAAGGAGCUGGAAUAAUAACCUGAACAAAAAAUAUGAAAGGCUGUAAGUCUCAACAAACUUCACAGUUGGACAUAUUACACAUUAAUCAUUUCAAUAUUAAACAUUUACCAGCCCAUAUUGCUCCCUGCGUUAUUAAUAUGCCCAAAGCCAUAGUAAGUUACAACUUCUAAAUCAAGUGUUUCACUUCAACCACAUAAUACUAAAAAGUACACAUGUAAGAGCAAGCACAAUCAAACAAAAGCUACCGAAUAAAUUACAUAGAGAUUAUGCAAAAUCAUUUAUGAUACAUUAGCACGGCAAAAAAUAGUGUGCAAGCAGAGAAAUUGACUAAUCUAUUUAAUGUUUUUGCUUUCUGCAUGCACUUUACUCUCUUCUUUAUAAAAUGCAGCUUCCCAAUAGGCUACUAACUUCCUGUCGAGUAAUGCGACUAAAUGAACACCUAGACUAUUAAAUAAUUUGAUCUUACAAAAUAAAUGCAUGAACUGUAAUAGGCUAUCAGGAAAAAAUUAAGCUAGUCAUAUACUUUUGAGUAUACCAAUGUGAAAUUUCUAAACAAUCUAAGGCAAAGAGAAACUAGAAUAGAAAUAUAUACGGCACCAAUAACGAGGUAUGAUGAAAAGAGCAGGGAAAGAAUCAUAAGCCUCUUACCUCCACAGCAUAUGGAAUGAUGCCAAGGCCGGUGAGAUAUGCACUAUGACCAGGAAUAUCUUCUUGAAUUUCAAGACAUCCGCACUCCAUAAGCACAAGAUGAAUAAUGGACAAGCUAAGGGUCAGCAUAUAUCUGCCUUCCAAUGCCAACUGCAGGACGGCUGGAAUUGUUGAGAGCCAAUAAGGGAAAAUUGGCAAUAAAGGGCUGAUGAAUGCAAGUACAGUUGACAUGUACAAGAAAUGUAUAAAGUAUAGUCUAAAUAAAAGCCAAGUAAGACAUCCCUGAAAGACAACAAUCUCAGAAGUUGCCAGUAGAACACGAACUUCAACACAUCUGGACCUUUCAGAUGGUGAAAUGGGAAUCAUACACAUCAUUUGUUAUGUGACUCCACAAGAAUUUGAUGUGAUAAAAUAAUACAAGACCCAUAAGAAAAUCAUCAACUGAGACACAAAAUUAAAAAUACGUGCUGCUCCGGACACAAUGGAAUUACCAAUUAUGAACACGAGCUUAGCACUUCCACCUAGAACUUAUUUACCACCGGCAAAUACGCCUUGCAUCACGUCCAAUCCUUGAAAGGCAAACCCCUUUGCCUUCUCAACCAAAUCCUCCCUUGUGAUCAUUAAUUCCUUAAAAACCGCGUCAACUUCCGUAUAAAUUUCCCCCCAAUCACGAUUAGUAACCCUCUUCUUCAAACUUAGAAGUUUCUAAGUGUAAGGGGAUGGAGUCAUCAAAGCAGUGGACUUUGAAGAAUAAUUUAUUGUUCGAGUUAUUACAAAAUGCCUAAUUCCAGUAACAAAUUAUGUCAUACUAUACUGCAUUGCCAAACUAUCAAUCUUAUCAGACACGAUAUCAUAAAAUUGUGUAGUGUAAAUUCUGAAAAUAGCCUACUCUACGUUCAGCUUUCUCAUUUACAUCCAACUUGUUCUGCUUUUUUGAAAAUAGGCGACUUGAAUACAUGUUUACGACCAAAGCUUAAUUGAACAGAUAUCCUGAAUGUCCACAACACAUCCUAAGAAGAAAGUUGAUAUUUCUGAUUUACUUAUUGACAUUCAGUUACAUAGCUAUUUCUUGCACGUAUUUUCUUAAUCUAGAAUUUUUUAUUUACUCAUCAAAGCAAAUUCAUGACAAAUUAAAAGGCCAUUAUUGUGUAAUCAUAAUAAAUUUAUAAAAAUUUGCACAAAAUUGGACAAGUGAAUACAUAAAGUAUAAAUGGAUUAAAAGUAAUUGAGUAAUGAGCCAGGAUAUUAGACUUGAAUGUUAUAUUGUUCUUGUCAGAACAUAGAAAGCUGAAAAACUAUAUCACUUCUCUUAUUCAAACUUAAAAGAACAAUAUGUUAGCAUCACUGGCUUUCUGUGUUGAACAAUCAAUUCCGAUCACCGACGAAGAGUACAACACAGGGAAGAUGUUGUUAUCUUUUGUCAAGGCCUUUGAAAGUGGAAAUGAUGUGAACAACUGCUUCCAAGCAUCUUUGUUGCUGCUCCAACCAAGACAAGAAAGCACUAUCUAUCAAGCAAAAGACAUUGACAUGCAGAAGCUGGUAACCAGAAGAAUCGGCCAUGCCCCACCUUGCAAAAUAAAAGCACGGGGGAAAUCCCUUUUCAAAUCUUCCUUCACUUGAGCAACAUUCUUACAACUGGAGAAUCCCAUGUAACUGAGGAAUACAAGCAAAUCAAAGGGUCCAAAAAUCAGGCCAUCCAUUGCCACACUGAAUUAGGCUGUAGUUUGAGUCCAACCCUAAUAAAUAGGUCCAUACCUUCAUACCAACCGCAAAAAAGGAGAAAAUAUUAAUAGGAAAAUCCUCCCACAAGUGAAUAGAGAAACACAUGCAUCUCAUAGAAAGUAAGAUAUUCAACUUUUAUCUGUCAACUAAUCUGUGAAAUUCGAAUUAGCCAGUUCCCUUUUGGAAAAGAUAUGAUGCAUCCACCAAGGUAUCUGAAGCUUAUAUCUAUAAAUAAUAGAGUUGUGUUUGUAAUUCCAGUUGUUUUAAAUAAAACACGUUUAAUGUUGAGAUGCUUCUUUUUUUAUUGAGGAAUGUAAAAAUAUUUAGUUCCAUAUGAACCUCUUAAUUUUCUCGAGGAUAUAUACGUACAUUUAUGACUGAAAUUCUACUGUAAUAUAUAGACGUAUGUUUUCUCAAAUAUUUUGCAAAUUUUUGGAAUAAUAUUUUGUGCACUUAAAAGCCCUUCAGCAGACUUAUGAAGCAUUCUAGGGAAUGCAAAACAGCACUACCAGAGAAGUUAAAAGGUGUUAGAGGACCUCUAUUAGCAAAGUCUUGGUGAAGCACCUCACAACUCUUUACAACCACUGUAUUGCCAGACAAUCAUCCAUAGGGGAAGAAGGUAUGCAAACUAAAGUGAACACUCAAAGACUGUAAAAAGAACGUCACAAUCAGAGAAAUUCAUAAUGGAAUAAGAAUAAACAAACAAUCAAAAGCAUAUCAGAAGUGGCAAAAUGGUCCAAUAAAACCAAGACCAAACAUGUUUGUGAUUGCAACCCGCUUUCAGCCAGAAAACACCUGCAUACUUGAAGUCAGCCAGAAAAAUUACCAACUAAAUCAAUAGGAACUGUGAUGAGAAAGGCCUGAGCACUAAAGGUGGCAAGCCACCAUUCUACAUGUCUCUAAAUGCAUCAGUUAUACUCAAUAUAGAACAUGAGAUAGAAAAGCCCAUAUUUACCAACAAAGAACACCACCGAGAUGCAAGCAACUCCAAUGGCAUUUUAAGAACACGGAAGAAACAAAGUCCAAGGCGCUCCUGGGAUUACCAAAGCAUAUAUAGUUGGCUUAAAUAAAGAUCAUUUAGUGGAGCAGUCAUUUCAGAAUCAUAGUGUUGAACCAAUUAUGAUCAUUAAGAUAGGAACGAUGGAACCAUUUGAUUAGACUGUUAGCCUAGUAAGCUAGCACAAUACCAUAAUUAUGGUGAUAGUUUUGUAAUGAAAUUUGACUUUCAACAAAAUUCCACAGCAGCAAUUCUUGCAGUCGCAACAUUAUCAAGGGCAUCCAAUUGGGCAAGAUUAUAUUCCCAAAAUCCAAAUCACUCCAAAUCAAUUCCAAGAUUCAAUAACCCUUUAAAAUAACAAAUAAAAAUUCCAUCUUUUAGCAUCUCAACAUUCACUGUUUGAAACUUAUACCACAACAAAAGAACCAGUCCUUUACAUCACAAACACCCCCCAAACAAAAUUCUGAAACUGCAACAACACCAACCUACCAAAAAUCCAAAUCAGUCGGAAUUAAUUCCAAAAUUUAGGCAAAUAACAGAUAAAAGAACAUGUUACCUUGUAAGUGUCAAGUUUUCUUGAUUCAACAGCAACAAGGAAGAUCGUAUGUUCGAUUCAAUAGUAACAAGGAAGAUCGUAUGUUCGAUUCAACAACAACAAGGAAGACUGUAUGUUCGAUUCAACAGCAACAAGGAAGAUUUGGGCAUAGACUUCAAUUCUUGGUCUCCGUGUUCUAUAAUUCGAAUUUUGCGACCUAGGUUGGUAUGUUCAUUCGCAGCUCAGGUUUUGUUUUGGACAGACACAAGUGAGGAGAGAGACUGAAAAAAGAAAAAACAGGGAAGGCUUAAAUAGGUAUGCUAGUUAAGGGGUAAUGUCAUUUAAGAAGGUAUGCCUUUAUUUUGCAAAAUCUACGGUCAACAAAAUUCUGAUCAAACGAGCAUAAUAAAAAGACAAAGAAAUGAAAUCACAUUCACCUAAGGCCACUUCCAGGUUGACAAGAUAUUAUAUGUUUCGCGUACAUUUAUCUAUUAAAAUCAUCAAAAGAUGACAUUUUUACGUGUGUUGGCAACAAACCUUAACAUGCAUCAUGAAGGCUGAAGUUCACAUUUGGGACAGAGAUGGUGUUUAUACCUGGUUGGUUGCACACAGAUUUCCAAUUAAAAGUACGUAGUAGAUUUUAUAAUAACAAGUGACACAUGAUAUGGCUGUAAUGUUUGUUUUGCGUUGAACAAAAUUGCACACAGAUUUCUCUUAUAUUCUCUGGUUCUCUACAGAUCUGUCUGCCAAAUUCAUUACAAUAAUUUUAGCUUCUUUACAUACAUUUUAAAACUGGAGUUGAAUCUUAGAGUCCAUCGAUUGCUUCUACAUUACAUCUCCGACUGAAUUUCACUAAUCUAUAGGUUACAGUUAUCGGAUUGCCAAAGGAAGAAGAAAACCUGGAAAACGAACGAAACCGAGCUGAAAUAGUCAUAUACAGCACAGAAACCAAAUAACCUGAUGUAACCCGAACCCGCUUCACAACCCGAUCCAGACCCGGAACUGUACGAACCGUAAAAUCACCAAACGCUUACUGCACGAACUGUAAUUCAGCUCAGCACUGCAUAGAAGGGAACCGUACGCAAAGAAAAGAAGGCGCGUCGCAACUCCGAUUGGGAUGCGCCGUCUCCGACCAACUUUCCGGAAAAUUGAAUAAUAGAUCUGUAAUGGAAGCAUAGAGUUUUUAUUGGUUACUUGGAAGUGAGCAAGCUGAUUAAACUUAACCCCACAAGCUUACCAAAAUGACUAGCCAGGUAUGCGAAGCCAUCAUCGUGCCAAAUAGCAAGAGGGACGUUACGAAAUCUGAUCCAAAUUGGGAUAGAAGAAGGUUCAGCCUUGAUCAAGUCCAAACCCUGCUGCCAUCGAGUGCCCCAAAUGGUCUUGGUCCAGUAAGUUGCACAGUGGAUAGAUUUCUUACCACCAACAAACACUGAGGUGUAAGUUGCACAGUGGAUAGAUUUCUUACCACCAACAAACACUGAGGGAAACUUGAGAGGACGGAUCUUAUGAUGGAAUAAGGAGAAGCCCCUUGAAGAAGAAUCAGGAUCAUCACUCACGUGACCACCUGAAGAGCAGGAGGCAGCCUCACAGACGAGGAGAUAAGAAGUCACCAAAGUGAGCAGAGGACUCUGCCACAGAGUAUUUUAUGAAAAUAGCCUCAAAAAAAACUGAAAUGGCUUCAGCUAACAUUUGCUCACACAUUAGCUUUUAUAAUAAAUAAAUAAAUAAAUUAUUCCAAUGUCAUUUGAAAUGGGGUUCAAUUUUUUUAUUUUCAAAUUUACUCAAUAAAAAAAAUUAUCAAAUUUCUUUCUUUUUUUAAAAAAAAUAAUUUUUUUAAUUCAGAUAAGUUUUUUGUAUAAAAAAAUAUGAUUAACAAGAAUAAAAAAAACUGAUUAAGAACAAUAAUGAUCAUGAUAGCAUUCCAACGCCAGUCCAAGUGGCUUUGAAUUUGAAUUAUUAUUUUCUACACGAGUUCAUCUGACAUUUAGCCUAUUUUUAGAAAAAAGUGAACAAAAUGGAUGUAAAUAAUCUUUACUAUUUAAGUGGAUCAAGUAUAAUUUGCAACACAUUUUUAAAAUAACUCUUUGUUCGAUAACAAUAAUAAAUAUACUUCAAAAACUAAAACAAAUAAUAACAAAGUGAUUUCACAUUCAAAAAUGAUUUCAAUAUAUACAACAUAUGUUUCAAUCCACAACCUUAGCGACUAAAGUUACAAUAGCCCUAUAACACAGCCCAAAAGUUAGAUAAUAUCAAUUCUCAUACACCCUACUAAGUAGGUAUCUAUAAAGUGCACCCUCCCGAAGGGCCUAAUUUACUUUAUCAUUCCUAAUUCCUAGUUCCUUCAAGCAUUGACAUUCACACCACAUGAUCCUAAUGCACAAUAUCUUCAUAGCAAAAUUUCAUUUGCGAUUUUCCAUCACUUUGUCAAACGAAAAGACCAAAUACAUGUGUCUUAAUAAGUAGGUACUCACAACUUGUUCGCAGCAGUACCUAGUACAACUAUCUGGUUAAGAAGCUUAAAACACAAACUCUUCCCCUGCUGUUCCAUUCGGCAGUGCUCAGUCCUUCAUCCCUUGUAAAGCUUCUGUCGUCGAAUCAUCUAUGUCCAACAAGCAUUGUAACCGCGACAGUUUUUCAGGCACUGGCUCGCUCUUCAGGUAUAUAAGGAAGAGAUCAGUGAGCUCCUCCGACACCUCCCAUGAUAACGGUUUAGAUGGUACAGCCUUGUCACAAGCUAACAAAUCAUUGAGAGAGGAAACCUACAUGUAGAGAAUGAAACAAUAAGAAUUACUGAUCUAUGUUCAGAUUUACAGUGCUUACUUUUACAUGUAAUGAACAAUAAUCCAUAAGCUAACAAGUUCAUACCACCCCUGAAUGGUUUCUCUGCCUCAGUAGUGCCACAGCCUGAAUUAGUGAGUUUGACAACCUACUUUGUGCAAGUUCGUGAACAACACACCUUGCCUUUUCAGAAUUGAUGUUGAGAUCCUGCGGAAUUUUUUGAUAUACUUCCUCUUCAUCAAACUCCCCAGUUCCAGAUGAGAAAAUCUCAUCAACCGUUUUCUUGAAGAGGCUCUCGCGUAAGCUAAAUGAUAUCAUUCUGUCUAAAUCAAUUCCAGUUUCCUCAAGUUCUCUUAUCUCCUUUAUACUAAGCCUCCCUCGACCAACAACACUUUCUAGGGCAGCCGACAUUUUUGUAGUUGUUAUACUCUUUAUUAUCUUUUGAGAAUACUGAGAAGGCAAACCCACUUGCUUUUGCAACUCAUUAAGCUGCUCAAUCCUGGCUUUUGUUAGUUGUCCAUCCGCCAAGAUCACCUCAGCUUGUUUCCUAAAAGCUUGCUCGGCUAAGCCUUUGUGUACUUGCACAAUUUCCUUGUCGAUCAAACCCAGGAUUCCUCCAAGCUGGUUUAGCAGAACAUAUUCAGAAUCAUCCUUCUUUGUGGUGAUUUGUGCACCAAAAGGGAUCCUGGUUACCUCUACGGUUAGACAAAAUAGCAAGUAUGUCUUGUAAAGAUCAGUUUUAUCCCUUUCUGGGAGGUCAUCUUCAAGAGUAAUCUCUGUCUGGCUUGGCUUCUCCAAGUUUACCUUGCUUGGUCUUACUUUUCGAAGUGACUGCAGGGAUUCCUAUUCCUCAUCCUCUUCUAAUUAUCCUUCCUCCUUAACAAGAUCUUCUGAUGUAGUAUCAGAUGAUUCUCCUUUAAUAUCUGCUAUCAACUCAGUCACAACCAAGUUGUUGAAUGCUAUCAUCUUUUUAAGUUCUUUUGCAGCCUCCAUACGACUCCCAGAUGCUCAUGAUCAUUGAAUGUAGCUGAUGAAAAUCUUGCGAACCUGAAUCCAUAAUCGAAGUCAUUUGGAUCAAAGAGAAUGUUGAUUUCAGAAAAAUAAUCUCAGUAUACCAUGUGACCCAAACAUUAAGCUGUUGCAAGGUGACGUGUUAGCAACCUGCUACUCCCACUCAGACACUUCCAAGUAAAUCAAAGGAAAAGUAAAAGCAAGUUGAAUAUAGAUACUCACAGCCUUACUAGCAAUAGACAUGGCGACCUCCCUGGUUAAACGUAAACCAUAAGCAGCCUUCCUCACAGAUUGCUUGACAUCCGCAUCAUACCCACUGACUCCUGCAGCAAUUGCAUCCUUCACAACCUGGAAAAACAAUUUUUUUUAGAAACUUUUGAACAAAUAACCUUAUGAGAUUUAGAAAUGAAUUAAGGGUGUCAACACCUAUUACUUAAGGGAGUAGAUGGUCUUGAUUAGCAGUGAGCAAACCUAUCUAGCCUUGAUUAGGGAGAUUCAAGAGAGUGAACAAGCACAUAAAUGAGUUUAAGCUUUCAAGGAAUCAACUCAACUAUAAAUACUGAACUAAUAUUGUGUUAAUCAGUCCUUAAGUUGUUACUUAGCAGAGUGUGUAUCAUAGAGAAUGGCAAUUAAGGGAAAUGGUAUAUUAAGAUGAAUGGACGCUUGAAACUAAAAUUCAAUACCCAAACAGAUCUAAGUAAUAUAAUUGAAGAAAUCACAAUUUAUAUUGCCUAGUGAAGAAUAGAGCAUAUUUCAAUUCUAUUGAAUAGAUGUUUGUAUGCAAUUUUAAAGAUGGGCUAUAGAUAUAUGAUAUAAUCAAGUUGGUUAGAAGUUAAUGCUACCAUAAACAACUACAAAUUGGUGUCCUAAUCCUUAGUUGGAGGUCAGCUCGCAGAAACAGAGCAUUUGCGAAUUUGUUGCUUGAUUUACUCCUUUUUGCGCUUCUUAUACUGCUUCCAAAUAUGACCCCGCAGAAACAGAGCAUCCGUGAAUUUGUUGCUUGAUUUACUCCUUUCUGUGCUGCUUGCAAUGUUCUAAAAAGCGCUAGGCGGGAGGCGGGCGGCCGGAGGGGCCUAGCGCCUAAGGGGCCUGGGGGGGCCUAGGCGGGAUUUUUUAUUUUAAGCCAAUUUUAAUUUUUUAUCUAACAUUUAUCCAAAUAAAACAAUAAUAUAAAACAAAACAACCUAUAAUAAAGAUAAUAAAGACAUUUGCUUGAAGUUCAAACACAUCCAUAUUGUUAAUGUAAAAGUUCAAACACAAGCAUGCAAUUGUCCAAAUGGUACUGUGGGACUCGUUUGAUGAUGUAUGAAUUGUAUGUGAUAAUUGGAGAGUUUUGAAGAGUAGAGAAAUUUAACGUAGAGAUUAGAAGAAAUUGAGACUGAGGAAUAUAGAAGAGUUAGAUCGAGAAAAUAGAAGAACUGGAGACUGAUAAUUGAUUUGAUACCAACUGUUAAGCCUCCCACCGGAGAAACUUAGGGAAGAAGAUAAUGGAGUCGAGAAUGAGAACUCCCAACUUUAAUUCAUUUCAAUGUAUAGCUCAAUACAUACAUAGAUAGAUAUCACAGGAAUUCUCGGAUAAAUUAAAAGAAAAGACAAAUUUUCUCUCUAACUACUCUUAUGACACAUGUUACCUUAAUUCUAGAACUAUCCUGAUCUGGCUAUUCCUACUUUACCCCUAUAUUCUCUGCAAUUUCUAACAUAUAUAUAUAUAUAUAUAUAUAUAUAUAGACACACAUGCAUACAUAUAUGUUUGUGUAUAUAUACAUAUACUUCGGGAGGACAGGUGAAGUCCUGACAAUAAGCACUGGCAAAAAAAGAAUUUCUAGAAACCACGACUUUUCUGAUUUUCUAAAAACCUGAAUGACAUGAUAGAGUACUCAAAAACAGAAACUGUAAGAUUUCUUGUUAUCAUCUUUGUUGGUCCAAAUAGACUACCUCUGGUCCUCCAGUAUAUCCUCAGGGCAGAAGCAAUGCAAUGGUCUUUUAGUCUAAAAUGUACUCUGCAUUAAAAAUAAUAAUACUAACAGGGGGGAAAAGAGGGAGCAGAGUAUAGUGAUUACCUUUUCAAACGAAUUGCCACAUAUAUCAGCAUGAGCUGCUUCCACUGUUUGUCUAGGAAUGCAAAGCAUAACCUGCAACCUCUCCAAGGACUUAACAUCCUCCUCAGUGAGCCCUCCAUCAGAUACAGCUUGCUGAAGCUUUUGUUGGUAAAUUUCUAGAAAUAUAUUAAACAUGGCUACAUCAGACCUAUUCUUAAUAUUACAACUAGAUAAUAUAUGUAAAAUUACACACAAGUAUAAAAAAAACUAAAAUAUGAUUUUGGUUCCUUUUUCUCACCAUAUAUGACUAAAGCAACUCAAUGUCAAGAUUUCAUUCUGCAAAGAUAGAGAAAAAUUCAAAUGCUUUAUGUGGCAGAUUUUAAUCUUAAGGUACAAACGUGUCCACGGCACAAGUCCACUGGCUUGACAAGAAAACCAAAUCCCAGAGUAUGAUAUGCGUACAAGUCCAUGCAGUGUGUUCAAAAUAGCAGAUAUCACAUAGUUGCCAGAUAUUACACCACAGCUUACCAUCAUGGAUCUCAACAGCUUUCUGUGUAUCAAAGUUACAAAACUAUUAUGCAUAACAAGCAUCCCAAAUAAAAAUCCCAGUAAAAAGCAAUCUGGAGAUCUUGACAUUUAAAACAUUGAAUAAUGAUUCUACAUAAAUUUUAAGGAAAAGCAAAUCAGUUUUAAUAUAAAAAAUAAAAAAAAAUUUGGGGUCAAGGGCACAGGUUUGCAAUUCUUCAGAAUGAGAAUGAAGGGAUUUUUGAUACUCUGGGUUUUAACCUGUAUCUAUAUUAUUAGAGAUUCGCUAACGGGCUCAUUUAGAACUUCAUUUCGAUUAUACAACAUUAUUAACUUUAGAAAGUUCUUUUGUUGAAGAAUUUCAGAAAUUCUUCUCUAAGUAAGAAAGGUUUCUCACUUUCUGUACUUCUGUGAAAAGCAUAAGCAAGCAAGCAUUACAGGGGUAAAAUUAUGUGUUCAAUCCUCAUUGUUAACAAUUAUGAAACAAAGAUUUGAUACUCAAAUUUUCAGAGAAUAGAAUCUUAAGAAACAAUUUAUAUUAUUUUAUUUAAACAAACCAAAUUCCUGCACCCAAUCCUUCUCUACUGAUUAGUGUCAAUGGUCUCUGAAUUUGUUAGAGAGUUUCUUUAGUAGAUUAUUCUUCUCUUUUCAUCAGGGAGAACUAUCACUUUGCUUUGGCAAAUUAUAUUUUGAAGAAAAGGGCUCCAGCGAUUAGGUUUUUGUUUAGUUGCUGGUUCACGAUAGGCUCGAUAUUUACAAUUUGCUUCAGCACCAUGGAUCUCAUAAGGUCUUAUCUCCAAAUGUUUGUGUAUUGGGCAUGUGCACUAGUGAGACUAGUUCUUACAUGUUUCUUCAUUGACGUAUGACGUGGAAGCUUUGGACUUUUGUCUUCACUUUAGGGGCAUUGAGAGAGGUAUAUGCUAAAUCAAGUAAAUAAAGAAUAUGGUUCAUCUUAAAUUAUUCAAAAGCAUAAGGUAUUAAAGGAAGAAAGACGACUGUGGGCGAGAAAGAGAGAUGAUAGUCCCCACUCUCGAUCAGAGGAUCCAGUAGGCUCUCGAGCAUCAUUUAUCAAUUAUGAAAGAAAGAUGAAGCAAAUAGAAACAUAAAAAAAACCAGCUUUAGAAGAAACUGUACACCUAGUCUACUUGAGGAGCACAUAGUGAAGUAUGUAUAUUUAUGCAUGCUAGAGUAGAUUUGCUUAUUUGUGUGUCACAAACAUACAAGAGAGAGAGAGAGAGAGAGAGAGAGAGAGAAAAGAGCAUUACUUGCAUAUGUUUGUAGAUCUGCAACGUGUAGCUCAAGUCACGGGCAUUAACAUUCAUCAUACUGUUGAAAACAUAAAGAUUUGGGGUAAUCUUUUGAGUUCGUAAAUCCUGCAGCAAAUAAACAUGAAACAGCAGCAUAAGAACAUCCAGAAAUAGCUCGGUAUUACUACAAGUCUGCUAUUCAAGAAUCAAAUUGUAGUUGUGAUAGAGAACCAAAACUAGAUUAACAAAAAGUUUUUGCCUGUCAUUCUGACAACCAUGUAGCCACAUAAUUGAUAUUGUCUACAAGUUAAAAAAUUGCUCAAGCAUGAAAAUCAAUUUUAAAGCUAGUCAACAGAUAAUAUUACUCCUUCCCUUGCAACCAAUAUAAACUUGAUUUUAACCCAACUCUUAAAUUUUAAUAGCCCAUUGCACAUGCAAAAAGGAUGCACACUUUAAGUACCAUACAAAAAAUCUUCCUAAUUCAUCCUUAAGCAAAUGUGAAGUGCUAACAUCAAAUGGUCAUUUAAGUAACGAAGGCCAUCACUAUCAAACUUUAUCAAAGAUAUCAAUGGUUAAUAUGAGAAUAUUAUGGAUCCUCUAGUCUAGCCAUUAUUCCUCAGGAGAAUAUGCUUCUACAUGAUGAUGGACCCCAAAUAAGUUUUACUGUUAAUCUUAAUACUUAUACAAAAGAUAAUCCAGUACUUAAAAGAACAAUUCCAAAUGACUAGAUAAGCAUGUAAGAUAUAAACAACUAAGUGUGCGAAGUUUGUGAACAAGUGUUGGCAAGUACCUCAUAAAUGGACCUCGAUCUCAAGAAGUCACUACAAAGACCACAUACAUCUAUUAUUGUGAAGUAGAUGUACAUAUUAGGACUACCCAUAUCUUUGUUGGAUGCUUCAAAGAUAUUCAGAGCAGACACUAAGUCACCUUUCUUCCCAAAUUGAAGAAUUAUGCCCAUUAAAUUACCACCGAGAAUCCCCAUUAAAUCAAAAAGUUCCUCCACUUCACCGCGUUUAACAAUCCGGCAACAUUCUCUCCGAAACGCCUCUUUUGUAGCCCCAUCAAACAACUCCAAAGGACCAAUCCCUAGCUUCUGAGCACCACUCAACGCAUCCAUCAAUCUCCUAAUCUCCCCUUUUUCUACCAUUUCAACAACUCCCAUCGAAACAAGCUUGGAGUUGAGCAAAGCCACGAAUUGGGAGGGUUUUAUGAUUCUCCCAAAAGAAACCGCGCGAAAAAAGGCGAAGAACAGCGGGAAACGGUCAUGUACCGGACAGAACCCAUAUAACCUAAGGGAACUUGAAAACACGUCCAUUAAUGGGGCUCCGACCCGUAACUGUACGAACCGUAAACUAACUAAACCGUAACUGUACGCACUGUACACCUGUUCCGAACAGCAGGGGACGAGUAACCGCAGGGAACGAAGAGCAUGGCACAAUUUAGUGAAAAGUUUCCUUUGAAAUUCAAGUUCUGAAUAUCUUAGUAAUGGCUACAAAGUAAAAUUUAAAAGUAUAACUUUUGGUUUGCUUCAAUCAUUGAGGUGUAAACUGUCAUUGAUACACCAAGAAAAUGAAUCAUAUGAUUUCUGCUAUCAGCAGAUUAGUGCAUUAUAGUUGAAACAUAAAAUCAAAAUACCAAUUUCUUACCUUCCAAGCAUUUUCAAGACUCUGGUCUGUGUUCUCUGUGUUAACUUUGAGGGCAAGCAAGCUAAGCAGUUGUUCUUGUUGCAUUAAUGCAAUAAUCUUUGGGUCAUCCUUCUUGAGGUACAUUCCUUGAAUCAUGUCAUUACUGGCUUCUUCUGGAUCCAAGAAGGAUAACUACUCAGUUAUGGUUAUCAAUUAUGCAAAAUUAAAGCUUUUGAAUUUUGAAGAUGGAUACUAUGAUGACUAAAGAGUAAGCAACUUAAUCAAUCUCUAUUACAGUUUUAUUGUGAUAUACCAUCUUUGGUAACCCUUGUGGUGUUGUUGGCGUAGUUUUGAGUUUUGAUGUAACAAGAUUCAUUGUAGUUGUGUUGUGAUGUAGAAUUUAGUCACUGUUAGACCGUUACUACUAAAUACUAAUUACUACUAAUUUCAAAGAUGAAAUUGAUGCAGGCUAUUACUACUAAUUACAUGGAUAUGCUAUUACUGGAAUAAAUGGAACGGGUUUAUACAGGGCAACCAAUUCUAUUACAACCAACAUAAAGAAUGGAGUACUGAAGACAAAUGCACCAAUAAAAAAUAUGCAACUAGCUACUAAUUGGUGAAAUGAUGGAAGAUGGGCAUGUGAGGAUUUUAAAUUUUGCAGAACAAGUACAUGCAUUAUGCAUAUUCUACCAGACUAAACCAGAAACAUUACAAGGCUGCAGAACUUGGUUCCCUAGGACUAAAUAUUCCAGCUUAUACACAUUUUAAUCUAAUAUUGAUAAUUUAAAUAUUUCUCACCUUCACAAGGACGACGUCGUUGCCUUUCCAACUGAGGCAUCGCUCCUUCAUCAUAAACUAUUUUCUCUAGCUCAUCAUAAUUAAGAAAUGGUUCUUCCUCCUCUUCAACAAUCCAAAACUCUGUUUUGGCAAUUGACUCAUAAUCAAUUGGAUCAUAAUUCCAUCUGUUAUAGCAAUGCCUAAAAUUAUGAUUUCAUUUAAUGUUAUAUGAUUUUUUUCCCAUCAACCUAACAUCAUAUAAUAUUAAUUAUUAAAAAUUCAAAGAAAGAUUAAUAGAAUUAAUGAAAAUACCUAUUCUUCAACCUCAAGUUAUAGUGAACAAACACGAGAUCAUCAAGUCUUUGAUGCUCCAACCGGUUUCUUUUCUUGGUGUGUAUGAGAUCAAAAACACUCCAAUUUAUUUCGCACCCCGAUGAACUACUAGUUUGGGUAAGGAAUUUGAUUGCCAACUUUUGUAAAUUUGGAGCACUACUUCCAAACAACCUCCACCACUCAUCUAAAUACAAAUAAAUAACAAUGACAUUAGAAAUCAAUGAAAUAAGCUACAAAGGAACAAAGUUAACAAGAAUAAACAACAAUUACUAAAAUGGAACAAAGUCGAACAAAAAUUAAUAAAUAUAACUUACCUGGUUGAGUAACUAGUCUUCGAAGUAGUAAGUGUAAGCUCCCUACCAAAACUCCCCAUCCGCUCUCGAUAAAUUCUAGUUUCAUCCAACAACUUAACCUUACUAGUGGUGGCAUUUGAUUCAAUGACAUCAAGAAGACCCGCCAUAACUUCCGGCUUCCCACAAAAUGAUUCUUGAUUAUAUUGAAAACAAGGAUUCAACCAAUAUGUGGUCGCGUGAACACUUUUACGCAAUUACUUAUCCCAACACUCCUUGAUAAUUCUUGUAUAAGGCAUGUACAAGCUUUUCUUUUGCCUAAAAACUAUCUUUAUAGCUUUUCUAGCUCUAAACAUGCCAUCAUACAAAUAUGCAAUGGAGGGUGUCUCAUCCAUAUCAACAAUUCUCAAUAAACGCAUCAAAGGCUCCACAAUUUUGGUUACAAUCAAACAAUCAUUCCAAAAAAAAUUCUCCGAUAUGUAAGAAGCCACAACCUUGCCUUGUGCAUCCUUUGCAUAUUUUUACUCCUUAAAAUCCUUACGAGUCACCAAAGCCUGUAAACCAUGCAUAUGAUCAUAAAUAUUAUGCAAUGCAAUGAAAGUCGUGGCAAAACGAGUAGGCCCAUGCAGAUGAUUUGCUAAUGUCAAGAUUUGCAUAGGACACACUUUAAAAUUUAAUAUUAUAAAACUCAUAAAAAAUUGUGUCUAACAAUGUCUUAUACAAACCUAAAUAUUCGAAAGAGGAGAAGUGAACAAAAAAAUGUAGGACUCUCUUUGCCAGACAUGGGAGUAAUAAACAAGCUAAUCAUAAUAAGGGUAAUGAUAAUAUUGGAGCUGAUAAUAAGGGUAAUGAUUAACACUCAUUAUAAACAAGCUAAUCAUAAUGAGUGUUAAAUAUUCGCAAUGACUGUGUUCAUAAGGAGUUUUCAAUGAUUGUGUUCAUAUACAAUACCAUAUAUCCAGUAACACUAGUAACUAUUACAUGGAUAUUUUCAAUGUUAUGCCUUUUAUUACUCGAUUUUCACAACAGUGGACGUACAUAAAAAACAGGCACAAGAAUGUAAUCACCCUCAAUACAUUACCAUAAUUUAUGUAAUGCAACCAUGAGGUGAUCAACCUUGUACCAAAAAAGAGAGAAUGAAAAAUAAUUAACCAAAUCAUUUUUAGCUACAUUACAGAAUUAUUAGCUUGUUAUCUCUAGACCAAGAUUCAUUAGUUUCUUAUAUAGGUUGUACCUGAAGCUCCAACAUCGAUGACCUAUGCUAAAGACUGAAAAUCAGUAUUUAGCUUGUCAAGAUUCAUUGGUUUCUCUUCAAACAUGGUCAAUUCUCAUUUUUGAUAAAAUGAGCUUCAUCAAUUAUAAUAUAGCACCAGCUAAAGCGGCGCAAGGCAUUCUUCUCUUUGAUCACCAUUUUAAAAUUGGUGACACAGACAUCAAACUUCCUAGAAGCUACGUAUGUAUCUCUGAAGAAUAAUAUAUUUAACAUUAGUUUAUUCAAUAACAAUAAAAAUGAGGGGACUGAAGAUACUUAAUCAAGUAGAGCAAUUAAGAACUAAUUCUUUUUUAAGGAUUUCCAAGAAAUUUGACUGCACGUAAAACAGGGCAAAAAGGCCGAAUCUCAAUCAUCCAGUUGCCAAGAGUGGAUUUUGGAGCAACAACCUCGUGAAGACCAGUUAUUCCACUAAAUUCAUGCAGAUAACCAAGCAUGGAGAUGGUUGGUAAUGUUUUACCAAGCCCUUAGACAACAACAAUAAUAUUAACCGGUAAACAAUUAGAUUAACUCGUUAAAGACUUAAUGUAGAUACACUUGUAGUUACAUGCAAAGGUAGUUUGACCUAUUGAUAGGACAAGGAUAUUAGAGAAGCCGAAAAUUCAGAACAUACCAUUUCAUCCGGAAGGAUUUCAUUUAUACCAUUCUCAUAUAAAAUCGUAUAAGCCAAUUUACCCAGCAAGUUGGUAAUCCCUCAUCUUCCCCUAAUAACUGCAGAGGAAAAGUUGAGAAAACAAGAUGCAAAGGAUUAGAUAUUCAAGAAAAGUUGCACAAAAAAAAUCAUACUUUCAUGCUCGGUAAAAAGAGACAUCAAUGAGUAUGAGAGAGAAAGUACCUUCGAACAAAUUAGCUAAAAGAAGAUGGAAGCGUGGAACCAAAUCAGACCCAAAUCGUGGAGCCUCCACUACGCUACCAAAAAUCUCAUCCACCUCAACUUAGAUCUGCUACCAAACAGAUCUGAUAGGAAAAAAUAAACGAGAACGCAACCUCCGGUACUAAAGUAGAGAGACAUUAGAUGAAACAUAUAUAUUUAUAAUGGAACAUACAGUUAUAUGGCAUUAAUUAUUACCUGAUUUGAUCCAGUAUUCAUCUUGUUUCUCCAAUAAUUGUUCCUGCCUCUGAAUACCGUUGCUGCAAUUAGGCAAGACAAGGCUCUCCACAAAGGUACAACCGUCCAAAAAAGGAUAAAUGCCAUGCAUCUCAGUAUCUGUCACUUAAUCCUCCUUUGCAUCAUAAACAACCAUUUUCCACCUGUUAACCAUCAACAAAACUCUCCAUCCCUCAACUACGCUACCAAAAAUCGUGGAGCCUCCACCACGCUACCAAAAAUCUCAUCCACCUCGGCUUAGAUCUGCUACCAAACAGAUGUGAUAGAAAAAAUAAACGAGAAUGCGACCUCCUGUAGUAAAGUAGGGAGAGGAAUCAGAAGAGUAUAUUCAAGUGAUAGUUGAAAAUACAAAAGAUAAAGAAGACUGAAUAGAAAAAUAAGUCUGAAGGGAUAAAUAGAGCGAGGGACGCGGACAAGACUGAAUAGUCACAGUGCACCCUUGUCCUGCCACAAAGUGAUUAGACUGAAGAGCAGUGCAUAUCCCGCCACAAAGUAGAUCAAAAAGUUUUUGAAAGUCUGAAGUGAUAAAUAGAUUACACGAGGGAGGACAUGGACAAAGACUAAAGAGUCGCAGUGCCCUUAUCCAAGCCUCCAACCAGUCAUCGCAAAAGCCUAUAAAAGUAUAAAUUUUGUGAGGCAUACCUUUUUAGAUACAUUAUACAUAACUAAGCAAGAAUAGGCACGAAGGGGAAUUUCAAGAAUGGAAUAGUGUGGAAGAUCUCUAGAUACUAGUUCUAUAAUGUGACUAAACUGUAAUUACCUUAGAAAAUCCAUUCACUGUCAGAGUCCGAUCACACAUGCCUGGCAAAGAUGCAAAGCUUGUGUGANNNNNNNNNNNNNNNNNNNNNNNNNNNNNNNNNNNNNNNNNNNNNNNNNNNNNNNNNNNNNNNNNNNNNNNNNNNNNNNNNNNNNNNNNNNNNNNNNNNNUGCGACUAAAUGAACACCUAGACUAUUAAAUAAUUUGAUCUUACAAAAUAAAUGCAUUAACUGUAAUAGGCUAUCAGGAAAAAAUUAAGCUAGUCAUAUACUUUUGAGUAUACCAAUGUGAAAUUUCUAAACAAUCUAAGGCAAAGAGAAACUAGAAUAGAAAUAUAUACGGCACCAAUAACGAGGUAUGAUGAAAAGAGCAGGGAAAGAAUCAUAAGCCUCUUACCUCCACAGCAUAUGGAAUGAUGCCAAGGCCGGUGAGAUAUGCACUAUGACCAGGAAUAUCUUCUUGAAUUUCAAGACAUCCGCACUCCAUAAGCACAAGAUGAAUAAUGGACAAGCUAAGGGUCAGCAUAUAUCUGCCUUCCAAUGCCAACUGCAGGACGGCUGGAAUUGUUGAGAGCCAAUAAGGGAAAAUUGGCAAUAAAGGGCUGAUGAAUGCAAGUACAGUUGACAUGUACAAGAAAUGUAUAAAGUAUAGUCUAAAUAAAAGCCAAGUAAGACAUCCCUGAAAGACAACAAUCUCAGAAGUUGCCAGUAGAACACGAACUUCAACACAUCUGGACCUUUCAGAUGGUGAAAUGGGAAUCAUACACAUCAUUUGUUCUGUGACUCCACAAGAAUUUGAUGUGAUAAAAUAAUACAAGACCCAUAAGAAAAUCAUCAACUGAGACACAAAAUUAAAAAUACGUGCUGCUCCGGACACAAUGGAAUUACCAAUUAUGAACACGAGCUUAGCACUUCCACCUAGAACUUAUUUACCACCGGCAAAUACGCCUUGCAUCACGUCCAAUCCUUGAAAGGCAAACCCCUUUGCCUUCUCAACCAAAUCCUCCCUUGUGAUCAUUAAUUCCUUAAAAACCGCGUCAACUUCCGUAUAAAUUUCCCCCCAAUCACGAUUAGUAACCCUCUUCUUCAAACUUAGAAGUUUCUAAGUGUAAGGGGAUGGAGUCAUCAAAGCAGUGGACUUUGAAGAAUAAUUUAUUGUUCGAGUUAUUACAAAAUGCCUAAUUCCAGUAACAAAUUAUGUCAUACUAUACUGCAUUGCCAAACUAUCAAUCUUAUCAGACACGAUAUCAUAAAAUUGUGUAGUGUAAAUUCUGAAAAUAGCCUACUCUACGUUCAGCUUUCUCAUUUACAUCCAACUUGUUCUGCUUUUUUGAAAAUAGGCGACUUGAAUACAUGUUUACGACCAAAGCUUAAUUGAACAGAUAUCCUGAAUGUCCACAACACAUCCUAAGAAGAAAGUUGAUAUUUCUGAUUUACUUAUUGACAUUCAGUUACAUAGCUAUUUCUUGCACGUAUUUUCUUAAUCUAUAAUUUUUUAUUUACUCAUCAAAGCAAAUUCAUGACAAAUUAAAAGGCCAUUAUUGUAUAAUCAUAAUAAAUUUAUAAAAAUCUGCACAAAAUUGGACAAGUGAAUACAUAAAGUAUAAAUGGAUUAAAAGUAAUUGAGUAAUGAGCCAGGAUAUUAGACUUGAAUGUUAUAUUGCUCUUGUCAGAACAUAGAAAGCUGAAAAACUAUAUCACUUCUCUGAUUCAAACUUAAAAGAACAAUAUGUUAGCAUCACUGGCUUUCUGUGUUGAACAAUCAAUUCCGAUCACUGACGAAGAGUACAACACAGGGAAGAUGUUGUUAUCUUUUGUCAAGGCCUUUGAAAGUGGAAAUGAUGUGAACAACUGCUUCCAAGCAUCUUUGUUGCUGCUCCAACCAAGACAAGAAAGCACUAUCUAUCAAGCAGAAGACAUUGACAUACAGAAGCUGGUACCUUAGAGGAACAAAUCGGAAGUUGGCAACCAGAAGAAUCAGCCAUGCCCCACCUUGCAAAAUAAAAGCAGGGGGAAAAUCCCUUUUCAAAUCUUCCUUCACUUGAGCAGCAUUCUUACAACUGGAGAAUCUCAUGUAACCGAGGAAUACAAGCAAAUCAAAGGGUCCAAAAAUCAGGCCAUCCAUUGCCACUUUAGUAUACACAAUCCGCACUGAAUUAGGCUGUAGUUUGAGUCCAACCCUAAUAAAUAGGUCCAUACUUUCAUACCAACCACAAAAAAGGAGAAAAUAUUAAUAAGAAAAUCCUCCCACAAGUGAACAGAGCAACACAUGCAUCUCAUAGAUAGUAAGAUAUUCAACUUUUUUCUGUCAACUAAUCUGUGAAAUUCUAAUUAGCCAGUUCCCUUUUGGAAAAGAUAUGAUGCAUCCACCAAGGUAUUUGAAGCUUAUAUCUAUAAAUAAUAGAGUUGUGUUUGUAAUUCCAGCUGUUUUAAAUAAAACACGUUUAAUGUUGAGAUGCUUCUUUUUUUUUUAGGAAUGUAGAGAUAUUUAGUUCCAUAUGAACCUCUUAAUUUUCUCAAGGAUAUAUACGUAUAUUUAUGACUGAAAUUCUACUAUAAUAUAUAGACGUAUAUUUUCUCAAAUAUUUUGCAAAUUUUUGAAAUAGUAUUUGUGCGCUUAAAAGCCCUUCAGCAGACUUAUGAAGCAUUCUAGGGAAUGCAAAACAACACUACAAGAGAAGUUAGAAGGUGUUAGAGGACCUCUAUUAGCAAAGUCUUGGUGAAGCACCUCACAACUCUUUACAACCACUGUAUUGCCAGACAAUCAUCCAUAGGGGAAGAAGGUAUGCAAACUAAAGUGAACACUCAAAGACUGUAAAAAGAACGUCACAAUCAGAGAAAUUCAUAAUGGAAUAAGAAUAAACAAACAAUCAAAAACAUAUCAGAAGUGGCAAAAUGGUCCAAUGAAACCAAGACCAAACAUGUUUGUGAUUGCAACCCGCUUUCAGCCAGAAAAAUUACCAACUAAAUCAAUAGGAUUUGUGAUGAGAAAGGCCUGAGCACUAAAGGUGGCAAGCCACCAUUCUACAAGUCUCUAAAUGCAUCAGUUAUACUCAAUAUAGAACAUGAGAUAGAAAAGCCCAUAUUUACCAACAAAGAACACCACCGAGAUGCAAGCAACUCCAAUCGCAUUUUAAGAACACGGAAGAAACAAAGUCCAAGGCGCUCCUGGGAUUACCAAAGCAUAUAUAGUUGGCUUAAAUAAAGAUCAUUUAGUGGAGCAGUCAUUUCAGAAUCAUGGUGCCGAACCAAUUAUGAUCAUUAAGAUAGGAACGAUGGAACCAUUUGAUUAGACUGUUAGCCUAGUAAGCUAGCACAAUACCAUAAUUUUGGUGAUAGUUUUGUAAUGGACUUUGACUUUCAACAAAAUUCCACAGCAGCAAUUCUUGCAGCCGCAACAUUAUCAAGGGCAUCCAAUUGGGCAAGAUUAUAUGCCCAAAACCCAAAUCAAUGCCAAGAUUCAAUAACCCUAUAAAAUAACAAAUAAAAAUUCCAUCUUUUAGCAUCUCAACAUUCACUGUUUGAAACUUAUACCACAACAAAAGAACCAGCUCUUUACAUCACAAACACCCCCAAACAAAAUUCUGAAACUGCAACACCAACCUACCCAAAAUCCAAAUCAGUCGGAAUUAAUUCCAAAAUUUGGCAAAUAACAGAUAAAAGAACAUGUUACCUUGUAAGGGUCAAGUUUUCUUGAUUCAACAACAAGGAAGAUCGUAUGUUCGAUUCAAUAGCAACAAGGAAGAUCGUAUGUUCGAUUCAACAGCAACAAGGAAGACUGUAUGUUCGAUUCAACAGCAACACGGAAGAUCUGGGCAUAGACUUCAAUUCUUGGUCUCCGUGUUCUAUAAUUCGAAUUUUGCGACCUAGGUUGGUAUGUUCAUUCGCAGCUCAGGUUUUGUUUUGGACAGACACAAGUGAGGAGAGAGACUGAAAAAAGAAAAAACAGGGAAGGCUUAAAUAGGUAUGCUAGUUAAGGGGUAAUGUCAUUUAAGAAGGCAUGCCUUUAUUUUGCAAAAUCUAGGGUCAACAAAAUUCUGAUCAAACGAGCAUAAUAAAAAGACAAAGAAAUGAAAUCACAUUCGCCUAAGGCCAUUUCCAGGUUGACAAGAUAUUAUAUGUUUCACGUACAUUUAUCUAUUAAAAUCAUCAAAAGAUGACAUUUUUACGUGUUGGCAACAAACCUUAACAUGCAUCAUGAAGGCUGAAGUUCACAUUUGGGACAGAGAUGGUGUUUAUACCUGGUUGGUUGCACACAGAUUUCCAAUUAAAAGUACAUAGUAGAUUUUAUAAUUUUAUAAUAACAAGUGACACAUGAUAUGGCUGUAAUGUUUGUUUUGCGUUGAACAAAAUAGUUUGGUGUUUCGGAAGCUCAUAUAUGAAUUGUUUUGGGAUCCCACAAAUAAAUAAUGUAUAAAGCUACAAUAAAUGUUAAUCAUUUACAAAAUCAAAGUCUAAUUAUCUUCAUAAGCCGGGAACUAGAAUCUGUUGGUUUGUUUCUGCUGGAUGUACCAAGAUGAUAUGCAGUGACCAGAAUUUAUGACCAUUAGGAUUACUUUUUCAGAUCUUUAGUCGGAUGUCUUUGGAUCAAAGAGACCGCAUACUCCAUAAAAACUGUAUCACAUGGCAGUGUGAUCGGUCCAUGUAUUUGCAGCCUGUAUUCUUCCUCUGCCAUUGUUAAGAGCUCUAACGGAAUAACAAAUUGUCUCCAACUAUACACUACAAACCGACCCUUAUCAUCUGAGGGCACUAAGGCUCUUGAAAAUGCUAUUCUCUUCACCAGAGUUAAUUCAUCUAAUCAAAAUAUUUUGUAGUAGGAAAAAUAAUUCAUCUAUGAGAACAAUAUUUAAAAUUACAACCCAUAACGGACUCAGAUUCUUCAUCAAGCAACCAGGGAUCAUUUUUAUCUAAUGAUCAACUCCCAUUACUCUAUCUCACCUAACUUGAGCAAUUAGUUUUAUAACUAUGGUGUGUUUUGGACAACAUCCUAUAUGACUGAUCAUUUUCUAAAUAUAUACUCAUCGUUGACAGAAAACUUAUAGAGACCAUAAGCCAUAAUUUACAUCACAUGUAUUUAUUUCUUCGUACAAGUUUUGAAAUGUUAUAGGAGUUGAUUCCUUUCAAAAAUGACUAAAACUAUGCAUAUGAUAUUAGAGAAGGAAAUUUUCAAAUAAUAUAACAGAUAACUGGUCCUCUUGUCCUCUUCCUAAUAAUUAAUAGAACAUUAAUAAAAUGCAUCGCAAGCACUAAUAUUUUAAAUCUUGUUUACAAUUGUUGUUAAUAAAUAAUAAUAUUCAAUAAUUGCAAUCAAAAUGUGAGCACAAGUCUUUUAAGUUUUAAGACAAAUAAAAUGGGCCAAGCAAAAUUGAAACAAUUUCAUUGGGCUGAUGGAUAAAAAGUCUAACAUCUUUUCCAUUGUGAAAAGUAUUUAUCUUUUGUACCAGCCAACUAAAUUAUGAAAUAUCAUAUCAAAGGGAAUUGUUAAAUUCACACAACUUUCAUAGCGAGCACAUUUAACAUCUACUACAGCUGAUAAAAAAAAACUCCUUAUUAAAUAAUAUAUCACGAAUCAUAUGCUAGAAUGAAGCAAUUGGAGACGGCAUCUUAAGAUUGUUAGGAUAUACCAAUUUGUCAUGAGGAACGAAGAAGUACUAUUUUGUUAUAAAACAUUUUAUAUGUCCAAAAUAACGGAAAAAAAGGUUAGGGAAAUCAAGGGGAAUGCAACCUUCGCUGAAUUGGGUAAAUGCCCUUAAAAAAAAUAAGUUGGCAUCAAACAUUGCACUUAAAUAGACAACUUGCCCCUCUAACUAAGUUGUUUCCAGAUUAGUGCAAGUAGCUAAGUUUGAAAUGGCUAAUACAAUAAUACUAAUAGAUAGGACUCCUAAAAUUAUCCAUUCUAAUGCAGCUAUUCAAAUAUUAUAAAUGAUACACAGGACAACUUUUGGUAAAAAAAAUGUUAUAUACACUUUUACAAAUUGCUUAUAAAAAAGAUCAAUAGAGAAAUAAUCCACAAAAUUGAGAAAUACACAUUUUUUAUUAACUAAUUUCAAGUAAUACAUUGAAAAGUAAUUGUUACAUUGUACUUACACGCAUCACGACAAGGUAACAUGUUGGGAAAUCCAGUUCUAGUCACCUAAUCUCCCCUUUUUCUACCAUUUCAACAACUCCCAUCGAAACAAGCUCAGAGUUUUGCAAAGCCACGAAUUGGGAGGGUAUUACGCUUCUCCUAGAAGAAACCGAGAAAGAAACCGCGAAAGAAAAGGCGCCGAACAGCCGGAAACGUUCAUUACCGCACGGAACCCAUAUAACCUGAGGGAGCCUGAUAACCCGCCCCAAAAUGGGGCUCCGACCUGACUGUACGAACUGUAAAUCACCAAACAGUAACUGUACGCACUGUACAGCAGCUCCGAACAGCAGAGGAGGCCUAACCGCAGGGAAAGAAGAGUGGCGCGUGAAGGCACGUCCGACCUCCGAUUUGGUCGAUCUUCCUCCGGCCAAAAAGCCCCGAUUGACUCUGACCAAUCUCAUUUACAUCAUACUCAAUUACUCCAACAAAAUCAUUAAUAAAAACAUAUAAAUUGCACCACUGAAACCAAAGCCUUAGCCAAGUGAACUGUGGCUUCUUGAUCCUUGGCCGCAUGUGGCUGCUGCCUCAUUUGUGUAGAACUAGUAGUUUUGUCUGGUUAAAGCCUUUGUGACACAUAAGCCUUAUCCCGCCACAAAUUAGAAUAGAGUGUAGACCGGAGAGCAGAAGUACAUGAAGUGAUGAAGGGAAGUUUGAAAGGACACGAUUAAAGUGAGAGAAAAGGGAGGGAUGGAUAGAUAGGUUAUGGGUCUUUACAUUGCCCUACUUAUUUUUAAAACGGGUGUUAUGACCAAAUAUAAGUAUACUCAUAUUUUAAAUUUAAAGUUAUUAGGAUACAAUUAAAUUAAUUAUUUAUGAUAUUUAGUUUGUAUAUUUUUUUAUCUUCUAUCUCUAAUAUUUUAUAUAUUUUCUUCUCUUUAAAAAUUUUUAUACACCUUUUCUAAAAAAUUUGUACACUUAUUUUUUUUUUAAUUCUUCUACCCUCAAAUUUUUUAUAUAUGCUUCUCUUUCAAAAUUUAUACUCUUUCUUAAAUUUUUAAAUAAUUUAUCUCCCUCAAUUUUUUUAUAUUUUCUCUAAAUUUCUUAAAAUUUAAAAUAUAUGUUGCCUAGUGUGAGACCCCAGAUUUUAUGAAUAAAGAUUUAAUUUUCUCGAAAUAAUUUUUUUUAUAUAUUAUGGUGUUGAUUUGAUGUAAUGUUAUAGUUGUGGGUAAUAUUUACAAAUUUUACAAAGUAAGCAAGUGAUUGUAUAAUAUUCGAUUGGUCGGAGAAUAGUCUUUUUGUCGGAGAAUAUCCGUACGACGGUACAAUCAUUGGUGGACCCCACAACAGAAUUAUUGUCGGAUAGAGAAAACGACAAAAAUACUUUAUGAAAAUAACGGCGGAAGUUUUACCGUUAACUGUUGAAACACCCGGUGUUAAAAGUACAGUAAUACGCGUGGUUGCACAGUAGCAGACGGUAUUGAUUAUUGAUGCUUACGUGAGAAGUCACUCAGUUAUACUCAAUUAUUGCUACAGUAAUUGCUGCAUCAUAUCUCUCAUAUUAUUGAUUCAAUUAUUGUUACAGUAUCAUCUGUAUAAUAUGAUAUAUUGUUCAAUCGGGUAUUCAGGACAUUUUUCGUGUAGGAGUACUAUUCAUGAGUUACUAUUCACGAGUUACUAUUCACGAGUUACUAUUCAUGAGUUACUAUUCACGAGUUACUAUUCACCCGAUUACUAUUCACUCUAGUAUUGUGCAUUCGAGUAUUUGGGUACAAUAUUAUUCCAUAAGGAGAUGUGCUAAUUUUUCAGACCGUUGAUUGAAGAUAUAAUAGUAAGUCAAUAUGGACCGCUAGUGGAGUUAUAAUAGUAAAUCAAUAUGGAUCGCUGGUUUAAAGUUUUAAUAGUAAAUCAGUAUGGACCGUUGUUUUAAGUUUUAAUAGUAAANNNNNNNNNNNNNNNNNNNNNNNNNNNNNNNNNNNNNNNNNNNNNNNNNNNNNNNNNNNNNNNNNNNNNNNNNNNNNNNNNNNNNNNNNNNNNNNNNNNNNNNNNNNNNNNNNNNNNNNNNNNNNNNNNNNNNNNNNNNNNNNNNNNNNNNNNNNNNNNNNNNNNNNNNNNNNNNNNNNNNNNNNNNNNNNNNNNNNNNNNNNNNNNNNNNNNNNNNNNNNNNNNNNNNNNNNNNNNNNNNNNNNNNNNNNNNNNNNNNNNNNNNNNNNNNNNNNNNNNNNNNNNNNNNNNNNNNNNNNNNNNNNNNNNNNNNNNNNNNNNNNNNNNNNNNNNNNNNNNNNNNNNNNNNNNNNNNNNNNNNNNNNNNNNNNNNNNNNNNNNNNNNNNNNNNNNNNNNNNNNNNNNNNNNNNNNNNNNNNNNNNNNNNNNNNNNNNNNNNNNNNNNNNNNNNNNNNNNNNNNNNNNNNNNNNNNNNNNNNNNNNNNNNNNNNNNNNNNNNNNNNNNNNNNNNNNNNNNNNNNNNNNNNNNNNNNNNNNNNNNNNNNNNNNNNNNNNNNNNNNNNNNNNNNNNNNNNNNNNNNNNNNNNNNNNNNNNNNNNNNNNNNNNNNNNNNNNNNNNNNNNNNNNNNNNNNNNNNNNNNNNNNNNNNNNNNNNNNNNNNNNNNNNNNNNNNNNNNNNNNNNNNNNNNNNNNNNNNNNNGGACUAGUCGGGGAACAGAGUGAUGGUCCUAGAUGGUGCAUUAGUAGUCCUCACUAUUCUGUGAAAUAGUGUGAUAAUAAUUGUAAUGAGGACUCCUUUUGAGUUUGUAUAAUCUCUAGUAGACAAUAUUUGUAUUCAAACUCACAAUUUAUGUUUUGUUGUAUUGUACACGACAGUUGUAUUAUUAAGUUAUAUUUAAAUUCUGUAUCAUGUAUUUGGCGACUCAAGAUGGGUGAUGUAUACCUAAUUUUGAGGGUGUCACACCUAGUGUAGGCAUGUGACAUUAAUUCACAUAUUAUUUAAAUAUUUUUUAUCUAGAGUACUCAUAUUUUAUAUUUAAAGUUAUUAUGAUAUAAUUAAAUUAAUUAUUUAUGAUAUUUAGUUUGUAUUUUUUUUAUUUUCUAUCUCUUAUUACAUAAAGAUUCAUAUGCUUCUUCGGGUGCAUUCUAUAAAUAAAAAGUCUUCCACAACUAAUCUUCUACAUUUUUUAAUCUAUAUUUUAUUUUAGUACAUAAAAUUCACAACGAGGAACAAAAAUAUAAUAAAAUAAUUAAUAUUGUAAAUUAAGUAUUAUUAGUUUAAAAAAUUAUCAUUUCAUAAUGUUCAAUGAACUUGUUAAUUUUAAGUAUUAAAUUGUUUCAAUUUAACUAUUAAAAUUUAGCAAUAAUCUUAUAAUUUAGAACGAAAAAUGAAUUACAAAUGCAUGACAUGGUUGCUAAAGGCAACAAUUGUUAAACGAUAAUUUUGAAAAAAAUAUAAGAGGUAUAGUAAUUAGGAACACGUUUUGUUUUUAUUUUACUUAAAACAAAAAAAUAUGAGAAGGAAAAUGAAAGCAAUUAAAAGCUUAAACUUGGUGUUUAAGGAAUUCUAUAUGACCUAAUUUUUUUAUAAAAUAAUUAGUUACCGUCAUGAUUUUUUGUUUUUAAUGAUAAUUAAUUUUUAAUAAAUGUAUAUAAGUGAGAAUAUUUUUUUUAACAUUAAUUAACUAAAUAUCACAUAUUUGAAAUAAAAUUGGUGACAAAAGUUUAAUCAUUAAUAUAUUUUGUAAUAUAUAUUAUACUUUUUAAUAUUAAUUAUUAUUUUUUCAUAAUAUUUUUUCUAUAUUUUAAAUAUAUAGUUAUUUAGGAAUAAAAUUAUUGUUGAAUAAUAAGUUUCAAUUAUAACUUUUAAUUUUAAAAAUUAACUAAAGUUUAAUCACAAUAUAUAACUGGUUUAAGCCAUGGAAAAAUACGGACGUAAUAUAUGCAUUGAACAAAAUUUUAUGUAAAUUAAGACACAUACAUAUAUAUAUAUAGAGAUGGUUAAAUACACUUUUAUUCACUAUACUCGACUUCAGUUUAUAAAUGUAUCACUGGACUGAAUUUUUUUACGUUCAACUCAUUGAACUGUAAUAUUUUUACAAAAAUUCUAAAAAUCACCUACUCUGUUAAAAUAUUAGCGGCAAAUCUAUGUGUCACAUGCUGACAAGGAGAGAAGUUGAGCUGGAUAAUUAAGUAAAUUAAAUUAUACUCAAUUCUAUAACAAGUAGUUAAACAAAAUAUAAAUCAAAUUAAUAUACAUAACAAAUAAUUAAAUUAAAGAAAGAAAUUAAUAAUAAAAAUUAAUAAUAAUAUAUGUUAAUUAAAUUAAUUAAUAAUAAAAUAUAUUAAUGUAUAAUUUUAAAAAAUGUAUUUAUAUAAAAUUAAUGAAUUCAUAUUUUAAAAAAAUUAUGUUCACUUUAAAAUAUAAAUUAUAUAACAUUUUGUAUAUGGAGGGAUUAUUAUUAUUAUUAUUAUUAUUAUUAUUAUUAUUGUUAGGAAUCUAUAUGUUGAAUAGAAAGUUGUUUCAUUAAUGGGGAGAUUUCAUCGUUUAUUAUAUCUUAUGCUUAGUGAUUAAUUAUUUGACCAAUAAUUAUUGUGAUAAUCUAUAUAAAAUUGUAAAUUUGAGUAUAAAUUGAGAUCUAGAUAUGAUAAUAUAAUAUGAAUAAGAAUAAUUUAAUUAACAUGUAAGAUAGGAAUAUACUUAUCUGUCUUUUGUAACCAUUGAAAGAAUUUGUGCUUGAAAUCAUACUAAUUCACAUAUGAAUAUAGUGAAAUAAUUGAUUAGGAUGUUUCUUGUAAUUUUGGGCCUUUGAGAUCAGAUCUAGAAAGAUUUGUUUAUGUGUCUUUCAAAAAAAGUGCGUGAAAAUUAUAAAGAAUUCUUGAUUAAGGAUUCAUGUUAAUUGACUAAAUUAAAUAGGAACUGAAUUUACAUAAUCAUAUAUAAGUUAUUUGGAUACGAAUAUCGAAUUUUGAAUAUCCGCCGAAUAUAUUUACAGUCGGAUAUUAAACGAAUACAAAUACCCACAUUAUAUUUGUAUCCGUUUAUUUGCGGAUACCUUAAACCGAAUACAAAUAUAUCCAUUUUUUCCGAAAAAUAAUGCAAACGAAUACAAAUUUUUCGAUUACCAUUUACAGGCCUUAUAAUAAUAAUAAUUUUAGAAAAACAAAUAUUUUAAUUUAUUUGUUGUUUAUUCUCAAUUUUGUAUUGUAGUUCAGUGAAUUUGUGAUGGAUUUACUUAAUUCAUGUACAUGAACUAAAACAACUAUUAUUAUUAUGGAAUGAAAAGACUACUACCCAUCUCCACGAAUCACAACAAUAGCAUUCAAUCCUACAUCAAUUAGAUCAUAUCAAUAUCCAUACUUCAAAAAUGAAAUGUUGAGUUGUACACAUCCGUUCUCGUUCCUUUUUAACAGCAAUUAAGGAAAUUAGAGAACAUAAGCCAAAUAAACAAUUAUGAUAUAAAAUUAAAAAUUACAGAAAAGGCUACAAUUAUAAGACCAUAUAUGAGACAGUUCGGAUUAACUAUCUCAAAUAGUGUCUUAUUCAUUGUCCAACAAAGAGAUCGCGUCAUAUGCCAUGAAAAAAGAAAAAGAAACUCCAAUUAAGCUAUAGCUAAAAUAUCCCAAAUUUAAUUCUUUCAUCCCUGUUAUGAGUAAAUCCAAAACUUAAUCAUUCUGUAUAUAUUUUAUUUAAAAUCCUAAUAAAAAAACACUGACACAUGCUUUCAGAAAGCUAUUGAAGUAUAGACAUCUACAAGGAAUUCAAGCUGUUGGGUCGUGAUAUUUCUCCUAUUUGGGGCGGGUAAAUUGGGCUCAUUUAUUAAUUUAAUCCAUUGGGCUGUUAUAAUUGAGCCAUGAAAGUUGUUGGGCCUGGUCACCAUGUUACCUUUAUCUUAUAGGACCGGGUCGGUUCGUUGGAUUAACCCGUUGGAUCAUUUAAUAUAUAUUACUUUGACUUGUAAUGAUGAAAUAACAUGACAGUUGACCGAGAUAUCUGCCAUGCAUUAAUGUGGAUGGGAUUAUAGCCGGCCGGCGGUGGAAAACAGUGGCCAAAAGCAGUGGAUAAGCUCCAUGCAGUCGGCAGAACCCAUCAGAUCAGGGGGAUAUGUCAGAUGGUAGUGGGUGGCACAGUAAUCCAGGCAAAGAUAUUAUUUCUUGGCGAGUAAGUCUUCACAAGGAGGUACGUUUCUUGAUAUAUACACAUUCACACAACUGAUAAUAAUAAUCUCUCUCAUUACACUAGAUUUUAUCAUCCUCUUGAGUUAACCUUGUGAACAGACAUACUUACUCUCACGCCUGAGCUAUCCCCCGGCGGUCCGGCCGUCAAGCUUGUGGUGUUUGUCGUGUUUACUGUGCAGGAUCAGGACGUCUUUCGUGAUUGGGACGUGGAGAAAGAUCCUGGCGUUAACAUUGGCGCUAGAAGGAGGGCUCAGUUCUAGUGUCUUGAGUACUUUUCAAUCACAGAUUGUGUUUUAUUCUAUUCAGUUUUCAUGGGAAAGAGUAGAACACCUACACCCGAAGGACAGCCGAUGGCUGUCAGUGAGUCAGUACCGCGAGUAUCUGCCAAAGAUCGUUUGGGACCAACCAUAAGUGUUCAUGCUAGCACAGCGUCCAAACGGUCACCUGAAGAUUCUCGGCCGAAGGCGGUAGGCAAAGCGAAGCGUAAGCUAGUAUUCCCGACGGAGAAGGGGUCUGGCCAUGGUCGGAAACGAGUAGAAGGCACCUCGCCUAGAACUCGAUACCGAGAUGACCAGGAUGCAAAGGCCUCCCGGCUGGCUAAGAUGGCAGAUGAAGCGGAUAGAGCCAUGGAGGUACUGGUGAAGCAGCGUCAGGAUAUAGCUGAGCAGAUGGCUCGGAUGGCGGAAUUGAGAGAUGAAGAGCUCAGCUAUGUUCAAUCCGAAGAGCAAGGGCAUCGGAGUGGGAAGGAACCUGCUCGUUCAGGGCGACAGUCUCUGGGCCGAACUAGGGAAAGAAGAAGGUCCCGAAGCCCUACUCCUCAGAGAUCAAAGAGGACUUAUCACCCUGCCGAUUCUAGGGGACAGGGGCGAAGCGAAAGAAGAGGUCGAUCCAGGGAUCGCACUCCAGAACAUGCAAAGAAAGCCCUUGUCGUUGCACAUUCUCACCAUAGUGCCCGGGUUCAGAGGCGAAGUAUAUCCAGAGGACAUACUCCCGAGAGUCUACUGAGGGCACCCCGCCCUGUAGACACUCGUCAUCGGAGAAGCCCCUCUAAAGUUGAAGGUUCUGUUGAAAGAAUCCGGUCUGCUUAUAGGAAGAAGGGGUCACCGGAGAAGGAGGCAUCAUCUCAACCAGAAGGCGUGGAGUAUCUGGUUAAAGAAUUGAAGGAGCUUCGGAAGCAACUUGCCGAAGUCCAGAAAACCAAAGACGCUCCGGGAAAGAAGGCGUCCCCUUUUUCCGCGGAGAUUCUUAGAGAAAAAGCUGAUCCCACCAAGAAGUUGCCCCAUAUCGAGAGUUAUGAUGGAUCGGGGGACCCUUACGACCAUAGUCAGGCGUUCGACCGACUCAUGGAUUAUUAUGACUUUAGCGAUGCUGCUAAAUGCCAUACUUUUGUCACAACUCUUAGAAAGGAUGCCCGGCAGUGGAUGGGGACCUUACCCUCAGAUUCAAUCUCGUCCUGGGAAGACAUGUGCAGCAAGUUUCAUGCUCGCUUUGGGAGCAACAGAAGAAGGGGAAAACCAACUGGUUCAUUGGCUCAAGUUCGGCAAUCCUCUAAUGAAUCUUUGGGCCAGUAUGUGAAGCGGUUCCGGGAAGCAGUCGGCCAAGUGGCAGACUUGAAUGAUCUACAAGCUGUGGGACUGUUUCAGAACGGGUUAGAUCUGGUUAAAUCGGAAAAGUUGGUGAAAAAACUUAUGUUUAACCACCCGAAGAGUCUCGCCGAAGCCUUUGACAAAGCCGAAGGCUAUAUCGUGGUGGAGGAAGCCAUGAGCAGCCUCAAACGUCCUUCAGAUCGGCUUAAGGAGACAGAUCGGGACAAAACCGAUGGAGAUCAGAAGAAGAAUGAAGGGAAUAAAGACCGUCAUGAUGACGGGUCGAAGAGAUACAACAAUUGGAGGCAGGGUGGAGGACGUUCGUCCGCUCCAACCCAGAGAGUAAAUAGGACGUACACGGCACUCAACGCAGACAGGGCUGUUAUCUUAGAUCAGAUCAAAAAUCAACCUAUCUUCGAGCCACCACGAGAUAAUAUUAAGCCCGGAAAAGGGAAUCCUCGCAAGUAUUGCGAUUACCAUCAAGCUUCGGGUCAUGAAACGAACGAUUGUGCCAGUUUAAAAGAAUUCAUUGAAAGAAAGGUACAAGGUGGGGCUUUAGUUCAGUAUGUGGCUGCCAGAACUAAUCAACAGCAGGAUCGAGGACCUGUCUCGGCAGCUCAACCAGUUCAGCAAGCAUUGCUAGCUCCGGGACAGCCUGCGAGGCAUGUGAUAGAUGUCAUCACUGGGGGUACUUCUGGCAAGCUCAUUGGAAAGAAGCGCCGAAGCUAUUUGGAUUCGGUCAUGUCGGUGGCGGGUACCUUCCCGAAGACUGACAGACCCUAUCCGAAAACGGUAAUCUCCUUUACUGAUGAGGAUUACCCUUCAGAAGUCAUCGAACCGCACGAGGGAUCAUUGGUGCUGACUGCACAAGUGGGUUCGGUGGAUAUGAAGCGGAUGAUGGUAGAUAAUGGGUCUUCUGUAGACAUCCUGUACGCCCACGCUUAUCAAAGGAUGAAUCUGGACGGGCGGAAGAUGGAAAUAGGGCAGGAGGCUCCUCUUUAUGGUUUCAGCAAUGAUCCAGUUAAGGUGGCUGGGACCAUUGAACUACCAGUCAUAUUUGGAACGGCCCCUCAACAGGUAGAAAUUAUUUGCAAAUUUUAUGUUGUGCAUGUAGAUUCUGCUUAUAAUGCUAUUUUGGGGAGGCCCACUUUAAUUGCUUUGCAAGCUGUAACAUCAAUACCUCAUUUCAAAAUCAAAUUUCCUACGGCUCAUGGGGUUGGGGAGGUGAAAGGAGAUUUGGAUCUGGCCAGGAGGUGUUACAGAAAUGCUGUUAUUACUUCGGGAGUGGGGGUAUCGAAGCAAAAGCAGAACAUGGCGAUAGAGAUCGAACCCUUCACCGAGAGUAGUUCCGAACCGUUGGUCCUGCCAGCUGGAGAAACGGAGGAGAUAGAGCUCAUCCCGGGCAAGGUGGACAAAACGGUGAAAAUAGGUUCGGGCUUGCCGGAACCUCUCCGGACGAACCUCGUGGAGCUCCUGAGGUGCUAUGUUGACAUCUUCGCAUGGGAACCUCAGGAUAUGCCGGGAGUAAGCAGGGAUAUUGCUGAGCAUCGAUUGGAAGUAGACCCGUCAAAGAAGCCGGUGCGGCAGAAGAGGAGGAUCUUUGCACCUGAGCGUCAACGGAUCAUAGAUGAAGAGAUUGCAAAACUGUUGGCAGCUGACUUCAUCUUUGAGAUCGACUACCCGCAGUGGAUGGCUAAUGUGGUGCUGGUCCAGAAGCAGAAUGGCAAAUGGCGAGUCUGCAUCGAUUAUACUGAUCUAAACAAGGCCUGUCCGAAGGAUUUCUACCCGCUGCCCCACAUCGAUCAACUCAUUGAUGCCACUUCGGGGUAUGCUUUAUUAAGUUUUAUGGAUGCAUUCUCUGGGUAUCAUCAGAUCUCCAUGUGUAAAGAGGAUAUACCGAAGACGGCGUUCAUUACGCAUCGUUCGGUAUAUGCCUAUAAGAAAAUGACUUUCGGCCUCAUCAAUGCCGGAGCCACGUACCAGAGGAUGAUGAACCAUAUCUUCAGAUAUCAGUUGGGCAGGAACAUUGAGGUGUAUGUGGAUGACAUGAUUGUCAAAAGCAUGUUGGUGCAUAAACAUUUGGAUGAUUUAGAGGAAUGCUUUCAGACUAUUCGUCAUCACAACUUGAGACUGAAUCCCACUAAGUGCACCUUCGGUCUGGGGGCUGGCAAAUUUCUGGGUUAUCUUGUCAGUCAAAGAGGAAUUGAAGCCAAUCCCGAGAAGAUUCAAGCGAUCCUGAAUAUGAAGACUCCUCAGUCAUUUAAAGAUGUUCAACGUCUGACUGGAAGGAUUGCAGCUUUGCGGAGAUUCAUGUCCAAGUCAGCAGAAACAUGUUUACCGUUUUUUGACACAUUGAAAGGGCCGAAGAAUGCAAAGACGUUUCAAUGGACUUCGGAGUGUGAAGACGCCUUUCAAAGCAUCAAGUCCUAUUUAUCUUCGGCUCCUUUGCUGGUGAAGCCCGUUCCUGCCGAGCCUCUAUAUUUGUACCUAGCAGCUAGCUCGUCGGCAGUAGGAGCGGUUUUGGUGCGUGAAGUUGGGGGUAAGAAGCACCCGGUUUAUUAUGUAAGCCAUGUCCUUCGGGAUGCUGAAACAAGGUACCCAAACAUUGAAAAGUUUGAUUUUGCUUUAAUAACUGCUAGUCGAAAGCUUAGGCAAUACUUCCAGGGUAGAUUGGUAAUAGUGUACACAAAUCAGCCUUUAAAGAAGAUUAUGGGCAAACCAGAGGUAUCGGGGAGACUAGCUGCAUGGACGAUGGAGUUAUCCCAAUUCUUUAUUGAGUAUCAUCCCCGAACCGCCAUCAAAGGGCAAGCCUUGGCUGAUUUUGUGGUUGAGUGUUCAUUUUCUGAAGCUGAUGAAGUCGUGGCCGAGGCUGGAGGAUCUGACAGAGCAGUUGCCGUUCUUCAGCAGAAGGAGAGUUCAUGGACGCUGUAUGCAAAUGGGUCUUCUACUUCGGACGUCAAUGGAGCAGGGAUUAUCUUGACGAGUUCGGAGGGAUUCAAGGUGCAACAGGCCAUCAGAUUUCAGUUUAAAGCGAAGAACAACGAAGCUGAGUAUGAGGCAGUGCUUGCGGGGUUACGAUUAGCGAAGAGUCUUGAAGUGCAGAGAAUAGUCAUCUUCAGUGAUUCUCAGUUAGUCGUUAAACAAUUCUCUGGGGAAUACGAAGCUCGAGGUCCAAGAAUGAUCAAGUAUUUGACAGAAUUUAAAGAACGGCUUCAGUAUUUCUAAUCCUACGAGUUUCAAGGGGUCGAGCGUAAUAACAAUUCCAUUGCUGAUGCACUCGCCAGACUAGCCACUACGGAUGUUAAUGUUUUUGAAGGAUCGGUGUACCUGGAAAUUUUGCAACAUCCUAGUGUUCAUCAUGAAAUGGUAAUGUGCAUUGACCGAACCAACUGCUGGUUAACCCCAUACCUGGAAUAUUUGGCAUAUGGCGUCUUACCUUCGGAUCGGAUGCUUGCCAAGAAAAUCAAGUACAAGAGUGCUAACUUUGUUCUGAUUGAUGGGGAUCUUUUCCGAAGGGCCUUCUCGUCUCCAUUACUGAAAUGUUUGACUCCAUCUGAAGCUGAAUAUGCUCUUCGGGAAGUUCAUGAAGGCAUUUGUGGUGACCAUAUGGCUGCUAAGUCAUUAGCCUAUAAGGUACUUCGUCAAGGGUACUACUGGCCUAACAUCUUCAAGGAAGCGACUGAGUACGUCAAGAAGUGCGAGAAGUGCCAGCUCAACAGUCCAAUACCGCAUCAGCCACCAGAAGAGCUAUACUCGAUCUUGUCUCCUAUACCCUUUGCUGUCUGGGGGGUUGAUAUACUGGGUCCACUACCGAAAGCAAAAGGUCAGGUCAGUUUUGUUAUAGUUGCCAUAGACUAUAUGACCAAAUGGGUAGAAGCAAAGCCACUUAGGUCAAUAACGGAACAGGAGUGUUUGAAAUUUUUGAAAGAGUCAGUAGUAUUCCGUUUUGGAAUUCCUAAGGUGGUAGUAUCGGACAAUGGACGUCAGUUUGUGGGAUCGAAGUUUGAAGCAUUUUUGACAGAACUGGGGAUCCAGCACAGAAAGACUUCAGUGGCUCAUCCUCAGUCAAACGGACAGGUUGAAGUAACCAACAGAACGCUGCUGAAUGGGAUCAAGCGUAGGUUGGACGAAGCUAAAGGCAGAUGGCCAGAAGAGCUGCUAAGUGUACUAUGGGCUUAUCGAACUACUCCAAGGACUACAACAGGGGAUUCACCUUUCAGAUUGGCCUAUGGUACUGAUGCCUUAGUCCCAGUUGAAAUUGGAUCUCCAAGUCUUCGAGUUAGUCAUUUCAGAGAGAUCUACAAUGAUGAAGGGCUGAAGGCCAAUCUUGAUUUGCUGGAAGAAGUCAGAGAGAUAGCCUUAAUCAAAUUGGCAGCCUAUCAGCGAAGAGUGGCUAAGCAUUAUAAUAAGGGGGUAAAGCUUCGCAGAUUUGAAGUAGGAGAUUUUGUCCUCAGAGAAGUCGAAGCAUCUACACCUCAGAAUCUGGGAAAGCUGAUGCCAAAUUGGGAAGGACCGUACGAAAUCACUGAAGUGCCGAAGCCGGGGACUUAUCGAUUGAAGGCAUUAGAUGGGUCAGUAAUUAAAAAUACUUGGCAUGCUGGCAGGUUUAGGAAGUACUUUCAGUAUAUUCAAUGUCAGUAUAUCGGAAGUCUGUAAAUAUUUACAUCAUCAUCAAUAAAAGUUCCUCUUUUCUCUCAAGCGAAUUUUGUCUCUGUUGCUGCGCAGUUCGUUGGUGUUAGGAGGUUCGGGAGGACUCGCUGACCAUUAGAUGGUAGCCUUUUUGGCAGGUUGUUACUUUUGGCAUUGUCAGGCCCUUCGGGGUAGGCAAUUGUCGCCACUUUUGGCAUUGUCAAGCACUUCGGGGUAGGCAAUUGUCGCCACUUUUGGCAUUGUCAGGCCUUUCGGGGUAGGCAAUUGUCGCCACUUUUGGCAUUGUCAGGCCCUUCGGGGUAGGCAAUUGUCGCCACUUAGACCUUGUCAAUCCCUUCGUGGUAGGCAAGUGUCAUCUUUAAGACGUUAUCAGGCCCUACGUGGUAGGCAAUUAUCGACACUUAGACUUCGUCAGGCCCUUCGUGGUAGGCGAAUGUCAUCACUUAGACUUCGUCAGGCCCUUCGUGGUAGGCGAAUGUCAUCUUUUAACUUCGUCAGGCCCUUCGUGGUAGGCGAAUGUCAUCUUUUAACUUCGUCAGGCCCUUCGUGGUAGAUGAUUGUCAUCUUUUGGUUCUGUUAGGCCUUUCGGGGUAAAUAAACUCUCAAUGAAGCAAAUUUGUCUCACACUUCGGUAAUUGAAUAAGUAUCUCUUUAUUUUAUUACCUAAAUUUUUUCUAAGUGUUGGGUUCGGAAUGCCUCAUCCUUUAACCUCACCUUAUCUAUUAUAUGACAUGCUUAAUUGUUAAUUAACAAUUUGAGUUGAAUCCUUGAAGGGAUUUUGUACAUUUGUCCAGAUGAAUUCAUAUUGAAGUAUUAACAGGAAGUAAAAAUACCCUGAAGUCAUGAGGAAGAAGAUCACUUUUCAUUAAUAUCUCAUCUACUUACAAUAUGGAAAAUAAAAGAAAAUUUUUACAAGUGUUUUUAAAUAAAACCAAGAAAAAACAAAAGCUGUUGCUUCAGGAAGCACCCUCGUUAUCCGAAGAGUCGAGCUAGGAUGGAUCUAUGUUGGCUUUGAUCAACUUCUCCUUACCACGACUUCGGCAGAGCUCGUAACUUUCCGUAUGAAUCUUCAUGAUUUCUCCAUUGAUUUCCUCCGAGUUCCGAUACUCUUCACAAAUUUGUUUGCGAAGGGCAUCAGUCAAAGGAGGCCCAAGGUCCCGAAGAGCCUUGAGUUCUCGGAUUUCUUGUUCGAGCUGCUGCCGUAUAUUCAUCUGACGGGUUUCUUCCCGCUCCAGCUUAUGGAACGUCUUGGUUAAUAUCUUGGAAUUAGCCUUCAGCUCCUUGAUCUUGUCCAUCCUUAUUUCACUCCUCUAAACCAAGUCGACGUUCAUCUUGACGAUCUCUGCAUGUUGUGCUUUAGUCGACUUCAAUUCUUCUUUCGAGGUCUUCACAUCUUCCUUGGCUUGGGCCAACUCUUUCUGAAGUCCUUCAUUUGUAUGAAGGAUACCUUCACGUUAGGUCCUUUCCCGAGCCAAGGCAGACUUCAGGAUGGAGUUCUCCUUCUUCAGCGUCUCCUCUUCGGAUUCGGCAUCGAGAGAUCUUGGACGCAAACGCCCGAAUACAGCAUUUGUAUGUGCAUGUUCAGUAUUAUUUGAUCAGUUUCAGAUAUAUGAGUACGAAGAUAAGUAUGGAAAGGAAGUAGAGAAUCAUUUACCUUCGCCAAGUAGCUCAUACCUUCGCUAAGCAAAUCCCCAUUCGUACUGUUCCCGAAUCAGUGGUCAUCGGUCUCGCGAACAAAGGCCUCGAACAGUUGAAAGGGGAAGUUGGCAUUAAAUCGAGGCCACAUUGUUGGAGAGGCCAUGGCAUCAUGCUGGAAUUCGGUAGUCGUUUGUCGUGGAGGAGAAGGCAUAGGCUAGUUGCGAAUCGGUGAGGGAUCCGCAUGUAUUGCCUCUGGGGAAGGAGAUCGGGCAGGUGUAGGCUCGGGAGUUGAAGAAGGGGCAGAGGUUGAACCUGGCUGGCUGUCUGAGGGUUGUUUUCUUUUUCGGGACAGUGUGGGGUCAGAUUCGACCAGCUCAGCAUCAGGUGUUUGGGUUUCGGUUGGCACUAUUGGGGGGUUUACUGUUGAAGAUGGAGGAGCACGGAGUUCUUCGGCAGUGAGUGGUAUUAUUUUUUAUCUUAAUUUUUUAGCACGAAGGACUUUCGCCCGAUCGUGUAGAGGUAUGUCAAGUAGAUUUCUCUUAGCUGGGGUUGGUUCAGGAGAUGCAGUAGCGGGGUCAGAUGGAGGAGUUGGUUGUGGGAUUGCUUCGGGAAGAAUCUCCUCGUCGCUUUCAGGAUUUAUCUCGCGAGGGAUGGUUCUGGCUUUUUUGGCAGCUUUCUUCCUUCGGCGAGGUCUAAGGGUUUCUUCGGGAAUGAGAGGCUCGUCGGCUUCAGGUUCAUCAUUCCGAAGGGGAGUGGUUGGUGGAUCGGAGGCUGGGGGGUCGGUUCGGGAAGACUCCUCAGUAGGAAGCUCUUCACUCGCCUCCGUAGUCCUCCCGGCCAGAAAGUCUCCCAAAUCUUUCAGUUCCGAAGAAGUUGGUUUGAUCAGAGACACUGCAAGUGACCAUAUAUUAAAAUCCAUGCCACUUAAAUACAUCGAAAACUAUAUUGCAGAGUAGUUUGAAACUUACAUUUAUGAUCAUACAGCCAGGCUUGUUUGGUCAAAAGGGUGAAACUCCAUUCUUUUGGAGGUAUCUUCUUCAGAAAGUCACCCAUCUCCUUCACACGCUCUUCGAGAAUGUCUCCGAAGUCAGCAGAGAUCCGGUCUAGGAUGGUCCAAUCUGGAAGAGAAGAGAUCUCUGGUCCUGUGACGAAGAACCAUUUCUCGUGCCAGCCCUUGUUGCUCGAAGGGGUGCUCAUCAGGGACCUCUUCUCGAAUUUGGAGUUUGGGCGAGGAGAUUGUUUGCUCAGCAUCUUAAACCCUCGUUCUCGGGAUCUACCGGCUGAGAAAAGGGUGAAGAAAAUGUCAACGGAGGGAGUAAUCCCUAGCUCGUGGCAGAAGGCAAUGAAUGCCAGUAUGUGGAUGUAGGAGUUGGGCACCAGCUGAGCGAAGCCCACUCCUAUGAACCCUAGGAGGGUAACAACGAAGGCGUGAAGGGGUAGACGAAUCCCCUUUUCUAGGAAGGUAGCAGGCAUGGCGACCCAGCCAUCUGGUCGCUGGUACAUUCUCUCUUCCGGAGUAGGGGCCCUUAUGGCAUAGUUAUCCGGAAUCUGGUAUCGAAUCCGGAGGGCACGUAUCUCGGAUUCCGUGACGGUAGACGGGAUGUUGGCAUGAGGAAAUUGUUCCCCAUCCUUGAAGAAAUCAGCAGGAGAUGUAGGGUGUGAACUCGAACCCUCUGGGUUAGGGUUUGGGUUGGAGGAAGCUGGAAAAGUCUGGCCAGGGUUCACCAUUGUUGAAAUUUCGAAAGCUAGAGAGAGAAGUUCUAAGAAAGAGAAGAAAGCUCAAAGGUUCAAGAUUCGAAUUAGCAGGUAAAACCGUCAGAAUUGGUAAAGUUUACCUUUUAUACUGACGGUUACACAGGGUACGAGGCCGGCACAUUAAAUGUUAGUAAUGAUGAGAAUUCGAAUGGGAAGUAUCUGGGUUGACCUUUGGAUAUCUUAUCAGAUUGGGCCUUACAGUUGGAUUUCAGAUUGUUGGACCAUCCUAUUCAAUUUCAAUCCUUUAUUGAUUGGGCCUAUUACUCCGAGCAUUUAGCCAUUCCACGUUCCUUUUCAUGCACCAAAGUGGGUAUGUCUCAAUUAUUUUCUAAUUUGGGCCUUUAGUAAAAUCUAAUAUCAUGGACUGUUUAUAGUUUUCCAUUAAACAUCCUGUUUAACAAAUAACUAGGGGGUAAUGUUGGGUCGUGAUAUUUCUCCUAUUUGGGCCGGGUAAAUUGGGCUCAUUUAUUAAUUUAAUCCAUUGGGCUGUUAUAAUUGAGCCAUGAAAGUUGUUGGGCCUGGUCACCAUGUUACCUUUAUCCUAUAGGACCGGGUCGGUUCGUUGGAUUAACCCGUUGGAUCAUCUAAUAUAUAUUACUUUGACUUGUAAUGAUGAAGUAACAUGACAGUUGACCGAGAUAUCUGUCAUGCAUUAAUGUGGAUGGGAUUAUAGCCGGCCGGCGGUGGAAAACAGUGGCCAAAAGCAGUGGAUAAGCUCCACGCAGUCGGCAGAACCCAUCAGAUCAGGGGGAUAUGUCAGAUGGUAGUGGGUGGCACAGUAAUCCAGGCGAAGAUAUUAUAUCUUGGAGAGUAAGUCUUUACAAGGGGGUACGUUUUUGAUAUAUACACAGACACACAACUAAGAAAUCUAAUCUCUCUCAUUACACUAGAUUUUAUCAUCCUCUACUCUCACACCUGAGCUAUGCCCCGGCGGUCCGGCCGUCAAGCUUGUGGUGUUUGUCGUGUUUACUGUGCAGGAUCAGGACGUCUUUCGUGAUUGGGACGUGGAGAAAGAUCCUGACGUUAACACAAGCAAUUGAUCUUUUUAAAUUGAAAAGCUAAAAUGCAUCACAGCCAACACAAUCAUGGCUGUAUUCAAAACUGGUCAUUCAAUUCAAAACAAAACGAAAGUCCCAACUAUGUACAAGAAAUUUCCAACCAAACUUCUCUUUUCAGUACUUUGAAGCCCUACAAACCAGAGCAAAACUCCCUAGAUUUUCUUCUCUUUUACUUGUUUUUCGUAUCUUUGUAAAACCACUGCUACUUUCUCCUCUUGAAGGAUCAAUUCCUUUCUGCACCUUUCCACCACUACUUUCUCCGCUGAAAAGAUCAAUCCCUUUCUUCACCUUUUCAUGAUAAACGGACGGUGGUGCAAGCCUCAACUGAGGAGGAUUUUCCACAUGAUUCAAUCUAUGUUCUUUCUAAAGAUUAGUUCAGAUUUCAAAUUGCUGCACCCAAGUUGCAAUCCAAUUAGUAUCAAGAUAAAUGAGUACAAUGGGUUAACAGUUAUAUCUAGACUAACCCUUGAAAUUGGAUGAUAACCAUAGGAACCCUCAAAUAUAUCGCUUUCAUGUUGGUGCAGACCAAUUGUCCCUUGAGCUAUCUAGUUUCUUGACAAAUACUUGCUCACUAAUCCAUCCUCCGCAAGGGCAGACUUACUUUUCGAACUCAAAGCCAGCCUUUUUCUAUGGUGUACAAAUGGGGCAUCCCGCUGAAGAAUCUCUUUGUGAUGCCUCUUUUUCUUGAAGUUCACACUGCAGAUGGGUUGUAUGUCCACAGCUGAAUAUUUGAAUCCUAGAGCUUGUGGAAUUUUUGGUAAGAGGGCAAUUACAUAUGCAACAUAAAAGACUCCUAGGUAUGUACCCAUGAGAAGCGCCCUUUUUUAGUAGGCUCGUGGUAUAAAAAGUAUCAUCCUCAAUCAGUGACUUGGCAGUGUCCUGGCAUUACAAGCAACUAGUCAAUAUGGAAACUUUUCAUUUGUUGCAUGUAUGUAGCCAAUCAAAAGUGGAAAUUUUGUUUCGGAUGAAAAUCAAUAUCCACAAGUUAAGUAAGAAUGUACAACAUUAAUGUUUGCAUGUUUGGGUAGAAAAUAAAACAAGAGAGUUAAAAUUACUAGAGAAAAGUAAUGGAGGAGUGAUAACAAGUUUCCUUGUGUUUGUGAGUUAAUGAGAGGAGGUGGACAUUGAAGGACUUAAAAUUUUAAGGUUUGUUAUUUUGAGGGGUAGAAUGAGAACAAUAAGAACUUUUUAAAGAGGGAAAAUAACUUUCCAACCAAAUCUUCCCAUUCUUGGGGGAAAAGUUGUGUGUAGAAAGUUGGGUUUACUUUCCACCCAUUUCCCUCAUCUUCCCUCCUUAAAAAAAACUCACACACAUGACACUUGGGAAGGAAAACAUUUAAAAUCCUCCAUUUUCCUCUUCUUUCUUUUUUUCCAACCUUUUUAAACUCAUGAACACAGUGCAAGGAAAAUAAACAAUAAUGAGUAUUAAAAAUUGAUAAAUAAUAAAAUAAACAAGGUAUAUGACUUCUCAGUACCAUAUUGCCGAUAAUUGCCUUUUUCCACUAUUUCGCAUUAGCAUAAUUUCUAGUUAAUUUUUAUUUAGUUAUUUAUAUAUUUUUAUAUGGCUCUAUUUGAAAAGAUAUUGUACAAGUAAAUAGUACUAAAAACAAAACCAAAUGUCAGUCUACCACCUCCAUUUUGCGUUUUUGGUGUGAAAUGACAAGGCUGAGAGCCUGAGACAAAAUAAUAUUUAAAGGAAAGACGAGAGAUAUUUAACCAACAAUUUCUGGUUUCAAGAAUGUGAAGAAGAUUUGACCACCAACAACUCCACAUAGAAAACUUAGCUCGAGUUUAUACUAAAUUAUUUCCAAAUUUCUCCUUUCAUGGAAAACAAUGCAUCCAGAAGCUAGAUCACAUGGAUGGACAACAAUCUCAAGUUUGAUAACAAAGAGAACCAUUCAAAAAAUUAUCUCAAUGAUAGUAAAUAUAUAUAAAAAUAAUUAAUCAAAAGAAACGUGUAUCACGAGUUUCUCGUCCUUCAGUGUUUAUAAAACAAGUAAAUUAUAAGAAAAACAAUGAUAGGAAGAGCAAACAUACCAAAAUUCUUCUUUCAAAAUCAUAUGUUCCAAGCAUUCUCAAUAUGGUAAGUUUAAAAUCACCAAAUUCCUGGUUAUCAUUAUCAGAAAGGAGUUUCAGCAUGAUGGUUGCAAGGCGAACAUAUCCGAUCAUUCCCUCAACAAUCUCUUUAAUGAACACAGAAAAUAAUUUACUCAAAAUAUGAGCGCUUCUUUGGGACCUUGACACCUUCCACCUAAUUUUGUAUGCCGCUUCAUUCUCCUUUCUGCCCAAUGAUACAACUAGAAGUCUCAAGUUCUUUUCACCUUCAGAACCCAUUUGACCAUUAUAUGAAUCCAUUAAUGGCUCACAAAACCUGUAUUGAAACUAUAACAAUUAUUAGAAUUGGGUAAACACGCGAAGUAUCAAGGAAAUAAUGUCUGCAGAAAUGCAUGUGCAAGUCAUUGCGCAUAUAAGAAUAUCAUUUGGAAACAGUGGAGAAGGAAAAUGAAUUAUGGUGGCAACAUAAGAAUGUAGAAACAGAAUUCAAGUAGCAACGCUCUGGGAGAAGAUGCAGAUUGGUUAAAUUUAUCUGCAAAUGUGACUUGCAUUAGUGCACAGAUCACUAACCCAUCAGUUGAGAGUGUGCAAGUUCCCUUACCUGGACAAACAUGGUCUACAAGAUUGAUUUCUUUAGCAACCAAAGGUUAUAAAACAGUUCCAUAGAUAUGAUGAACACCAUAAUGAUGAUAAAAAGAAAACUAUUAGAGAAAUUCAAAUUAAAGGGUAAGUUAGAAGGCAGAGUAAUAAAGAGUUAAUAAUGAGAUGUGUCGUGCCAGUACUAAGUAACUAAAUUAUAAGGAAAUGACUGGAAAAAUCAGACCCUUGCAAAAAGCAUUUUUUAAGAAAAUCUUGAAAAAGAAGAUAAGAGAACAAUGUUCAUAUCAAUUUUUGAAAUCUAAAACUCUUAUAUUGUGUACAACAGACUGAAAUAAAAGCUAUCCUAUUAGGAAGGCCCCUCUAAUGAUCUCGUAAUUAAAGUCCAACAACAAGGAAAAUAAGCACUCUAAUAGCAACUUUUAAGCUUACGAAUCAAGUAAUCGAAACCAGAGGGACUCAGAUUCAUCAAAAUUCAUCUGAGGGCUAUUCCGCUGACACAGUCCAAUACAUGCAUGUAAUGUCAAAUAUGUCAUUCACCUGCAUGAAAAUAUUAUAACAUUAAUAUAAAUUGUCCAACGACUACAGAUGAUUCACGAAGAAAAAAUAUAAAAUAUGUGCAAGACCUCCUCCUUCUGCAAAACAGUGUUCAAAUGCUCCACACCAGCAUCAUAAAGUAAACUUCGAACAGUGGCAUCAAGCAUUAAAAAUUUGUCAGUUAGGCCAGAAAGAAUAAGUGAUAGAGCAGUGCCAACAUCACCAACUCUUUCAAAUAAAAAAGCAGAAGCAUCUACAAUCCCAUAGUUCUGGCACAAGCAUAAACAAUGUUCCACCCUAUAGCUUUCAAAGGUCUCCAUGAACUUGAGCACUGAAAUGGGUUCGUAUUGACAUAACAGCUAUAACAAAAAUAUGUAGGCAAUUUUAAAUUCUAGUAAUAUAACUUCUUGAAUGUUUCUAGAGAAUUGGCAAUCAUUCCGUUGUAGUAGAUAACAAGAAGAAAUUAAAAUUGGCAGUCAUAUUACCAGCCUUGCUUAACUAGGUAGUUCGGAACAUGGUACAAUAAAUUCAUUAUAGAGAGAAAAGUUAAGAAAAAGGUGGAAGUUGAUAUGGAAAAUAAAUAUAUCUAUAAACAACCCUAAAUCAAAGUAAUUACAUUUUCAGCUUGAACAAUGGUUGAAGGCUUAUCAUAUAUGCAUAUAUUUAAUAAACUUUAUUAGACGUAAGAGCAUAUGCCCUAACUGAAUGACACAACAAAGUUUAACACACUAACUGCUAGAUAGUUGUGGAGAAAUUUACCUCAAGAUACUGCUCAAUGAUUUUAUCAGUUACAUGAACUGGAUUAUUAGGCAUUAAAUUUGGAAAAUCAGAAAUCCUUUCCAAGAAAGCCUCAAUUCUACUGUAUUGACCCUCAUCCCUUCUUCCAUUAGGAAUAUCCACAUUAUCACCUUUUGUAAAACAUGAAAAGUUAAGAAUUCCAGUUGAGUGAACCUCAAAAACAGUUUUUAGAUAAAGGAAAAGGAUUUUUGGGUGAGAGUCCAGCUCAAGAUAAAGUGCGUUCAUUAUCACCACUGAAAUGGUCAACAACCAAAAAGAAUGUACUCUCUCUGCAAAAGGCAGAAACACAAAAACAAAUUUAUCAAUCAGAGUCUACUUCAGGUCUACAUAAACAUACGCACCAUGUGAAACAAAGAUCCAUCAAACCCAUGGUUUUCAAGCAGCACCUGCUUAAUUUGACUAGAUCUGGGAUUCGUGACAUGAUUGCUGACUGGAAAUCAUCAGAUUUUUUGCCAUCUAGCUGAAGCAAUGUAUAACUGAUAAAAGAGAAGGCAUGAAUCAGUUCAUCAACGUCUUUCAUAUAGCUCUCCAAAGCGGAAAUAUUCUGAUGUCUGAUGGCAUGAAUACAACCACAAACCUAAAUAAAUAUUUAAAAAUAGAUCAACCUUUCUGUAUGAAUCAUAGAUUUUUGUGUGUAGGUGGGUGGGUGGGUGGGUGGGUGGGGGGGAGAGAGAGAGAAAUCAUGACCAUAAACUUCCUUUAUAUAGUGAUUGAUGUGUAACGAACCAAUUGUCACAUGGAACGAAGAAGUACCAUUUUGUUAUAAAACAUUUUAUAUGUCCAAAAUAAUGGAAAAAGGGUUGGGGAAAUCAAGGGGAAUGCAACCUUCGCUGAAGUGGGUAAAUGCCCUUAACAAAAAUAAGUUGGCAUCUAAUAUAGCACUUAACAAGACAACUUACCCCUCUAACUAACCUAUUUCCAGAUUAGUGCAAGCAACUAAAUUUGAAAUGGCUAAUACAAUAAUAAUAAAUACGACUCCUAAAAUUAUCCAUUCUGAGGCAGCUAUUCAAAUAUUAUACAUGAGACACAUGACAACUUUGGUAAAAAAGAAAAUUGUAUAUACACUUUUACAAAUAAGAUCAAUAGAGAGCUUAUAAAAUAGAUCAAUACAGCAAUAAUCCACAAAAUUGAGAAAUAUACAUUUUUCAUAAAAACAAGUAAUACAUUGAAAAGAAAUUGGUACAUUGUACUCACACCAUGCAUCACGACAAGGUCGAAUCACGCAUCAACAUCUGCACAUGUUGGGAAAUCCAGUUCAUAAAGUGCAUGAAUAUUCUCCAUACCUUAAUAAAGACAAAAACAUGAGAAUAUGAGAUCACAAGAUGUAAAUACCUAAGCAAAGGAAGAAUGAUUUCUAAAGCCUACAAACCAUUGUAAUCUAGUUCAAUACUGAUAAUGAACAGUAGAUAACUUUAGUAAUACAUUAUUGGAUCCGAUAUCAAAUAUUACAAGGCAAAGUAUUUCAAAGAAAUUUAAGUUCAGGGUUUACAUUUUGAACUUUGGAAAUAGAAAAUUAUCCUAUGGACUCAUGGAGAUAUUGUGCUCUAACUAUAAUAAUUUAAAUCACAAAUAUAAAUAGUGUAUAAUUUCCUGGGAACUACUCAGAACAAUGAUUCUUGCAAAAGGAUGGUGAUACAUAUAUUCUAUUUACAUUUUUGACUUAAAGUCCCUCACUGAUUGUCUUUUCAUCCUUAACUUUCAUCCAUUGCACUAAAAGAAAAUAGGAAUAACUUCUAAAAAAAAUUUGUCAAACAAGUCCUACCUGCUCAACCUUUUUCUUCUGUCCAAGUCAUAUUUCAACUGCAGCUGGGCAACUCCUUUCUUCUCAUUACACCUGUAUGAGAAAAUUAUAUUCGCCAUUCUUUACAGAGGAAGAACAAAGGGAGAUAGAAAUGAAUAGAAGCACAAAGUUGGUCAGUGUUUAAUUAUCUCUAUCAAAUUGGUGUUGCUUAAGAUAAGAGAUGCAUGCAUAAUUAUGAAACAAAGAUGACUUGGUGCAAAUCCAAGUUUAAAACUGCAUCACGGUGCAAAAUCAGUAAGAAACAUGCAAACAAUUAGAAUGCAGAAAUAGUAAUUGGAGAUUGUGAAUAAUUUGUGAAAUAUAUGAUAGAAAGUAUACCAAAAGCCAAAAAUAUGACAGCAAGAUUGCCGGGUGAGAUGGAACGAUGUUUGGCUUCUUGAAAGAAGUCUAUGAAUAUAGGAAGCAAUACAAGUGUAUCCAUUGUUGUAUCCAGAAACGUGUACAACUAUGAAAACAACCACUGCUUCAAUAAAUUCGUUAAAAGGUAUCUGGAUAAACAAAGAAAAAAAACCCAGGAGUUGUAUAAGUGAUACCUCCCCUAAGACUGUUAUAGUAUGUACUCAUUUUACAACUACCUAAGAAUAGAUCAGCUUAGUUUCCAAAUUUUCUUAAACUAUGUGCCAUCUGAUGUCAUCCAAAUUGGAUGGAGGUGUAUAUGCCACAAUUAAAAUAACAGAAAUUCUUCCAUGAAAAGUUGGCAGAUAAGAAGUCUGCCAAAACUAGUUAACCGAGUGGUGUCACAUUACUAACCAUGUAUUUCAAUUUGAAACUGCUAAUAGCCAUUGGACACAUUCACAAGGCAACCUUUUAAGUAGACCAAGUUGGAUCAUUUCAUUAAGCAUAUGGUACCUAAAACUAUUACUAAAGUUCCAAGAAAAGAAUUACUUUUCAAAUUCAAACAAUUUGAUAUAGCAAGGUUUGAAGACAAAGUCAUUAUGUAGAAGUACAUGUCACAGUCUAAAAAGCAGCUAAUUCUAGUGACUAUAUAAAAAGGAAUACUACUUUGAAUGCAUUGCUGAUAUUAAUUUUAAUUAUGUGAAGACUGUAGUGUACGGGUUUCUAUAAGCAAUUCAUUAUUAGAAUGCUUGCAAUAAGAUUAAUUUAUAAAUACAGGAAGUUACAGAAAACAAAUAUGAAAACGGAAAUAUAAAUCCACUAAACCAAAUGGUGAAAGUGUCUCUUGUUUAUGACUAAAGUUCAACUUGUCCAUUAAACUAUCACCCUAAAGAAAGUGAAAAUUACCGCUAGAAAGGAGGAAGAAUUUGUAGUUGUGUGCCCCAACACAGUUACCUUGCUAACGAACUGAUACAUGAACAAUGUUAGAAAAGGAAGUAAACAUUAUAAAGUAAUUGACUUCAAUACUCUUAUGCUACGUUGGUAUUGGAGGAAUGGAAUUAAGUGAGUGGAAUGAUUCAUUCCAGUCAUUCCAUACCCUCACCCAAGUAAUAAAAUUCACAAAUUUGGUAGGAAUGAGAAUAAUUUAUUCCAUUCCGAUGGAACAACCAACCACAAAUUUUCCAUUCCAUGGGAAUAAGUCAUUCCAUUUCCACCUUCAUUCCUUCAAUCCAAACAUAGCAUUACUGUUUGAAAUGAUCUACAAACGAAAUAUAACUCCUACUCAAAUAAACUGAACUAGCUUCAAUUUGUUCGAAUAAAUCUAAUUAAUCAUAGUAUCCAAUACCUAAUGUAAUAGAUAACUGGUUCUAAGCAUACGUGACAGACAGUUUAUAAAUUGUAGUAUACUAGACAAAAUCAUUGAAACAUUGCUUGAGUCGUUACAAGACUACCAACAAUAAAUGACAGUCAGUUUAUACAUUAUAGUAUACUAAACAAUAUCAUCUCAACUGGAUGUCAAUCACUAUUAAUAGGAAACAAAAUCUAUGCAGGUAGGCAGCUGAUGCAGUCGAAACAUUACUUCAGUGUCGACUAAUAAUGCCACAACACCAUAAUUAUGCUUUACACAAUCAACAACUUGCGACAUAUUAGUACGAUAACUACUUGAUAUAUAUAUAUUUGUUUCCCUUUUCAUCAAUUCAUCACAAUGUUUUAGGGAUACAAUGUUUUAACUUUAUAUUUCCUCCGCAAACAACCUACAAAAAUUAAAUACUAAGGACCCAAAUAAAUAGUUGAAGAUCAUAGAAAUUCGUACAGAAGUUGGGCAGGAGGAAUUACAAUUGCUCAGUGAUAUUAACUUUCACUCUAAAAGGAAGGGUAAGAUGCUAGUUCACAUGGGUCAUAGAGAAGACUAAGUCAUGUUGAGAAGUUAAAAGUCCAUACUAAAUGAAGAAGAUAAUGUCCAAUGGAGGAGGAGGAACAAUUUGAUUAAAGAAAAUGAUAGAAGGAACUCGAGCAUCACAAGCUUGUGUUUCCAUUCACUGAAGGUGUUAAUGCUAGCAACAUGAUCGAGGAUUGUAAAGAAACAAAUUGUGAAAGAGCUCCCAUAUAUGAUGAAGAAUCAUUCACUGAAGGUGAUAAUGCUAGCAACUGGAUCAAGGAGUGUGAAGUUGCAAUAACAUUGAGUAAUUAAUAAUUUCAAGAACAACACUUCGUUAUUGUACUCAUAUAUAUGAGAAACCAAAAGUUGCAAUAACAUUGAGUAAUUAAUAAUUUCAAGAAAUAUGAUUACUCAUAUUGAUGAUCUAGUAUAUUCGCAUAAGUUAAAUAAAUCAAAAUCUUCACAAUUAAGUUAUGUAUGAUGAGCUACAGAUGAAUCACACACCUGAUACCCCCGCGCGUAGACCACCAGUCCAAUCUUGCUUGUAGCAUAACAACCUUUUUUGAAGAUCAUUCUUGAUUCCCCGAAAGGGAACAAGCAUUUCUUCCAUGAUAACUCAAAAGUUAUACAAUUUCGGAUUUUUUUAAUUCUUUUUACUUUUUUCCUUUUAACUUGACAAAGUACUAAUUGGUAUGAGAUGGACUACAAAUGACACACUCAAACUUCAAACUAAGGGUCUAUUAAGAUAACUAUAUGUUCAUAAUCAAACUAGAAGAAAGAAUGGGGGCUAUGGGCACAAUGACAAAGAUUGCUUGAUCAUUACUUUCAAUGUAUAAAUGGCCCUUGGUGAGGUCCAUGAAUUAGAAUAUACAAGAAUCAGAAUAAAAUUUUGGUAUAACAUACAAAGAAUUAUUUUAGUGAAGUUAUAAAGAAGAAUAAAAGAAUAGUUAGUAAUGAAUGUGAAUCAGAUAAAGAUAGGAAUCUCAAUCCUGCCUACUUGGAUUCCAAAACUGAGUGAAAAAUCAGUGAUACUAGUGAAAUAGAUUCAGGCAGUCAAGACUAACGAAACAACAAAACCAUCUCCAACAACUAAGAUAUAAACUAGCGGUUGACUUCAGUAAAGUUCAGAUCCAUCAAAUCUGAGAGAAUAUGAAUUUUGAAACUUAGGGGAUUUCUUGCUUUUAUAAAACAUAUUUGGAAAGAAACUGAAAUUGGGUGAUAAUUUUGUAGUGGGACAAAUUUAGCGAGCCCAGGCUCAAUUAAGGUUACUCCCAACAACGCAGAGGCAUAUUUCCUCUUACACUUUUAAAAAGAUAUACCAAUAAUUAAUAAUAAAUCUUGAAAAGAUCGGACUUUUAUCACCGAAUAAUUACUCGUAAAUCACCAAGUAUGAGGAAAAGUCCGACCGGAAAGUUUGGUCAACCCCUCGUGAGUGAUGACAAAGCCAUUAUAAGGAAGUUAAUACACUAAUACUUGAGGUGGACAGAUACAAGUAUGGGUUAGGCUACAUACUAAAAUUAUAAAUAAUAAUAUUUAAAAAUAAAAAUAAAAACACAUAAAGGGGGAGAGAGAGAGAGCAACAUUUUGUGCUUUAAAGCUCUAGAAAUUAUUGGGAAGGUAAAAAGAAAGGCAUAAGCGCAUAUAGAGAAAGAGGAGUUAAGGGACUUGAAAGGUAAUUCAGCCCACUGGCUUGAAGCUCAAAAUUGAAAGUGUUGGACCAUUGAUACAGUUGAUACAGUUGCAGAAGAGAAUUAAUUGAAAGUAUUGGAUAAUUUUAAAUCAUACAAAUACCAUCCAUGAUGACAUGUUAACAUUUACUUUGAAAUACACAGAUAGAUUAUGAAAUAUUUUGUUUAAAUUCUUAUUUGUACUCGAGGCAUUUAAAGGUUAAAUGAUAUGCAAAACCACAAAACUAAAAACAGAUUCUAGAGCAGAAAUAGAAAUGCAUACCAAAUCAUCAUCUUCGGUAUUGUCUCCUUUUUCCACUACUCUCCCUAAGGAUUAUAUUCUCUUCUUCAAGCUGACCAUAUCGCUCCUUUGCAAAAGCUAGAUCUGCUUUGACCGUGUUCAGCUCCCGAAGAAGAAGCUUUUCUUUGGCAGCCAUUGCCAUUGCAACCUGUAACUAUAACCAGGAGGCAUAUCAUACAUCUCACCUAAUAUCAACAUACAUCUAUUUUUUAAACAUGUUAUUUUUUUGAGUUGCAUCUGAUAAAGUUCAUUCUAUUAAUGCCAAAAAACAAAACCCUUGUUGUUCUACUUUACUCCACCUCCACAGCCCAAAUCCACUGUAUACCAACCUCCAUGCAUUUUGCUAACCAAAAACACAAAAACAACACUAAACAAAAAUAUCCACUUCAUAGAUCUUCAUUUUCACCAAACAAUCCAAUUUUUUUAUAAACAAACAAAAUAAAAAUUCUGCUAAAUAUAACUCCAAAUGGGUCCUCCUCAAUGUUCUGCUGUUACUAGAAUCAAUGCACAUAAACAAGCCUAAGUUUUUACUUCUACUGAAUAAAGAAAGGUUACAUAAUUCGAGAGUACACAAUAAAGAAACUAAACCCAAUCCUAAGUUUUUGCACACAUAAUUCAUGAAGAAUCUAAGUUACAGCAUAAUCCAUCGCUGAAAUUGAGUUUCAAUCCUAAACAAUAACUAUAGCAUACGAUAUGAAAAUCUCCAAUUCUCCAUACAGUAAAAACCUAAUAAAAUUGAAUGUCCAAUCUUGAACUAAAUUUCCCAACUUCAUGCCAGGCCAAAAUAAUCUUCAAAACAAAAGAAAACAAAAGAAAAACUACAAAUCAUUCAACCCUAAAAUUUACUUUUUCUCACACGUGCACUGCAUAUCUGCAUUCUUAAGGCUGAAAUAGAACAAUCAACAACAAUGAGCAACUGUACCUAGCUUCAAAAUCUGCUUAACCAACAUUUUCUUAUAUUACUUUAUUUGUAAUGAAAUUCUACUAUGAAUCAUGCAUGUUUUCAGUUGUAUACAAUGUUCAAGUGUCAUACCAGUUCUUAAUGCUUCGUGUUUAUCAGAAUUUGUUCUAAUGAUGUGAUAGAGAAUACAUGCCAUAUGUGAGUAAAAGAAAGGCUUAUAAGUAAUGUAUAUAAACUUAUACAUAUGUUGCAUUUUAAUGUCAGUUUUUAGAGUAUUUUCCUGAGUUGCUUAAAUAGUACCUCUGAUCCAAAUUAUAAGAUCAAUAUUGACUUUUCAAAAGUCAAUUUCAAAUACUUUCAAACUUAAAAUUGACAUAAAUUCUUAUAGUUUAUGUCAAAACAAUUACGAAUAUCGUAAACUAACUAGUAAUAAAAUUUAUUGUUUCAAAACUUGAAUGAAUCAUGUCAAUUUAAAAUGUGAAAAUAUCUCAAAUUGAAUUUUAUAAAGUUAAUAUUGAUCUUAUAAUUUAGAAUGGAGAGAGUAUAUAUUAAAAAUAAACAAGUCUAGUUUGUCCCUACCAAAAAUCAAUUUAGUCAGAAGUGUAAGUAUUUUUAUUAAAUUCAUGCAAAAGUUUAGUUGUUAACAUUCUACCUACAUAAAAUUUGUGUACUUAGUGUACCUUCAAAGAGUCACAAAUCGGUCAUAGCAUAACAUUAUUUGGCGAUUCUUGAACCUAAAUUGAAGCAUCAGAAGUUUUGUUCAAUUAGAAGUGGAAUCAGCUCAAAAGACUUAACAAAGGAGUUAUAACAAUUUUAUUGUAAUAUGGUGCAUGCUUAAUUAUUUGGGAAACACUCAUUCUACUAAGUAAUUAUGAUGAUACAAUUUUUGAUAUUCGUGUAGUAAUAAGUAAUGAAUGGAUGAGAAAUUUAUGUGAUGAUGUGAACAUUUUACGCGUGAUCAUUGAACAUCAUGCAUUGAUAUAUGAUUUUGAAAAUAAGAAUGGUAACAAGGUGAUUAUUGGGGAAUUGAAGUUCAAUUGUGUUGUUAAAGUUGAAAUUGUAAAGGUUUCCUAGCUUGAAUUAGGUUAUGGAUUCCCUCGAGGACAACUUGGGGACAAAUCCCUAUAAGAAUAGUUGGUGCCUAGCCAAAAUUAUAAUGUUACUAUAUUUGGUUUCUAGCCAAAACUAGGAUAUCUGUUUUAAAGGUUAUAUCCUUGUUAAAGAACUUAUUAUAUGAAAAAAAUAAAGAAGAGAAUGUAAAGAAAACAUGUUGCAUUGAUGUUCGAUUUUCUUCAUUUGCAUGAUUUGUUUGUGGUUGCAUAAUACAUUGACUUAAAACUUAUAUUAACAUAUUCUAUUGGGCUUAUUCUCGCCCGUAUAUAUUUUCAAGGGUAAAAGACUCCUUCAGAUUGGAAUACAAGAGAAUAAGUUUGAAAUGACUUAACAUUACUAUUAUGGGCUAAGGGAAGAUGAAUCUAUAAACAUGGUUUUGUGUAAAUUAUAAUUAUAUACGACUUAAAUGUUCAAAGCAAGAUGCAUUUGUUUUAAGAUAUCUAAGGGUUCAUUAGGUAACUGCUUCUGUUUCCAAAAUCUUGUUUCUACUUUUACUAUUUUGAAAUCAAAAGCAAAAAAUAGUUUUUGGUAACAAUUUCUGCUUUUAAAAAAAGUGGAAGCAAAAUCUAUUUUGGCAGCAAAAAAAUGAAAACACAAAAUAGUUGUUUCUUCAAUUUUGGCAACACUGGGAGUUAUUCUAAUUCUAAUGAAGUCCAAAUCUCAUAAAUAACAAAACUUCAAACUUAACUUCUUUUUAAAAAUAAAAUAAAGCUAACAUUUAAAUAUAGUUAUCAAACAUUUCUGAUUUUUGUUUUCACUGGUGAAAGCAAGUAAAAGCAUAAACAAUCGAUAAUAAAAAUAAGAAACCGAAAUAUGAAAGCAUAAGCGGUUACAAAACCAACUCUUACUAUUUAAUAUAUCAUUGUGGGAAAUGAAUACAAAAAGGUGUGUUUAUUAAGUUUGGCUGCUUAAACUGGAGUAUUCGGAAUAGAAAUGCUUGAAGCCAAACGAUUAUUUCUAAAACCCUUUUCCUUAUUAACACCACACCAAGGGUAGGAUCGUAACAAAAACAACAAGUAGUGGUGUUUCAAAAACUUAGAUAUUCUUAAAUCUAUAUAUUAAUCAAAAAAAUAAUCUAAGCAUUUUUUCUAUAACCAUUUUCCCUUGCCCAUUUCUUCUUAUUCACCUCCCCAAGGGUGGUGUCGCCACAAAAACAGUGAGUAGUGGGGGUCAAUAGCUUAGAUAUCCCUAAAUGUGUACUUUAACUAAAAUAAUAAAUCUGUUUACACAAUAUUAGCAAGCUUUAACUAUUCAAGUCAAGUUUGGAUAUUACUAACCUUUAAUUUAUUUUUUUUAUAUUCAUCGCUUGUCUGCAAUGGCACACUACAAAGACGCGGGGUCGGGCCAUGGCCACACCAGGAUUUUUUAUUUAUUUAUAAUUAAUAUACAGUUAAUUUUUUUUUUAAUUUCCAAACACUUAAAUUUGUUUUUCUUUUUCACAAAAAACUUUUGAGUAUUUAGUCUUAUUUAUAUCUUUUCUCAAAUUUUUAUAUACCAUACAUUAUAUAUUUAAACGGAUUCCUUCUCCACCACUCUUAACUUAUUGCUAAUUUUACAUAAUUUAUCAUUAAAGUUAAGAAAUGUGAGUAUAUUAGUGUUUGAAAUUAUGAAUUUUUUGUGUUGCUAUUUUUUUACUGUAUCUCUUGCAAAAAUAUAUAAAUUAAUUAGGAUUCUAUAAUAUAUAUUUGAAAUCAUAAAUUAGGUAUUUAUUAUUUGUUUUGUUAUAAUACAAAUUUUAAGGUGAGUCUGUGGUUGGAUAAGUUUUCUUGUUGAUGUAUAAGUUUCACUUUUUAACCCUUUUUAAGGUAUAAUAUAAACAAUAAAAAUUAUUUUAUUAUGGUGUUUAUGCAGUUAAAAAAAAUCGGUUGAAUGACACUUUUAUCCCUCCAAGUUGCCACCCACUUUUAAAGUCAUUCCCAAAGUUCAUUUUUCACCAAUUAAGUCAUUAAAGUGACAUUUUUUGGCGUUUCUGUUCCUUUUACCCGAUUUGACCCCAACCCGAUCCAUUUUGACCCAACCCGACCUAGUUUAACCCGAGUAAGUCAAGUUCCUACUAAGGAUGACAAAAUCAAGGACCAACAAUACUUUAACUCCAUCUUUAUCUUUGAAGAGCCAAAAGAAAUGCCUCCUCAAAGGUUCCUAGAUCACCAUAUCAACCUCAAACAAGGAGCUCAACCCUUCUCCAUCAGGCCCUAUAAGUGUUCUUAUGACCAAAAAAUAAAAUUGAGAAAUUGGUUUUGGAGAUGUUAUAAACAGGAAUCAUCAGAUCUAGUAAGAGCUCUUUUGCUUCACUUAUACUCCUAGUAAAGAAAAAAGAUGGAUCAUGGUGGUUUUGUGUUGACUACAGGCAUCUCAACUCUUUGACCAUAAAGAACAAAUAUCUUAUACCCUUAAUAGACGAGUUAUUAGAUGAAUUGGGUGGAACCAAAGUAUACACUAAGUUGUACCUUAGAGCUGGUUACAACCAAGUUAGUAUGGCACCUGAAGACAGAGAAAACAGCCUUCAGAAUUCAUCAAGGCCAUUUUGAAUUUACUGUCUUACCAUUUGGGUUACAAAUGCGCCUGGUACUUUUCAAAAUUUGAUGAACCAUGUGUUCCAACCUUUUCUAAGGAAUUUUGUGCUAGUGUUUUUUGAUGACAUCAUGUUAUACUCUAAAAGCUUGGAAGAUCACUAUCUCCACUUGAGAGCAGUUUUUAAAGUCAUGAAAGAGAAUCAGUUGUAUGCUAAAUUUAGCAAGUGUGAAAUUGCCAAGGAAAGAGUGGAAUACCUAGGAAUGUCAUAUCAGCAGAGGGAGUAGCCAUGGAUUCUUCAAAAGUGGAUUGUGUUCUCAGCUGGCCCAGACCUACAACUUUGAAGGGCUUAAGAGGAUUCCUUGGAUUGACAGCCUAUUAUAAAAAAAUUAUCUAGAACUAUGGCACCAUGGCAAAACCCUUAACCACUUUACUGCAAAAAGACAACUUUGGUUGGAAAGAAGAAGCAGAGAAGGCAUUUGAUCAAUUAAAGAGAACCUUAACCACUACACCAGUUUUGGCAUUAUCAGACUUCAACAAACAAUUUGAAAUUGAAACAUAUGCUUCCGGGAGAGGCAUUAGAGCUAUACUAAUGCAAGAAGGAAGGCCAUUAGCUUAUUUCAGUAAGGCUUUUGGGCCAAAUGGACGAGGGUUCUCUACUUAUGAGAAGGAACACAUGGCAGUUGUAGAAGCAGUUAAGAGAUUGUCUUCCUAUUUGGGGCUCAAACAGUUUUUGACAAGGAUUGAUCACCAGUCCCUCAAAUAUUUCUUAUAACAAAAGGUAGUCUCAUGCUUGCAGCAAAGGUGGUUGAGUAAGCUACUUGGAUAUGACUACAGCAUUAGCUACAAAAGGGGCAAAGACAAGAAAGCAACUGAUAGCUUAUCAAGAAAGAUAAACACUGGAAAAGAGGUGACUAAUCCUAAUAUCCAUGGGGCAUGGAUUUUAAGAGGAGGAGGGAAUUGUCAAGCAUAACCCUAGUCAUUUUCACUUAGGUCUUAAUAUCUAGAAUAUUCUCCAAGUAACAACCUCACAUGCCCAUGUGCCCAUGUGCAGGUGGUGUAGGAUAAGUAAAGUAGAUGUAGGUUAAGCUUUAUUUUCCUGCAAGUAACUUGGUAUAAAAAUGUAAGCGGUGAGUUAUUUUCAUUUCAAGCUUUAUGAACGAUUAUAUGAGAUAUCUGAGAGAGUAUCUUUGAACUCUUCUCCCUUAUCCCUUCCUCACCUCCAUUCUACCAUAUUUCUACCCUUUCUUUCUCCCCCAAACUCUGUUUCAGUCUCUUUCUGCUCUAAAUUAUCUGUAACUCAUCUAGUUCCUAACACCCUCUGCCCAUCGAAAAAACAGCAUGAGAGAGCAAACUGGAAAAGUAUUAACAGACCAGAUCCCCAUCCUGAAAGUUUCAGCAGAACCACAGGUUUCCACAUCCUACAGCCCCAACCAAGGAUACAAAACAGCAACACCACCCUGGGCAUUAAAGGCAAUCCUGAAUAACUCCAUGAACAUCUCACAAAGUGGCACCUCACAACACCACACAAAGUUGAAUGUCAUAUCUUAAACUAGAUUUCCCAACUUCAUGCCAGGCCAAAAUUAUCUUCAAAACAAAAGAAAACAAAACAAUACCUGCAAAUCAUUCAACCCCAAAAUUUACUUUUUCUCACACGUGCACUGCAUAUCUGCAUUCUUAAGGCUGAAAUAGAACAAUAAACAACAAUGAGCAAGUGUACCUAGCUUCAAAAUCUGCUCAACUCAACGUUUUAGAAACCCACCGAAUCUGUUGCAAACAACAUUUUAUUGGGUCUGCUUGUUUCUCUGACCCUAGCUGUUCUACUUUACUCCACACCCCGAGUCCACUGUAUACCAACCCCCAUGCAUUUUAUUGACCAAAAACACAAAAACAACACUAAACAAAACUACCCACGUCAUAGAUCUCCAUUUUCACCAAAUUAUCCAAUUUUUUUUAAAACAAACAAAGAAAAUAUGUUAAAUAUAACUCCAAAUGGGUGGGAUAUAUUUUUUGGCCAUGUGAUAAUCUCUGCAGAAAGAAUAAGACUUCAAGAAAAUAAAAUUAGAGAAAGGAGUAGAUAUUCAAGAAAAGUUACAACAACAAAUAAAAAUCAUACUUUCAUGCUCUGUAAAAAGGAGACAUCAAUGGGUAUGAGACAGAGUGCAACGAGUGGUUGAGGGAGACGAGUAAAGUAGUAAAACUGAAGACUAAAACUAGAAGAUAUAUUAUCAAAAAUGUAAAAAAUCAAUGGAAAAUGAAGCAAAACACUAGAAUCAAUGCACAUAAGCAAGCCNNNNNNNNNNNNNNNNNNNNNNNNNNNNNNNNNNNNNNNNNNNNNNNNNNNNNNNNNNNNNNNNNNNNNNNNNNNNNNNNNNNNNNNNNNNNNNNNNNNNNNNNNNNNNNNNNNNNNNNNNNNNNNNNNNNNNNNNNNNNNNNNNNNNNNNNNNNNNNNNNNNNNNNNNNNNNNNNNNNNNNNNNNNNNNNNNNNNNNNNNNNNNNNNNNNNNNNNNNNNNNNNNNNAGAACAAUAUUUAAAAUUACAACCCAUGAGGGACUCAGAUUCUUCAUCAAGCAACCAGGGAUCAUUUUUAUCUAAUGAUCAACUCCCAUUACUCUAUCUCACCUAACUUGAGCAAUUAGUUUUAUAACUGGCAUGUUUUGGACAACAUCCUAUAUGACUGAUCAUUUUCUAAAUAUAUACUCACCAUUGACAGAAAACUUAUAGAGUCCAUAAGCCAUAAUUUACAUCACAUGUAUUUAUUUCCUUAUACGAGUUUUGAAAUGUUACAGGAGUUGAUUACUUUCAAAAAUGACUAAAACUAUGCAUAUGAUAUUAGAGAAGGAAAUUUUCAAAUAAUAUAACAGAUAACUGGUCCUCUUCCUAAUAAUUAAUAGAACAUUAAUAUAAUGCAUCACAAGCACUAAUAUUUUAAAUCUUGUUUACAAUUGUUGUUAAUAAAUAAUAAUAUUCAAUAAUUGCAAUCAAAAUGUGAGCACAAGUCUCUUAAGUUUUAAGACAAAUAAAAUGGGACAAGCAAAAUUGAAACAAUUUCAUUGGGCUGAUGGAUAAAAAGUCUAACCUCUUUUCCAUUGUGAAAAGUAUUUAUCUUUUGUACCAGCCAACUAAAUUAUGAAAUAUCAUAUCAAAGAGAAUUGUUAAAUUCACACCACUUUCAUAGCAAGCACAUUUAACAUCUACUACAGUUUAUUAAAAAAAACAAAAACAAUAAAACAUCUCCUUAUUAAAUAAUAUAUCACAAAUCAUAUGCUAGAAUGAAGCAAUUGGAGACGACAUCUUAAGUUUUGUUAGGAUAUACCAAUUUGUCACGAGGAACGAAGACGUACUAUUUUGUUAUAAAACAUUUUAUAUGUCCAAAAUAAAGGAAAAAAGGUUAGGGGGGGAAUGCAACCUUCGCUGAAGUGGGUAAAUGCCCUUAACAAAAAUAAAUUGGCAUCAAACAUUGCACUUAAAUAGACAACUUGCCCCUCUAACUAAGUUGUUUCCAGAUUAGUGCAAGCAGCUAAGUUUGAAAUGGCUAAUACAAUAAUAAUAGAUAGGACUCCUAAAAUUAUCCAUUCUGAGACAGCUAUUCAAAUAUUAUACAAUAGACACAGGACAACUUUGUGAAAAAAAAUGUUAUACACUUUUACAAAUAGCUUAUAAAAAAGCUCAACAGAGAAAUAAUCCACAAAAUUGAGAAAUACACAUUUUUUAUUAACUAAUUUCAAGUAAUACAUUGAAAAGUAAUUGCUACGGUGUACUUACACGCAUCCCGACAAGGUAACAGGUUGGGAAAUCCAGUUCAACUCGUCCACCAGUCUCCUAAUCUCCCCCUUUUCUACCAUUUCAACAACACCCAUCGAAACAAGCUCGGAGUUGAGCAAAGCCACGAAUUGGGAGGGUUUUACGCUUCUCGCAGAAGAGACCGAGAAAGAAACCCGCGAAAGAAAAGGCGCAGAACAGCCGAAAAUGUUCAUUACCGCACGGAUCCCAUAUAACCUGAGGGAGCCUGAUAACCCGCCAAAAAAUGGGGCUCCGACCCGACUGUACGAACUGUAAAAUCACCAAACAGUAACUGUACGCACUGUACAGCAGCUCCAAACAGCAGGGGAGGCCUAACAGCAGAGAAAGAAGGGCGGCGCGUGAGGGCGCGUCCAACCUCCGAUUUAGUCGAUCUACUUCCGGCCAAAAAGCCCCGAUCGACUCUGACCAACCUCUAUUACAUUACACUCAAGUAUACCAACAAAAUCAGUAAUAAAAGCAUAUAAAUUGCACCACUGAAACCAAAACCCUAAGUAGCCAAGUGAACUGUGGCUUCUUUACUUGAUCCUUGGUAUGUGGCUGCUGCCUCAUUUGUAUAGAACAAGUAGUUUUGUCUGGUUGAAGCCUUUGUGACACUGAACAAGGACAAGAAGAGUAUUGUUUAUACUUUCUAGUUGGUGAUAUAUUUAAAGAGCACGCAGACGCGUGUUUUUUAGUGCUGGAGUAAUAUAUUACCAAGUGGGGUUGAUGUUUGUUUUGACAUUUUUAGGUUUGUCUUAUAUAUAUAUAAUUAUAUAUAUAAAUAUAUAUGUUAAGUUAUUUUGUAAGUUGUGUGUUUGUAAGAGUCUUGAGUAUCGGCAAUAUCAUUCUACGAGAUGAAAUGAAUUUUUAUAAGAUACUCAAUAUCAUUCUACGAGAUGAAAUGAAUUUUUAUUCUACUAAAAUGAUUAAUCAUUCGAAAUAAUCAUCAAAUAUACUAUUUUUAUUUCAUUCAUUCCUCUAUUUUAUUUUCUCAAUCCAAACAUAACAUAAAAGGUGUCAACACACACUCUCUCUCUCUCUCUUUGUUUGCUCACACACUCUCUCUAUCUCUCUCAAUUUCACGAAUUACGCGUAUGAUUUUCGGCAAUAAAAUAUUAAAGAUAAUAUAAGAGAAAAAUAAAAAAAAGAGUUAGGAUUUGAUGCUUAAAAUUGAAUAAGAAUAAAGAUAAAUUAUAAAUCUUAUAAAAUAUGGGAGGUGUCUUUGUGAAAUCAUGAAAUGAGUAGAGCGAGAAAACGGAUGGAAAGUGAUUUGGGUGAAAACUUAAAAGAUAAACUGAGCGAAGUGGAUAGUUAUUUUAAGAUUUAUGAAUAAGUUCAUUUUUUUUCUCCCUUUUACAAGGCGUAUUAUGAAGUUGGUGGUAAAAUGAAAAAAAAAGGGUUUAAAUUCAAUGUUAUGAAUGAUUCUAAUAAAAGUUAAUUUUUUGUUUUCAAUACUAAAUCUAGCCAUACAAUGUGGCAUGAAAGAUUGUGACAUGUUAAUUAAAAGAAAAUUAAAAGAUUAAUGAAUUUGGGGACUAAUUUCAAAAUAUAAUAUAACACAUAAAAGUUAAAUGUAAAAUAUGCGUACAAGCAAAACAACAGAAAAAAUCUUAUAGGUCCAGUCCAGAGAAUUCAAUUGUUUUAGAGCUUAUACAUAGUGAUGUUUGUGAUUCAAAUAUACCUCCAACUAGAGCCGGUAAUAAGUAUAUUGUACCUUCAUAAAUGAGUAUUCUAAAUAUAAUUAUGUUUAUCUUAUUAAAACAAAAGAUGAGGUUUUUGAUAAGUUCAAAAUUUACAAAGCUGAGGUUGAUAAUCAAUUAGAGAAAAGGAAUAAGGUUCUUAGAUCUGAUAGGAGGUGGAGAAUGCAAGAAAAAGACUAAAAGAGUUUAAUCAAUAUUGUUAGGAUAAUGGAAUAAUACAUCAAAUGACACCUCCGUAUUCACCCCAAUCAAACGGUGUAGCGGAGAGAAAAAAUAGAACUUUCAUGGAUAUGGUCAGUCCAAUGUUACUAAGGUCAGGAGCACUCUAGAAUUUGUGGGAGGAUACAAUUUUAACUUUUUACUUUAUUUUGAAUUAAGUAACCGUGAAGGAUAAUGAAAAAACCUCUUUUUGAGUUAUGAAAAAAGAGAUCUCCUCAGCUAAAUUGCUUAAAAAUGUAGGAGUGUUUAGCAAAAGAAGCCAUGCCCGAACCAAAAAGAAAGAAAGUAUGACUUAAAACUUAGACGUUAUAUUUAUAGGAUAUGCUCAAAAUAGUAAUGCAAAUGGAUUUUUGGUUGUGAAAUCCGAAAUUAGUGAAAUUUAUAAUAAAUACCAUAAUAGAAGCUAGAGAUGCUACAUUCUUCGAAAAUAUUUUUCCUUUUAAGUCUAAAAUUGUUACUCAGCCCUCUAAUGUUAGAAUUCAAGAUGGUGAUCAAGGUUUUCAGACCCGGACUGAUCAUCGAACUAAAAAAGGUAUCAGGUGAAUGGGUCACUGGUCCAACAAGUAGUUGAACCAUUAUUGGCCCAGUGACGUCAUUAAUCUAUAAUAAAUAAUAAAUAAUUAAAUCAAUUAUUAUAUAUUAUAUAUAAUAUUUAGUAAAUAUGUACAAUUAAUCAAUUUAUCUAUAAAAAAAACUAAACCUAUUUGUACAAUGUUUACUUUAUACCAUUCAAAUAAAUAUUAAAUCUAUAUGAAAAGAAAGAUAUUAAAUCAUGAUCAUAACUCAAAACUCAAUAGUGGUAAAAUCAAACACAAAUGAACAUAAACAUCUCUAGGAUACAUUCAAAUUCAAAAAUUCAACCACAAGUUCAAGUGUUUGAUUAAAUGUGAAUGCAAACAUAUCUAAAUACCAAACAAAGUCUCAACUAAAUUACUAAAAUAAAAUCCAUGACACUUAAUUCACAAAAAACAUAAAUCAUUCUAAGGUUGAGAAGGUGAUGCUUCUUGCCAAUUCCCAUCAGCGUCUUCAUCUAUUAACCCACGAGUACCAAUUCCACUUGCUACUCCAACUCCACAAAGUUCUUCAAUUCUUCAAUGUCCUCUAAGUUCUUCAAAUGUAAACGAGUUAACGACAAAUUUGUGAAUGACGUAAAGUCGUCUUCACAAUGUCUUCUUCUUCAUUCACUUCUACAUAAAACAAACAGACAAGAAAAUUUAGUAUUGUAUAACAUUGGCCGAAAAAAUCAUGCCCAAGCUAUAGUGACGUGCAUUUAGAUAUAAUAUUGUAUAACAUUUUAAUAUAUGCAUACCAGUGCAAUCUAGACAUGCUUUUUCUAAGCAACACAACUUUUUAGUUAAAUUUUAUAUGCAUGUAUCACACUUGUUUUAAAUGGUAGAGAUUACUACACUUUAUAUAUGUAAAUCUAUGUAAUGUGGACAUGUUUUUUUCUGGGAACACAACUAAAUUUCAUAUGUACGUAUAGAUUACGCCAUAAAUGCUUUACAUAAAAGAGCUAAAUUGCUGAUGCAACUAUGUGACUGUUUUCAAAGAUCCAAUAUAACUAUGUGAAGUUCAUUCAAACAGUUUCAAUCAUGGAUUAAAUCACACCCUUACAUAUUGAUGUAAAAUCUUGAAGAUUUUUAGGUAAUGGAAUCCUUACAUCAAGUUGUAGUGUUUUGAUAUAUUGCUUUUGCAAUCAUAUAAAGGACCACAGGGACCGUAUUGGUAUAAACACAAACACGAUUCAUAUUGCAGUUGUGCUGUGAUGUAGAAUUUAGUCACUGUUAGACCGUUACAACUAAAUACUAAUUACUACUAAUUUCAAAGCUGAAAUUGAUGCAUGAUAUUACUAUUAAUUACAUGGAGAUGCUACUGCUGGAACAAAUGGAAUGAGUUUAUACAGGGCAGCCAAUUCUAUUACAACCAACAUAAAGAAUGGAGUAUCGAAGACAAAUGCACCAAUAAAAAUAUGCAAAUAGCUACUAAUUGACAACCAACAUAAAGAAUGGAGUAUCGAAGACAAAUGCACCAAUAAAAAUAUGCAAAUAGCUACUAAUUGGUGAACUGAUGGAAGAUGGGCAUGUGAGGAUUUUAAAUAUGGGAGAACAAGUACAUGCAUUAUGUAUAUGCUACCAGACUAAACCAAAAACAUUACAUGGCUGCAGAAAUAUUCCAGCUUAUACAAAUAUUAAUCUAAUAUUGAUAAUUUAAAUAUUUCUCACCUCCAAGAGGACGACGUCGUUGCCUUUCCAAAUGAGGCAUCGCUCCUUCAGAAUGCCUAGUGAAAUUAUUCCAGCUCUCUCAUUUGUAGUUCCACCGUCUGUGUAAAUCAUUCGCAGUACAUUGAGCUAUCAUUUAUUUGCAGUGUUGCCUCACGGAAAUAAUAUCCAGUCUAAUUCUUCAAAAUAUUUUAUAGUAGGUGUGUGUUCUUCAAUAUAUUUGAUAUUUUAUGUUACUGCUUACAUAUCCUACAAAAACACAUCAUGGUUAAACAGUAAACAAAAAUCACAGCAAAGAGUAAUGAAGCAUCACAAACACGUCUUGCCAACAAAAAUACAUACAAGUUGAACAAACACAAAAACGUAGUAUCAAAGAGGCAGAGUGAUAUCUCAACUUACCAAAUAUAUGUGAUUUCAAGGGUAAUCGAAUCGAAGAUCCCUUCACUUUCAACUCUCUAAGUUGCUUGCUUUUACUUGUUUUUCGUAUCUUUGUAAAACCACUGCUACUUUCUCCUCUUGAAGGAUCAAUUCCUUUCUGCACCUUUCCACCACUACUUUCUCCGCUGAAAAGAUCAAUCCCUUUCUUCACCUUUUCAUGAUAAACGGACGGUGGUGCAAGCCUCAACUGAGGAGGAUUUUCCACAUGAUUCAAUCUAUGUUCUUUCUGAAGAUUAGUUCAGAUUUCAAAUUGCUGCACCCAAGUUGCAAUCCAAUUAGUAUCAAGAUAAAUGAGUACAAUGGGUUAACAGUUAUAUCUAGACUAACCCUUGAAAUUGGAUGAUAACCAUAGGAACCCUCAAAUAUAUCGCUUUCAUGUUGGUGCAGACCAAUUGUCCCUUGAGCUGUCUAGUUUCUUGACAAAUACUUGCUCACUAAUCCAUCCUCCGCAAGGGCAGACUUACUUUUCGAACUCAAAGCCAGCCUUUUUCUAUGGUGUACAAAUGGGGCAUCCCGCUGAAGAAUCUCUUUGUGAUGCCUCUUUUUCUUGAAGUUCACACUGCAGAUGGGUUGUAUGUCCACAGCUGAAUAUUUGAAUCCUAGAGCUUGUGGAAUUUUUGGUAAGAGGGCAAUUACAUAUGCAACAUAAAAGACUCCUAGGUAUGUACCCAUGAGAAGCGCCCUUUUUUAGUAGGCUCGUGGUAUAAAAAGUAUCAUCCUCAAUCAGUGACUUGGCAGUGUCCUGGCAUUACAAGCAACUAGUCAAUAUGGAAACUUUUCAUUCGAAUCAUGCAACAACAAUAUGAUAAAUUUCACAAAACAUUUUACUUGUAUGUAGCCAAUCAAAAGUGGAAAUUAUGUUUCGGAUGAAAAUCAAUAUCCACAAGUUAAGUCAGAAUGUACAGUAUUAAUGUUUGCGAGUUUGGGUAGAAAAUAAAACAAGAGUUAAAAUUACUAGAGAAGAGUAAUGGAGGAGUGAUAACAAGUUUCCUUGUGUUUGUGAGUUAAUGAGAGGAAGUGGACAUUGAAGGACUUAAAAUUUUAAGGUUUGUUAUUUUGAGGGGUAGAAUGAGAACAAUAAGAACAAUAAGAGGGAAAAUAACUUUCCAACCAAAUCUUCCCAUUCUUGGGGGAAAAGUUGUGGGUAGAAAGUUGGGUUUACUUUCCACCCAUUUCCCUCAUCUUCCCUCCUUAAAAAAACUCACAUGACACUUGGGAAGGAAAACAUUUAAAAUCCUCCAUUUUCCUCUUCUUUCUUUUUUUCCAACCUUUUUAAACUCAUGAACACAAUACAAGUCAAAUAAACAAUAAUGAGUCUAUUAGAAAUUGAUAAAUAAUAAAAUAAACAAGGUAUAUGACUUCUCAGUACCAUAUUACCGAUAAUUGCCUUUUUCCACUAUUUCGUAUUGGCAUAACUUCUGGUUAAUUUUUAUUUUGUUAUUUAUAUAUUUUUAUAUGACUUCAUUUGAAAAGAUAUUGUACAAGUAAAUAGUACUAAAAACAAAACCAAAUGUCAGUCUGCCACCUCCAUUUUGCAUUUUUGGUGUGAAAUGACAAGGCUAAGACAAAAGAAUAUCCAAAGGAAAGACGAGAGAUAUUUAACCAACAAUUUCUGGUUUCAAGAAUGUGAAGAAGACUUGACCACCAGCAACUCCACAUAGAAAACUUAGCUCGAGUUUAUACUAAAUUAUUUCCAAAUUUCUCCUUUCAUGGAAAACAAUGCAUCCAAAAGCUAGAUCACAUGGAUGUACAACAAUCUCAACUUGAUAACAAAGAGAACCUUUCAAAAAAUUAUCUCAAUGAUAGUAAAUAUAUAUAAGUAAUUAACAAAAGAAACGUGUAUCACGAGUUUCUCGUCCUUCAGUGUUUAUAAAACAAGUAAAUUAUAAUAAAAACAAUGAUAGGAAGAGAAAACAUACCAAAAUUCUUCUUUCAAAAUCAUGUUCCAAGCAUUCCCAAUAUGGUAAUUUAAAAUCACCAAAUUCUUGGUUACCAUUAUCAGAAAGGAGUUUCAGCAUGAUGGAUGGAAGGCGAACAUAUCCGAUCAUUCCCUCAACAAUCUCUUUAAUGAACACAUAAAAUAAUUUCCUCAAAAUAUGAGCGCUUCUUUGGGACCUUGACACCUUCCACCUAAUUUUGUAUGCCGUUUCAUUCUCCUCUCUGUCCAAUGAUACAGCUAGAAGUCUCAAGUUCUUUUCACCUUCAGAAUCCAUUUGACCAUUAUAUGAAUCCAUUAAUGGCUCACAAAACCUGUAUUGAAACAAAAACAAUUAUUAGAAAUGGGUAAACACGCGAAGUAUCAAGGAAAUAAUGUAUGCAGAAAUGCAUGUGCAAGUCAUUGCGCAUAUAAGAAUAUCAUUUAGAAACAGUGGAGAAGGAAAAUGAAUUCUGGUGGCAACAUAAGAAUGUAGAAACAGAAUUCAAGUAGCAACGCUCUGGGAGAAGAUGCAGAUUGGUUAAAUUUAUAUACAAAUGUGUCUUUAGGGUUUACAUUUUGAACUUUGGAAAUAGGAAAUUAUCCUAUGGACUCAUGGAGAUAUUGUGCUAUAACUAUAAUAAUUUGAAUCACAAAUAUAAAUAGUGUAUAAUUUCCUGGGAACUACUCAGAACAAUGAUUCUUGCAAAAGGAUGGUGAUACAUAUAUUUUCUUUACAUUUUUGACUUAAAGUCACUCAUUGAUUGUCUUUUCAUCCUUAACUUUCAUCCAUUAUCCUAUGGACUCGUGGAGAUAUUGUGCUCUAAUAAUUUGAAUAUAAUUUCCUGGGAACUACUCAGAACAAUGAUUCUUGCAAAACGCUAGUGAUACAUAUAUUCUAUUUACAUUUUUGACUAAGUCACUUGCUGAUUGUCUUUUCAUCCUUAACUUUCAUCCAUUGCACUAAAAGAAAAUAGGAAUAACUUCUUAAAUAAAUUUGUCAAACAAAUCCUACCUGCUCAACUUUUUUCUUCUGUCCAAGUCAUAUUUCCACUGCAGCUGGGCAACUCCUUUCUUCUCAUUACACCUGCAUGAGAAAAUUAUAUUCGCCAUUCUUUACAGAGGAAGAGCAAAGGGAGAUAGAAAUGAAUAGAAGCACAAAGUUGGUCAGUGUUUAAUUAUCUCUACCAAAAUGGUGUUGCUUAAGAUAAGAGAUGCAUGCAUAAUUAUGAAACAAAGAUGACUUGGUGCAAAUCCAAGUUUAAAACUGCAUCAAGGUACAAAAUCAAUAAGAAACAUGCAAACAAUUAGAAUGCAGAAAUAGUAAUUGGAGAUUGAAUAAUUUGUGAAAUAUAUGAUAGAAAAUAUACCAAAAGCCAAAAAUAUGACAGCAAGAUUGCCGAGUGAGAUUGAACGAUGUUUGGCUUCUUGAAAGAAGUCAAUGAAACUAGGAAGCAAUACAAAUGUAUCCAUUGUUGUAUCCAGAAACGUGUACAGCUAUGAAAACAGCCACUCCUUCAAUAAAUUUGUUAAAAGGUAUCUGGAUAAACGAAGAAAAAAAACCCAAGAGUUGUAUAAGUGAUACCUCCCCUAAGACUGUUAUAGUAUGUACUCAUUUUACAACUGCCUAAGAAUAGAUAAGCUUAGUUUCCAAAUUUUCUUAAAUGUGCCAUCUGAUGCCAUCCAAAUCGGAUGGAGGUGUAUAUGCCACAAUUAAAAUAACAGAAAUUCUUCCAUGAAAAAUUGGCAGAUAAGAAGUCUACCAAAAUUAAUUAACCGAGUGGUGUUGCAUUACUAACCAUGUAUUUCAAUUUGAAACUGCUAAUAGCCAUUGGACACAUUCACAAGGCAACCUUUUAAGUAGACCAAGUUGGAUCAUUUCAUUAAGCAUAUGGUACCUAAAACUAUUACUAAAGUUCCAAGAAAAGAAUUAUAUUUCAAAUACAAACAAUCCGAUAUAGUAAGGUUUGAAGACAGUCAUUAUGUAGAAGUACAUGUCACAGUCUAAAAAGCAGCUAGUUGUAGUGACCAUAUAAAAAAGAAUAUUACUUUGAAUGCAUUGCUGAUAUUAAUUUUAAUUAUGUGAAGACUGUAGUGUACGGGUCUCUAUAAGCAAUUCAUUAUUAGAAUGCUUGUAAUGUGACUAAUUUAUAAAUACAGGAAGUUACAGAAAACAAAUAUUAAAACGGAAAUAUAAAUCCACUAAACCAAAUGGUGAAAGUGUCUCUUGUUUAUGACUAAAGUUCAACUUGUCCAUUAAACUAUCAUACUAAAGAAAGUGAAAAUUACCACGAGAAAGGAGGAAGAAUUUGUAGUUGUGUGCCCCAACACAGUUACCUUGCUAACGAACUGAUACAUGAACAAUGUUAGAAAAGGAAGUAAAUAUUAUAAAGUAAUUGACUUCAAUACUCUUAUGCUACGUUGGUAUUGGAGGAAUGGAAUUAUGUGAGUGGAAUGAUUCAUUCCAGUCAUUCCAUACCCUCACCCAAGUAAUAAAAUUCACUAAUUUGGUAGGAAUGAGAAUAAUUUAUUCCAUUCCAAUGGAACAACCAACCACAAAAUUUUCAUUCCAUGGGAAUAAGUCAUUCCAUUUCCACCUUCAUUCCUUCAAUCCAAACAUAGCAUUACUGUUUGAAAUGAUCUACAAACGAAAUAUAACUCCUACUCCAAUAAACUGAACUAGCUUCAAUUUGUUGGCAUGCAUCUAAUUAAUCAUAGGAUCCAAUACCUAAUGUAAUAGAUAACUGGUUCUAACAGUACGUGAAACAGUUUAUAAAUUGUAGUAUACUAGACAAAAUCAUUGAAACAGUACUUGAGUCGUUACAAGACUACCAACAAUAAAUGACAGUCAGGUAGUAUACUAAACAAUAUCAUUACAACUGGAUGUCAAUCACUAUUAGUAGGAAACAAAAACUAGGCAGGUAGGCAGCUGAUGCAGUCGAAACAUUACUUCAGUGUAAGACACUAAGACUACCCCGCCCGACUAAUAAUGCCCACAACACCAUAAUUAUACUUUACACAAUCAACUACUUGCGACAUAUUAGUACGAUAACUUCUUUUAUAUAUAUAUAUAUAUAUAUAUAUAUAUAUGCAUGUUUCCCUUUUCAUCAAUUCAUCACAAUGUUUUAGGGAUACAGUGUUUUAACUUUAUAUUUCCUCCGCAAACAACCUACAAAAAUUAAAUAUUAACGACUCAAAUAAAUAGCUGAAGAUCAUACAAAUUCGUGCAAAAGUUGGGCAGGAGGAUUAGAGAUGAAGAAAAGGGAACAGGGAACCAGUUGGUCGAGGGAUUCAUGGGCAUGGAUUGGACAAAGGAUGAAUGAAUUGAGAAAUUUGCAGGAAGGGAUAAUUUGCAGUCACUCUUAUUAAUAGCAUUCAACGAACUGAGAAACCAUAUAUAUGCCUAGACUUGCACUGAAUUCUAGAUCGUUGAAGAAUGAAGACAAUACUAGAAUACUUGGCAAGAAAAAAUACUCGCAUCACUAUUUGGAAGAUUCAACGGCUUCUCUCUGUUUCCUCGUCUCUUCUUGAACUUCCUUACGCAUAGCCUCUUCCAAUUGUUUUUGUCUUGCACCCAUCAUAGCUUGAAAUUGGGGGGUCUCCAUCGUAGCAAGGAUGAGAGAUUGCAUAUCAGGUGACGUAGGUGAGGUAGUCAAGCGAGAUGCAAAGGCAAUCACUUUUAUAUUUUUCCUGUAGUUUGAAUAUACAAUAUGUUAUGUCUAAUAAAAGGUAUUGAAUGAGCCAAAUUUAGAACAUAAUAUAAUUCUCUUUGAUCAUUCGCAAAACCGCAAGAACCACAAUCUGAGCUUCAACUUGUCGGGGAAAAUUUGAUGACGUAACUCAAAAAAACAGAUUGAAAACUACUAAUGUUGUCUCUGAAGUUAAAGAUUGAACAACUCGAGAGUAAAUUCAAGAUAAGACGAGCAUGUUGUUCUAUUCAGUAAGAUAUUUUCAAACAUCUCUUCCAUCCAAAGUUAUGCUUGUCAUGCCAAGUAUAUAUUCCUGGAAUAAUUUUUCUUGUUUUAAUCUUCUACAACUCGAUCCAUUUUAUUUAUGUUCUUGUUUUAUCAGUCACUUUCUCCAGUUUCUACCAAAAUGGUGAUUAAUUUUUACAAUUUGUAGGUCAGAUUUUAGUAGACCAGUCAUGAAUUAUUGCUGACCAUAGAAUCUUAUACUUCUUUAAUUUUACUUGAAGCCUAUAAGUAAGAAAGAGGACACUACUACUAAUCAAAAUAAAAGGUAAAAAGAAUACUAAUCUACUUGGGAUUUUCCUGUAACUAAUACCUGGUAAGGUCAAAGACUCGAAAUUCCUUCCAAACAGUGUCAAAACUCAUAACAAUAAUUUACUUUUUUUAUAUAUAUAUAUAAAAAAGACUAGUUCUCAUGAUUAAUGCGUUGCUAAAUUUGACAAUCUUGAUUUAUUGAUGUUUAUCUACCUUUGUUAGCCCCUGAAUAUCGACAGCAAAGCUUGCAGCGCCGGUCUUUUGCAAGUUUGCAGCAACUUUCUCCAGAUGAAGGCUUUGAGGUCCCCCCAAGUCACCUCUGCUGCUAGAACUGUGUUGGCUUUGAUUCUGAUCAUUACUUUGUAUUAUUCCUUCACAUCACUCCUCUAUUAGUUGUUUGAGAUAAUAAUCAUUGGAAUUGUACCUGCAAAUUGGUUUCUUCAAUUACGGAGGAAAUUAUCCCAAAAAAAACAUUAUCUUUCACGACUGAACCUUUUCCAUUUUCUGAGUACUGGGAAUGCACUAUAACAACAAAGUGAAGUGUAAGAAAAAAGGUUAAACCUUUAUAGUUGCUGUGUAUGCAACAACAUCAGGUUCAAUACCAGCCUCACGCAUGGAAUUCAAAAUCUGCACUAGAAGAAGAAUGGUUAUUAGAAGAUCUAUAUUGCAAUGGCAGUGUUCGCCUAUUUUGAAAACAACUUGUACGCUAGAAUCAUGUGUUCAUGAAUGAAAACUUUUUUUAACAACCAACUUGCGCCAACCGUUUCCCUUCCAGAUGUCCACAUCUUUCAAAGGAGGAAAAUAAUGCAACUCUAAGAUCUAAAUUCAAAAGGCAUAGUUACCGCAAUACUUGAAAGGUAAAAUCUGGGUUUUCAAAUUUCUCUUGACAAUAGAUUAACAAUCACCAAAUGCCAAAAACAUAUACCUGCAUAGCAUCCUUGACAUUCCUUGAUCCACCAAAAAUGUCAAUCAAAAUUGACCAUCUUAUAUGAUUAGGACAGAGACCUAAUGUUUUGAUCUCCUGCAUUAAAGCUUUUGCACGGUGGUAAUCAGUACCACAGGCCUUCAUCAGAAUAUUGUAUGUUGCAGUAGUGGGUGUAAAAGGAACACUUUUAGUAAAAUGUGCACGAUCAGAAUCAGAUCCACUGCCAGGCACAUUAGUAGUAUAACUUUUAUGUGAAUGGUCUCCACCUAUAUUUAUCUUUUCCUGAUAAUCUUUUCUAUAAAAUUUCUAAGAUUAACUUGCUUUCCAGAUAUGGAAUAAACGGAUGGCCCAGUCGUACUGGCAAACCUCAACGCAUGCAUGAAGAACAAUGUUGCAACAUCGUGUAUUUGGUUUGCAACCAGCCAGAAGCAUCUCUUCAAAUAAUAGGAUUGCCUGCUCAACAAGACCUGCACUGGCACAUGCAUUUAUCAAUGAUGACCACAUAACUGUGUUGGGAGUAACACCAGCUGCAAGCAUAUCUUCUUUAAUUUCCAGUGCCAUUUGCCACAUCUUUGCAUCAGCAAAGACCUGUCAUUUGAUGCAAAAUAUAAAGAUACAAGAUAAGAAAUUUUUCAUAGAAUGGCUGUAUAAUGUACAGGAGAAGUGUAAAAAGUAUGCAAAAGCAGUAAGAAUGUAAGAUAUUAGACACAUAAUGUCCAUUUUAAGACUGAAGUAUAUUUACUAUAGAUAGAUAAUACCUUAAUUAUUGUGUUGUAUGUGAAAACAUCUAGUUUCAAUACUCCUGUUGAUUUCAAAUGUUGUACCUCCCUAUAAAUUUCCUGGGCCAAAUCAACUCUUGAAGCACGACAACAAGACUUCAAAAUAAUGUUGUAAGAUGUCAUAUCAGCAGCAACACCUAGAUUCUGGACAUAUAAUAUGAAGCAGAUAAAAGAAACUUUCUUGUUGAUAAGAAUAAAUUAUUAAACUUCCGCGUAUGUUCAACUAGCUUUUAGCAUAGAAGAAACAUGAGACCAUCUCCUACUACAAUAGAGUACAAACCUAAGUUGUUUAGUAUGUGUUCAGUUGUGUGCCACCUUAAGGGAAGCGCUAUAAUGAGUUUUAGAUUCCUAACCAGUGUAUUCCUCCAGACACUAUUGAUUAGUGAGACCAAUGGACCAAUACUGGACAAAAUGUACCUUUUGUUGGAGAACACUUUUCACAUCAAUAGCAAAAUUAUCAUUCAAAUAUUAAUGAGAAGAAAAGAUAAUAAAUUUAUUUUACAAAUUCAAAAGGCAACACAUUUUUAGGGGGAAAUAUAUGCUAAAUCAAGUAAAUAAAGAAUAUGGUUCAUCUUAAAUUAUUCAAAAGCAUAAGGUAUUAAAGGAAGAAAGACGACUGUGGGUGAAAAAGAGAGAUGAUAGUCCCCACUCUCGAACAGAGGAUCCAGUAGGAUCUUGAGCAUCAUUUGUCAAUUAUGAAAGAAAGAUGAAGUAAAUAGAAACAUAAAAACAACCAGCUUUAGAAGAAACUGUCCUAGUCUACUGAAGGAGUACAUAGUGAACUAUGUAUAUUUAUGCAUGCUAGAGUAGAUUUGCUUAUUUUGUGUGUUACAAACAUACAAGAGAGAGAAAGAGCAUUACUUGCAUAUGUUUGUAGAUCUGCAACGUGUAGCUCAAGUCACGAGCAUUAACAUUCAUCAGACUGUUGAAAACAGAAAGAUUUGGGGUAAUCUUUUGAGUUCAUAAAUCCUGCAGCAAAUAAACAUGAAACAGCAGCAUAGGAACAUCCAGAAAUAGCCCGGUAUUACUACAAGUCUGUUUUUCAAGAAUCAAAUUGUAGUUGUGAUAGAGAACCAAAACUAGAUUAACAAACUUUUGCCUGACAUUCUGACAACCAUGUAGCCACAUAAUUGAUAUUGUCUACAAGUUAAAAAAUUGGUCAAGCAUGAAAAUCAAUUUUAAAGCUAGUAAUCGAAUAUCGAUACAGAUAAUAUUACUCCUUCUUUGGAAGCCAAUAUAAACUUGAUUUUAACCCAACUCUUAAAUUUUAAUAGCCCAUUGCACUUUCAAAAAGGAUGCACACUUUAAGUACCAUACAAAAAAUCUUCCUAAUUCAUCCUUAAGCAAAUGUGAAGUGCUAGCAUCAAAUGGUCAUUUAAGUAAGGCAGGCCAUCACUAUCAAACUUUAUCAAAGAUAUCAAUGGUUGAUAUGAGAAUGUUAUGGAUCAUCUAGUCUAGCAAUUAUUCCUCAGGAGCAUAUGCUUCUACAUGAUGAUGGACCCCAAAUAAGUUUUACUGUUAAUCUUAAUACUCAUACAAAAGAUAAUCCAGUACUUAGAGAACAAUGCCAAAUGACUAGAUAUUAAAUUGAAAGCAACAACUCAGAUACACAUGCCUGGACACACACAUGUUAUCUAUUAGAGAUACUGAGCAUGUAAGAGAUAAACAACUAAGUGUGUGAAGCUUGUGAAUUAGUGUUGGCAAGUAACUCAUAAAUGGACCUAGAUCUCAAGAAGUCACUACAAAGACCACAUGCAUCUAUUAUUGUGCAGUAGAUGUACAUAUUAGGACUACCCAUAUCUUGCUUGGAUGCUUCAAAGAUAUUCAGAGCAGACACUAAGUCACCGUUCUUCCCAAAUUGAAGAAUUAUGUUGCAGAAUAAUACGAAUAUUUGGAAAAUAACGAGCAUACCUGUAGAAUGUGAUAGAUAAGGUACAAGUAGUGGCAAAACACGCAUGAAACCAAGAUACAUAUCUAAUUUCAGUAGUGUGCUAUCAUUUGUAGUGGGAACAAAAUUUUGUUGACAAAUUAACAGAGGAUUUCACUAUUCUUUUUUGCCUUUUAACCUUUAACUAUAGACGGUUAUGCCUCUGCAAGGAAGACAUGGACAGAAAAUAAAUUUAAAAAAUGAGUAAACAACAUCAAAGAAAAGCAGGUCCAGAAAAUCUUCUUGUAGGAAAUGGACAGAAGAGAAUAGGUUAAAUUAAGUAAAUAUUAAGAACACAGCAGAGCAAUUGGAGUCGGCACAUUGAAAAUCAUUUAUGAUACAUUAGCACGGCAAAAAAUAGUUCGACCAGAGAAAUUGACUAAUCUAUUUAAUGUUUUUUGCUUUCUGCAUGCACUCUACUCUCUUCUUUAUAAAAUGCAGCUUCCCAAUAGGCUACUAACUUCCUGUCAAGUAAUGCGACUAAAUGAACACCUAGACUAUUAAAUAAUUUGAUCUUACAAAAUAAAUGCAUUAACUGUAAUAGGCUAUCAGGAAAAAAAUUAAGCCAGUCAUAUACUUUAAGUAUACCAAUGUGAAAUUUCUAAACAAUCUAAGGCAGAGAGAAGCUAGAAUAGAAAUAUCUACAGUACGUCAGUACCAAUAAGGAGAGGCAUGAUGAAAAGAGCAGGGAAAGAAUCAUAAGCCUCUUACCUCCACAACAUAUGGAAAGAGUGUAAUUCCACCAAUGAUGCCAAGGUAAUAUCUUCUUGAAUUUCAAGACAUCCGCACUCCAUAAGCACAAGAUGAAUAAUGGCAAGCUAAGGGCUAGUAUAUAUCUGCUUCCAGUGCCAACUGCAAGGAGACUAGAAUUGUUGAGAGCCAAUAAGGGAAAAUGGGCAAUAAAGGGCUGAUGAAUGCAAGUACAGUUGACAUGUACAAGAAAUGUAUGGAAUAUAGUCUAAAUAAAAGCCAAGUAAGACAUCCCCGAAAGACAACAAUCUUAGAAGUUGCCAGCAGAACACCUGAGAAAGCUUUAUCAAGAACUUCAACACAUCUAGACCUUGCAGUUUAUGAAAUGGGAAUCAUACACAUCACUUGUUUUGUGACUCCACCAGAAUCUGAUGUGAUAAAAUAAUACAAGACCCAAAAGAAAAUCAUCGACUCAGACACAAAAUUGAAAAUACAUGCUGCUCCGGACACAAUAAAAUUACCAAUUAUGAACACGAGCUUAGCACUCCCACCUAGAACUGAUUUACCACUGGCAAAUAUGCCUUGCAACAAGUCCAAUCCUUGAAAGGUAAACCCCUUUGCCUUCUCAACCAAAUCCUCCCUUGUGAUCAGUAAUUCCCUAAAAAUCGCGUCAACUUCCGUAUAAAUUUCCCACAUUCACGAUUAGUAACCCUCUUCUCCAAACUCAGAAGUUUCUCAGUGUAAGGGGAUGGAGUCAUCAAAGCAGUGGACUUUGAAGAAGAAUUCACUGUUUGGAUUAUUACACAACGCCUAAUUCCAGUAACAAAUUCUGUCAUAUUAUACUGCAUUGCCAAACUAUCAAUCUGAUCAGACACGGUAUCAUAAAAUUCUGUAGUGUAAAUCCUGAAAAUAGCCUACUCCAUGUUCAGCUUUCUCGUUCACAUCCAAUUUGUUCAGCUUUUCUGAAAAUAAGCCAUUUGAACUGGCGUUGAGAAUAAAAAUUCAAAUUGAACGCCAUUUUAAAUGGCGUUGGAACUUUUUUUUUAUAAUGCAAAUGUGGAAUGGAAUAGAUGCACACAAGCAAAUGUGAACAGAGCUUGAACACCAUUUCAAAUGGCGUUGAAACAUUUUUUGUUUUUUUCUCAAUAAAGCAAAUGGCAGCUUUUUUGAUGCAGGAAAUGUGGAAUAGAGCUUGAAUGCCUUCCAAGUAAAAGUAGCUUAAAAUCAAUCUGAUUUUGUGGCAAUGACCGCAUAACAUCCUUGCUCUUGGAUAGAACUUUAGCCUUCCAAGUAAAAGUAGCCAAAGUAUUGGGAACAAGGUCUUGUGCGCGAGUUAGAAAAGUAUACUAAUAAAUUUAUUUAAACCAGUAGAUAUUUUAAUGUAUUUCUUAACUGGUAUGCAUAAGCACAAGUGCACUUGUAUUGAUUUACUAAAUGUGGUUUAGAUCUGAAUUACAAUGGUUGCCUUUGACCGUCUCUUUUGUAUACUCUGGCAGUAUGAUGAAGACAAAACUCACAUAAGAGAUGCUAUUAAGUCUGGAAAGGCAAGACUACAUACACUAAUCUUUAUUUGUGUAUCUCAUUACAUACUUCAUUCGGAUUAUAUAAUUUAAGUUUGUUUUUUUUGUAUCUUUUUUAGAUCAUCAUUGCAUCAACAUGGACGUUUGAAGACUUUAGGGCUGCUAUCCCUGAGAGCAUUGGUUCUCCACCGGUAUCAGAUAUUAAUUUACAGGUUUAACUUCUGCUGUUUGAUAUCUUUACAUUUUUCUUUGUUUCCAGAUGUUGACCUUGAUACGCAACGUCAAAUUUUCAUUUUUUAUAUUAAACAUUUUUUUUGUUUCUUGAAGGUACACAUACUUAGUAGUUUUUUGAUACUUGAAUGUUGAACCUAUGACUAGCUGGACCGAUCAUAGUUAUUUAGAAUUGUGAUUUCAUUAGAAAUCUUUUUGGUAGUACUCUAUAGAUUUUUUCUUUAAUAGAAAACAAUAAACCCAAUUUUUGUUCUUCCUAGUAAUUUGUAAGUGAUUGUUGAGUCGUUGACAUUUAUAGUUAUGCAGUUCCAUAGUUUAGCAUAUUAAGUGACUCCCGAUUUUAUAUGGUAGCCUGAAUUUGUCUAUAUGGGUCACUCAUGGUAUCUUUUCACGCUAUUGAUGGCUUUAAGUUAAAAUUUUGGUAAACCAUAUCUUAGACCUGUCCCAUGAUCUAUCGUAUUAAGGUGGAACACGAGUCAAAUGUUUAUGUCGACUUUGAAUAAUUAUGUAGAUGAGUACAAGUUUAUUGCAAUACAUAGCUAUUGUUUGUCGCUGCGAACCGCUGUUGAUUUUUCUGGCGAGUUUUACUUCCCAAAUUUAGAUGGGGUAUCUAGCCAAUUUUUAAUUCCAGUCCAGUGUACAUUGUUUGGUAUGGGCUGUUUGAGUUUUCUUGCCAUGUUAUAUAGUUUUUUAGACAUGUCUCAUCAUAUAUCUGAAGAGUGGUUUCACAAUGUAACAGGAAUGGCCCGAAGAAGAAUAUCCUCCAUAUGCCAACGGACCUGGAUAUAUAAUUUCCAGUGAUAUCGCCAAAUAUAUCGCCUCUCAGCGUGUUAAAAGAAGCCUAAGGGUUUGUAAACCAGAAAGCUAAUAAUCUUUUACAUCUAUUAUCAAUGAUGAUUAAAGUUCUAUUACUGAAGCAAAUAGUUCUAUGCUUCUCUCUUUGGCAGCUCUUCAAGAUGGAGGAUGUGAGCAUGGGAAUGUGGGUUCAACAGUUCAACAUCUCCACACCUGUCCAAUACUCCCAUAGCUGGAAAUUUUGCCAGUAUGGGUGCCUGGAGAAUUAUUUCACCACUCAUUACUAAUCUCCUAGGCAAAUGAUAUGUCUUUGGGACAAACUGGCAAGGGGUCAAGCUCGUUGCUGCAACUUUUAAAAGAGAAAGCGAUUUUCAACUACAGGGAUUGAAAUUAUUUUGCAGCCAUUUCGCUAUUGCUAGAAAUUCUUUCACCUCUUUGUCAAAUCUUGCACAUUUUAUAGACGAAUGGAGAUUGCUGCUUCAGUUUUUUUGGGAAUUUUUAUUAUAAAUGAUUUAGAGUAUUCUGUGAUUAUUUUCACUCAGGUUCGGACGUGGGGAUUGCCCAGUGACGGAUGCCAGCUAGAGUGAAGAAGCUAGUUGUAUAGAAUUUGUGCCAUUUUUGUACUAUUGUUAUUAUUUCCACAAAUUCUUUUUUGUAAUAUUACAUAUUAAUAUAUUCAAUUUAAUAUAAUAUUUGGGAUGCUUAAUAUUCGAGAUGCUUAAUAUUACAGAUAUGAAGCAUUGGGAUAUUCGAGAUAUGCUUAAUAUUCUAGAUCAGUCAUUUAUUCGCAUAAUAUUUGGGCAUACCAUAUUACAGAUCAGUCAUUCAUUCAUUCGCAUAAUAUUUGGGCAUACCAUAUUACAGAUCAGUUUUGAAUAAUAUUUAAGGGUCCGCUAGUUCAACUAGCAGAUUGAUGGACUGAAACAAAACCAAGGCGCGUUAAGCAGCAGGAGGGUAAAAUCUGUCCACGUCCCUAGUUCAACUAGCGGACGAUGUAUUACCAUUUUUAAUCCCAGCCCUUAAUUAUAUAAUGUGUGGUGGAGAUGCUAUUUGCCCAAUUUUCAUCCAUAGCAAAUACAUGCUCUGGAUCAUUCCCCUAUAUAUAUAUAUAUGGCGGGGCACUACCAUUUUCACACAUCUCAUGAAUAAAAACUACUCCCUCCCAGAUUAUUUCCAACUCUUGUUUUAGAGUGCAUGUCAUAGAUUUCAAGACUUGUAAAAAGUAUAUCAAAUAUAUUGAUUAUAUUAUUUAAAUAUAUAUAUAUAUAUAUGUAAUUAUGGAGCCUUCUUAAAAUCAAUGUUGCAUAAGAGCAACAAAAAUGUGGAACAAAGGGAGUAUAUGAUAGCCGUUACCAUGCUAUAACAGAUGAUUAAUAUCUAGAGUUGAGAUUCAAGUACCUUAGAGUAACUCCUAUACUUUGACAAGGAGAAUUUCCAUGGCCCGAGGAACCUAGAUUCAUUAGUAAUGUGAAAAUUCUACAGAUUAGUUGACAAAUCAAUACAAUUGGACAAGGGCAAUUAAUGGAUAAAAUAAUAAGGAGCAAUGACACAAACAUGAUUUACCUUUUCAAAUAAGCAUUUGGGAUCGUGCAAUUAAAUUAAACUACUUAAUAUUUAGCCAUGCAUUAGUUUAAGCAUCAGUCACAUAAUUUUUACAACAAUUUACAAUAAUGAACAAUGAUCUUCCAUAGAAUUUCCUAACAAUUUAGUUUCUAAUUAAUUAUAUUUCUUGUUACUAGUUUUGAAUCUUUGGAUUAUCAUACAAUUUAGUGGAUGAUACCUCCAAGAAAUACAUUAUCAGGACUUGUAUUUUGCAAUAUCCUCAUAACUAAGCCCUGAAGUGCUACUCGAACCUCUAAGGUGAGUGAAAAGGAAUGCAGUUGUAUGAACCUAGGAGAUGCAUAAUUCUACUUGGACGCACAGAAUGUCAGAGAUAAAGGACUGCGCCAUCAGCUCAGAAGGCUUGCAAGUCAAUCAAGCCUGCCGGGUAUCCCAUAAAAAUUAUACCAGAAACGGAUUUCUUUAAAACAAAAAAAUGGGUUUAAAUUUUGUGUUAAUUGGAUACUCAAUUUGCUUCAUUGAGGAAGUCCAUUUCCAACUUAAGAGUCUACUAAAGUUCAAUUACUUUAAUAUCAAGUAGUAUUGUUGCUACUUGAUUGAUUUGUUGAACUCAAAAUCACAAUUGUUCAGUGACAUUAACUUUCACUCUAAAAGGAAGGGCAAGAUGCUAGUUCACAUGGUUCAAAGAGAAGACUAAGUCAUGCUGAGAAGUUAAAAGUCCAUACUAAAUGAAGAAGAUAAUGUCCAAUGGAGGAGGAGGAACAAUUUGAUUGAAGAAAAUGAGAGAAGGAACUCGAGCAUCACAAGCUUGUGUUUCCAUUCACUGAAGGUGUUAAUGCUAGCAACUGGAUCGAGGAUUGUAAAGAAACAAAUUGUGAAAGAGCUCCCAUAUAUGAUGAGUAUGUGAAGAAUCAUUCACUGAAGGUGAUAAUGCUAGCAACUGGAUCAAGGAGUGUGAAGAAAAAAAUAGUGAAAGAGCUCCUAUAUGUCAAAGAAAGAGCAUACCAUAACCUAAUGUCAAAGAAACCAUGCUUUGCAACAUUUGCAAACAAUGAUAGAACAACACUUCAUUAUUGUACUCAUAUAUAUGAGAAACCAAAAGUUGCAAUAACAUUGAGUAAUUAAUAAUUUCAAGAAAUAUGAUUACUCAUAUUGAUGAUCUAGUAUAUUCGCAAAAGUUAAAUAAAUAAAAAUCUUCACAAUUAAGUUAUGUAUGAUGAGCUACAGAUGAAUCACACACCUGAUACCCCCGCGCGUAGACCACCAGUCCAAUCUUGAUUGUAGCAUAACAACCUUUUUUGAAGAUCAUUCUUGAUUCCGCAAAAGGGAACAAGCAUUUCUUCCAUGAUAACUCAAAAGUUAUACAAUUACGGAUUUUUUUAAUUCUUUUUACUUUUUUCCUUUUAACUUGACAAAGUACUAACUGAUAUGAGAUGGGACUACAAAUGACACACUCAAACUUCAAACUAAGGGUCUAUUAAGAUAACUAUAUGUUCAUAAUCAAACUAGAAGAAAGAAUGGGGGCUAUGGGCACAAUGACAAAGAUUGCUUGAUCAUUACUUUCAAUGUAUAAAUGGCCCUUGGUGAGGUCCAUGAAUUAGAAUGUACAAGACUCAGAAUAAAAUUUUGGUAUAACAUACAAAGAAUUAUUUUAGUGAAGUUAUAAAGAAGAAUAAAAGAAUAGUUAGUAAUGAAUGUGAAUCAGAUAAAGAUAGGAAUCUCAAUCCUGCCUACUUGGAUUCCAAAACUGAGUCAAAAAUCAGUGAUACUAGUGAAUUAGAUUCAGGAAAUCAAGACUAACGAAACAAUAAAAGCAUCUCCAACAACAAACUAGCGGUUGACUAAAGAAACGUUCAGAUCCAUCAAAUCUGAGCAGGAUAUGAAUUUGGAAACUUAGGGGAUUUCUUGCUUUUAUAAACAUAUUUGGAAAGAAACUAAAAUUGGGUGAUAAUUUAGUAGUGUGACAUAUUUAGCGAGCACAUGCUCAAUUUAGGUUACUCCCAACAACGCAGAAGCAUAUUUCCUCUUACACUUUUAAAAAGAUAUACCAAUAAUUAAUAAUAAAUCUUGAAAAGAUCGGACUUUUAUCACCGAAUAAUUACUCAUAAAUCACCAAGUAUGAGGAAAAGUCCGACUGGAAAGUCUAGUCAACCCCUCGUGAGUGAUGACAAAGCCAUUAUAAAGAAGUUAAUAUAGUAAUACUUGAGGUGGAUAGAUACAAGUGUGGGUUAGGCUACAUACUAAAAUUAUAAAUAAAUAAUAUUUAGAAAUAAAAAUAAAAAGACAUACAAGGGAUAGAGAGAGCAACAUUUUGUGCUUUAAAGCUCUAGAAAUUAUUGGGAAGGUAAAAAGAAAGGCAUAAGCGCAUAUAGAGAAAGAGGAGUUAAGGGACUUGAAAGGUAAUUCAGCCCACUGGCUUGAAGCUCAAAAUUGAAAGUGUUGGACAAUUGAUACAGUUGAUACAGUUGCAGAAGAGAAUUAAUUGAAAGUAUUGGAUAAUUUUAAAUCAUACAAAUACCAUCCAUGAUGACAUGUUAACAUUUACUCUGAAAUACACAGAUAGAUUAUGAAAUAUUUUGUUUAAAUUCUUAUUUGUACUCGAGGCAUUUAAAUGUUAAAUGAUAUGCAAAACCACAAAAGUAAAAACAGAAAUUCUAGAGCAGAAAUAGAAAUGCAUACCAAAUCACCAUCUUCGGUGUUCAGCUCACGAAGAAGCAGCUUUGCUUUGGCAGCCAUUGCCAUUGCAACCUGUAACUAUAACCAGGAGGCAUAUCAUGCAUCUCACCUAAUAUCAGCAUACAUCUUUUUUUUUAAAUGUUAUUUUUUUAGAGCAACAUCUGAUAAAGUUCAUUUUAUUAAUGCCAAAAAACAAAACCCUUGUUCUACUUUACUCCACCUCCACAGCCCAAAUCCACUGUAUACCAACCCCCAUGCAUUUUGUUGACCAAAAACACAAAAGCAACACUAAACAAAAAUACCCACUUCAUAGAUCUUCAUUUUCACCAAACAAUCCAAUUUUUUUAUAAACAAACAAAAUAAAAAUUCUACUAAAUAUAACUCCAAAUGGGUCCUCCUCAAUGUUCUGAUGUUACUAGAAUCAACGCACAUAAACAAGCCCAAGUUUUUACUUCCACUGAAUAAAGAAAGGUUACAUAAUUCGAAAGUACACAAUAAAGAAACUAAACCCAAUCCUAAGUUUUUGCAGACACAUAAUUCAUGAAGAAUCUAAGUUACAGCAUAGUCCAUCGCUGAAAUUGAGUUUCAAUCCUAAACAAUAACUAUAGCAUACAAUAUGAAAAUCUGCAUACAGUAAAAACCUAAUAAAAUUGAAUGUCUUAUCUUGAACUAAAUUUCCCAACUUCAUGUCAGGCCAAAAUAAUCUUCAAAACAAAAGAAAACAAAACUAUACCUACAAAUCAUUCAACCCCAAAAUUUACUUUUUCUCACACGUGCACUGCAUAUCUGCAUUCUUAAGGCUGAAAUAGAACAAUUAACAACAAUGAGCAACUGUACCUAGCUUCAAAAUUUGUUCAACUCAGCUUUUUAGAAACCCACCGAAUCUGUUGCAAACAAUAUUUUAUUGGAUCUGCUUGAUUCUCUGAUAUUUCAAGUUUAAGAAAGUUAAAUAGAUUUAAGCCCAAAAGACAAAACCCUCAGGCCCUAGCUGUUCUACUUUACUCCACACCCUGAGUCCACUGUAUACCAACCCCCAUGCAUUUUGCUGACCAAAAACACAAAAACAACACUAAACAAAACUACCCACGUCAAAGACCUCCAUUUUCACCAAACUAAAAAAUCUGUUAAAUAUAACUCCAAAUGGGUGGGAUAUAUUUUUUGGCCUUGUUAUAAUCUCUGCAGAAAAAAUAAGACUUCCAAGAAAAUAAAAUUACAAAAAGGUGUAGAUAUUCAAGAAAAGUUACAACAACAAAUAAAAAUCAUACUUUCAUGCUCUGUAAAAAGGAGACAUCAAUGGGUAUGAGACAGAGUGCAACGAGUGGUUGAGGGAGACGAGUAAAGUAGUAAAUCUGAAGACUAAAACUAGAAGAUAUAUUAUCAAAAAUGUAAAAAAUCAAUGGAAAAUGAAGCAAAACACUAGAAUCAAUGCACAUAAGCAAGCCAAAGUUUUUACUUCCACUGAAUAAAGAAAAGUCACAUAAUUCGACAGUAUACAAUAAAGAAACUAAACUCAAUCCUAUGUUUUUGCUGCCACUAACUAAAUAAAGAAACGGCACAUAAAUUACAUGCAUAGGAUAUUCAAGAAAGCCACAUAAUUCAUGAAUAAGUUGCAGGCAUAGUCCGACGCUGAAAUUGAGUUACAAUCCCAAAGAAAAACUAUAGCAUACAAUAUGAAAUCCGUACCUUCGAACAAAGCAGCUAAAGCAGAUGAAAGCGUGGAACCAAAUCAGACCCCAAUCAUGGAGCCUCCACUACGCUACCAAAAAUCUCAAAUAAUACAACAGAUAACUGGUCCUCUUCCUAAUAAUUAAUAGAACAUUAAUAUAAUGCAUCGCAAGCACUAUAUAUAAGUUAAGCACUAAUAUUUUAAAUCUUGUUUACAAUUGUUGUUGAUAAACAAUAAUAUUCAAUAAUUGCAAUCAAAAUGUGAGCACAAGUCUUUUAAGUUCUAAGACAAAUAAAAUGGGCCAAGUAAAAUAGGAAUUGAGAAAUUUGCAGCAAGGAUAAUUUGCAGUCACUUUUAUUAAUAGCAUUCAACGAAAUGAGAAACCAUAUAUAUGCCUAGACUUGCAUUGAAUUCUAGAUUGGAACAUGGGAGGAAUGUGUAAUGAUCAUAGAGGUUUCCAAAUUUUAAUCCUUUGAGACAAGGAUCUUCCCAAGCAAAGGGGAAUUGUCACAUAUCUAGAGGUUAAGGGGAACAAUUAGAAUCAAUUUGGAAAGAUGGGCAACUGCAAGCCUUCAUUGAAAAUUCUUCUACUUAUCUCUAUUCCAUAAACCAUAAUUACUUACAAGCUGAGUGUAAAAGAUUAGUUCCGUAAGAAUAAGUGCUAGUGUUUAUGAACAAUUUUUCCAACCGAUAACAUCACACUACUAAACCCAUAAGAUGUCAAACAAGGUCUAUGCUGGAUAUGUACUUUAUGUCACACAUGCGACUACACUUAAGUUACAAUAGAAAUUUUCAGAUUGAUAAAAUAUUUGAUGAUGCAUUGAACUUCAUAAUCUCGAUAAACCAACAACCCCCCACCAUCACACAACUUAAAUGAAUAUGUAAGCACGCUUGGCAGAUUCAAGAGUGUUGCACAGCAGCAUUGCUACUGUCAUAGGUCCCACUCCUCCAGGCACGGGGGAGAUUGCUGAAGCGACCCUAACAGCUUCUUCAUAGCAGACAUCUCCCACAAGACGAUAGCCAUACUCACAUUUGGGAUCCUGCAAUCAAUUUUUGUUUAUUCAAAGAGAAUGAAUACCCAGUUUAUGAAGCUAAAAUCCUUUUUUUAUUUGCUUCUUUCCUUUUCCUUGAUCAAGAUAAUUUUCUUUAAUGGGCAGUAAUAACAGUUUCAUGCUAUUUCUCUUUUGAACAAUCCACUAGUAAGCUAUUGAAAAUAUUGGGAAUCCAUGAAAAGUAAAAAAAACAAGUGUUUACCUCAACUGGAAAUGUACCAACAUCAACAACCACUGCACCUGGCUUUAACCAACUUCCACGAACUAGAUUGGGAACUCCCACUGCUGUGAUUACAAUGUCAGCUUCACGACUAAUCUCUUCUGGGUUCCUUGUGAACUCGUGGACAAUGCUUACCGUUGCAUGGUGCCUCUGCCCAACAAUUUGAACAAAUGCACCAGUUAAAUCAGUAACAGAAGCAUUUAUUCAGCAAUACUGCAAUACUAUGAGAUGUAAGAACAGAAGACUAAAAGAAAGAUGGUGUCACCUGCAACAGCAAGGAAGCAGGUAAUCCAACGAUGUUGCCUCUCCCAAUCACCACAGCUUUCUUCCCCAUUAUUUCUACAUCAGACCUCAGCAAUAACUCUAUACAACCUUUUGGAGUGCAGGGAAUGAACAACGGCUCCCUCCCCUGGAUGGCUAGCAUUCCCAUGUUCAGUGGAUGGAAGCCAUCUACAUCUUUCUCCAAACUCAGUGCAUCCAUUAUCUUCCCCUCAUUCAAAUGCUGUUCACUCAUUGUCAGUCAUCCGUACAUCGUCAACAACAUUUCUUCCUACUUGGUAAAAUCUCAAUUACCUUCUACUCCCUCCGUCCAACUUUACUUGUACCAUUUGUAGUGGCAGAUAUUUUAAGACGUGAUAGAACAUAUUUAUUUAUAUGUUUGAAAAAACAUAUUUCUAGAUUACAUUUCAUAAAUUUUAAUAUACUUGAAAAUAAUAUAUAUAUAUAUAUAUAUAUAAACAUAUAUAUGUGGUUUUGGGCAUGCCUUAAAUGAAUGCUAAAACACGGUUACCAAGAACACGGAUCAAUUGGGUACACAUAAUGGGAAAAAACACCGCCAGAAUGAUAUGGGUAGGCUUACUCCCAUAGCAAUUCAGAAAGCCAAUAUUUUUAAGUGCCCUCUACAAUUUAUAUAGAGAAGAAUUUAAUAGUUUAAAAAAAUAAUAAUAAUAAAACAAAAUAAUUGAAGAGAUCAGUUUGGUCCUUUCAAAAGUAAAACAGUACAGAGAUAAAAGAAACAGGUUAACGUAAACACUGACCAACUAAAUGUCUCUCAAACUUUGAAAUAGAGAUAUCAACUAUCCUCAAUUUAUACGUGGGUCAUGGUUCAAUUUAGAGCUCCACUACCACGAUUCGGAAUGAUAGCACCCAAUACGGGGAACGCAGGGCAUUAAGAAUACCUUGCUAACACCGUGCUAAACACAAAAGAAAGGGCACAAGUAAAUUUGGACAGAGACAACAUAUCAAAAGUCACUAUAAAAGUAUGUACUGAAUCAAUCUUCCUAAAUAUAUUAAAAUAACGGUACAUAAUUGUUGAGUGUCAAGAUAUGCCAUAUAGUGCAACUAAAUUAAAUGGUUUUAGCCAAAUAUCACAUCAAUAUAGGGCAAAAGAGCCGCCCAACAUAGUUUAUGCUACAUAAAUAAAAACAUAUUUACAUCCUCUCAAAUCUGUCGUCCCCCUUUUUUACACAUGGUCUGACACUAAAUGUAAGAUGUUCUAAAACACACAUUUAUAGCCAAUAUUUUAUAUGUUUUUAUUGUUGAAAACUUGAAAUAUAUACAUAUAUUUUGAAAUUAUAGAAUAUAUCAUAUAUUCAUUCUUACAAACAUGUUUCGCAUGUCUUGUUAUGGGUGCCACACAUGUUCAAAGAAGGUGACAACAAAAUUCAGACAGAGUCUAAGAUGAGAUCGGGACAAGGUAGAAUCCCACAAAACAAAACUUCUAGCCAGAGCCUUAAGAUAAAGCAAUGGCAGUUGAAUUAGAUAGUCAGGUAGUAACAAUUAGAGUUUUAUAGUUGAAGAUGUUACCACAAAAAUUAUGAAAUUACCUUUGGAAGGGGAAGCUGCACAAGGAUCCCAUGAACUGAUGGAUUCUUGUUCAAACUUGUUAAAGCGUCAAAAACCUCAACUUCCAUGCAAUUAUCAGGUAAUUCAGUCAUCACAAACUUGAUUCCAGCCUCAUCACAAGCAUACCUUUUUGUACGGACAUACGUCUGGGAAUCCCUUCUUUCACCAACCAUAAUUACAGCUAGCCCAGGUACCUUCCCAAUGGACUUCUUCAUCCUUCUUACUUCGCUAGCUAUGCCAGAUCUAAUUUUAUCAGAGAUCGACUUCCCAUCAAUUACUCUAGCAAUCUGGCCAUUUGCUGCGUGAACUACAGAUUUUGAUCGUGUUUUUCCUAUAUUCUUUUCUAGACCAAGGGAGAAUGCAGAGUAAACAUGAGCAGAUCAUGAACAACAAAUAGUCAACAAUAUGAUAACAUAUCGUGCGUUAACAAUAGCUUUAGAAACUUAGUAUAUAUGUGAGUGGAUUGGGACUGGAAAAUAUUCAAAUUUCAACCAAGUGAUGAUAUUGUCUUAAAAUUGUUUAAACAAGCUGUAAAAUAGCUUAUAAAAAAGAUCAAUAGAGAAAUAAUCCACAAAAUUGAGAAAUAUACAUUUUUUAUUAACUAAUUUCAAGUAAUACAUUGAAAAGUAAUUGGUAGAUUGUACUUACAGACAUCACAACAAGGUAACAUAUUGGGAAAUCGCAUCCACCAGUCUCCUAAUCUCCCCUUUUUCUACCAUUUCAACAACUCCCAUUGAAACAAGCUCGGAGUUGAGCAAAGCCACGAAUUGGGAGGCUUUUACACUUCUCCAGAAUAAACCGAGAAAAAAACCGCGAAAAAAAGGCGCAGAACAGCCGGAAACGUUCAUUACCGCACGGAACCCAUAUAACCUGAGGGAGCCUGAUAACCCGCCCCAAAAUGGGGCUCCGACCCGACUGCACGAACUGUAAAAUUAUCAAACAGUAACUGUACGCACUGUACAGCAGCUCCGAACAGCAGGGGAGGCCUAACCGCAGGGAGAGAAGAGCGGCGCGUGGGGGCGCGUCCGACCUCCGAUUUGGUCGAUCUCCCUCCGGCCAAAAAGCCCCAAUCGACUGUGACCAACCUCAAUUACAUCACACUCAAGUACUCCAACAAAAUCAGUAAUAAAAGCAUAUAAAUUGCACCACCUGAAACCAAAGCCCUAAAUUGAUCUGUGGCUUCCUUGGUCCUUGAUGUCCGCAUGUGGCUGCUGAAAGUGUUUGAAGUCCGGAGGGAAAAAUAUAAUAAAGACGGACACACAAGGACAAGACUGAAACAUAAGAGAGAGUUUGGAUUUUGGAAGUCUGAAACGAUAAAUAGAGUACAAAAAGGAGGAAAACGGACAAGAGACCGAAGAGUCGCAGCCACAAAGUUAGGAAGACUGAAGGAUGCCCUUGUCCUGCACAAAGUAGACUAGUAGAGUACUUCAUAUGUUAGCAAGAUGUAGCCAUCUAGUUUAGCUCGUAGGAUAAUAAAUAGCUAAUUGUCAGACUCAAAUGAAUGGAUGGGUUCCACCGUUUGACAAUUUCAAAUAAAUAAAAUAGAGCAGGGGGAGGAGGCGUUAAAAUUAAUUUGAGAUUUAAAAUUUAAAAUUAUAUUUACUCCGGCCUAUAAUAAACGUUUUAAUUUGAUUUUAGUGAUCAAAUUGAUCAUUUUUAAAAUAAAUAAUUAAAAAUAUUCAUAUAAAAAUUUUAAGUUACGAAACUUGUCAUUAUUAGUACAUUAUUCAUAGUUUAUUAUGAUCAUAAUAUUUAAGUACAUCUUGAUUUUUUUUUAAAGAUUUAUUAAUUUUAAAAAAUGUUAAUUUGAUCGUAAAAGGUAAAUUAGGUCAUUUAUUAUGAGAUGGGGGAAUACUAUUUUCCAAGGGUUGAAUUAUCUGAAAUCGCAUAGGGUCACCAUCCAAUAUGGGUGCACUAAGAAGCAUGCUAGUAAUGGACCUUUCAGGAAACAACGAGUGCACUUGGACCUUGAAAGCCUUUUGAACCAACACAUUGAAUAUAAAUUGUAUAUGUAUAAGCUUUUUGGCAAUGGAAUAUAUGCAUGUCAGAAACUCAUACUGCGAUCUGCCAAGUAACGAGACGUGUCUGCUAAUUGUAGAGGUACAUGCAUGAGAUUAUAAACACGUAUGACAUUCUUGUGAUUUUGUUCCCUACAUAAUACACGACAUGAGUCUGCAUAUUUAAUUUGAUGAUGAUAUGUUUAAAGUAUAUUUAUUCAGUAAUAUUUGUAAAAUCCUUAAUGAAAUCAUAAUGUACAAGAACUUAAAGUAGAAAAUAUCAAAUAUGUUAAGUUGAACUUAUAAAGUUAAAAUGAUGUAUAGAUGAUAGGAUAUAAAUGAUCGUAAUGUAUUGUUAAAAGACAAGCUACACUGCCUAAAAUUAGAAUAUUGUUAGAAAACAAAAUUUUGGCAAAUGGGAAGGGAGUAUAAUCUUCUUGUAGAAUGCAGUAUGGUAGCUCAUCCUUCUUGUUGCAACUAAAUGUUCGCCUCAUACAAUAAUAUCACAUGUUCCAUGUACCAUCCCAAUUCAAAUGAGACAAUGUUGUCAAAACUAAGACCUCUGAUAAAUGAAAAGAUAGUCCGUCAUCAAGGAAGCCAAUGAACACAACAGAUGUUAACGUUGCUUUAGAGUGUGUUAAUAACAAUUUAAGCAAUUAACUGUCACUAAACUUAUAUCCUAUUAAAAAUAUAAACAUACAUUAUUAUUUUUUGUAAAUGUUUUCCAUUUGGAAGACUACAUAUAGACAGACACAAAGGGAGGGAAAUUUUAUAAAGACGAAGAAAGAGUAUACUUAAACUAGGAGUUCAGAAAAUUCCAUCUCAUUGGAACUUUUUUCUUGUGUAUCAGGCUUACGGAAACCUACAAAGUUCAUUCCCAACCAUUGUCAUGACCAACAUACAUAUCUAGGUCUGUUUUGACCAGAGCUCGAGGCUUUUCGAGUAUCAAGCUAAUCAAGUUAAUGAGAUUGCUCCUCGACCUUAUCUCUAAAUGUCUAGAUCAGUCAACCUCAAUGAUUUUUCAACCGAGUCUCUUGCUACCAUGGCAACAUCUAUUGUUUCUUCUUUAGAUCCAACCACUGCUUGCUUCGCCUCUUCAAGUUCUUGUCGGACUAUUAAUAACUGCAAGAAUGUUAAAAAACACAUGGUUAACACAAAAUCGGAAUUGGGUACCAUAGAGGAUCAGAAAUCAACAUAGUACACAUAUAUGAUCGGAAUUCAUUUUUUGUGGGUGCUUUUAUAAGCUUCCGUGUAAAAAUUAUAUUUUUAUAGCCAUAUUUACAGGUUUUUAAGUACCUGGUCUAUCUUAAAGAGUAAUAUAAAAAGAAUACACUGUAAAAUGCUUUAGACUUGCAAACUCUCUGAUGUCAUCUGAGAGUAUAUGAACUUCUCAUGAUGUGAAAAGAUAAAUAUUCAAUUCAAAUAAAUGAAAAUCCUGAAUUGAUCUUUACUACUUCUAUCAAAGAAAAAACCACGCAAAGUUAUCCCAUAUAUCACACUCUUUAAGUAAAUGCUCUUUUAAGAUAAUGACAUAUUUCUAGUCAGAUUGUGUUCCUCUCUCCCCCUUUUUUAGCCAAUCCCACUAUAAGAGGUUAAAUUCCAAUUUAUCCUUCAUGAAGUGAUGGAAUAUCAAUUUUACUGUUAGAUCCUACCGAGUUGAACAAUAAGCAGAGCAGUCAAGACUUGCUGAUAAUACUGUUAUUAUUUUAUUUAUUUAUAUAGCUAAAAUGUGCAACAAAAAGUCAACAAAGUCAUGAAACCCAUAGAAACGCUGCUUAUUCAAUAAAGCAAAAGAGAACAUAAAAGCCUCAAACCAACGCUGAAAGACUACAAAGAAAACCUCAGGCUCCCAACAACAUUCAUCGGACUCAUAGGUUAAUGACAUCCAAGCUUCACUGUGUGUCAAUGUCUAAACGUAUAAAGAACAAAUAAGCAUCCUUCCAAGAGGUGUAAAAAUGUGAAAUAGAUAGCCUUAAACCCCUAAUACACAUUUGAUGACUCAUAGGUCUUGCUAUUUCACUUUUUAUCUUUUACUUUAUCAGAAAUUCAGAACAUAUUUAAUUUACCAGGACAAUCACAACUCUUUCUAUCUAAAGUACUUACUAUCGAUCAACUCAUAUUCCAUUCGAGGAAAAACAUGUUGGAGUAGUUCUGUUGUUGAUGGACGAUCUGAUGGACUUGGGGACAUCAAGGGUCGUAAUAAAGAUUCCUGUUCUGGAAAUCCAGCAACCCAAUCAGAAGGAAGUUCUCCCUUCUGCUUCAUAUCAGAUAGGACAACGUGUCACUCCAUUGCUGUGCUGAAUGGGUGCCAGAGCUCAAGAAAUACAAUUCCAAAGCUGUACAUGUCUGCCUGCCAAAACAGACCAAUGAGAUUAUGAGAAGCAGAACAGAUGUUCACAAGUGGUUAAAGUUAUUCAGAAGUGCUGGAGUAACCGAAUAGACGCACUUCAAAUCAACAAAAGACAGACCUUCUCGUUUAUCUUUGGCCACCCUUGCUCAAUUUCUGGUGCAGUAAAAAAAUAUGUACCAACCCGCCCAGUUGUCUCUGCAGGAUCUAGAUCCUGCUCUAGUUGCUCCAGCUUCAAGAACUUCGCUGAAAGACACAGGAGAAGAAACAUUAUUUCAAGUGUUGAGAACUUCUUAUCUUCAUUUCUCCAGUCUGCAUUUCAACUAAUAUGCAUAAAAGCAACCAAAGUGAUGCAGUCCAAUGAGCAAGUGACUAUUUUCCAAAAACAACAAAAGGAAAAUACAGCCAAGCUUACCUGAAGAACAAUUUAUAUCCAGUAAAACCAAAUAAAAAGGACAAUGUAUACCUUUUCAUUUUUCCGAUAGUUGAUAUACCUAUGUAAUUAUUUUGAGCCUGCUCUUGAUCUUAGAAAUUAAAUAAGAUUCUCAUAAACAAAAGGACUUGUUUUCUCAAGAGAAUCUAACCAAGACUUGUAUACACUAGAAAAUGUCUUUAUUCACAACUGUGUAUAAUAUAGCCUGGAGCUUGUAUCAAGAAAAUAAUGAGUUAGCUGCACCCACAAAAAAUGUGUUAUUGCUAAAAAUUAAAACAAGUUAUUCAUAAGAAGAAUAUAAAUAACGGAAAAGCUUGGAACAGGUAAAGAACUAAAGAUAGCAGAGAAGAUCAAUAAAGUUUUAUGAUUCUUUCUUUUUCACUCCUUUUAUGUUAUAUAUGAAUAUAAAAAAUAAAUGAAAAACAGGUUUAUCAAUUGAUAAAUCCACCUCAGAUGAACCGUGCCAAAUACAAUGGGUGGUCUGACUUGAAAAGAGUUGCACCAUUUGUUUUUGAGUUAACUCAGUACUCUACUCUCGAUCUAUAAACAUUAUAUUAAAAACUAUGUAUUGCUGUACACAAUACCAAGAAGCUUUUUAAAAAAGAUAAAGAAAAAGAGUUUAUUAGAAAGGUGGAAGAAUUAAUAUAGGAGGAUGAGAUCCUCCAGAAAAGGAGAAGAAGAAGACUGAAAACUCUUAUAAUAGGGAAGCAUCUCCUUAUAACAGGGCAGCCAUUCAAUCUUCAUAUGCAGAGAAAGACAAUCAAACAUAUGCAGAGAAAGACAACCAAGCAUAUGCAGAGAAAGACAAUCAAGAAUAUAUUAUCAAUUUAAUAAAGAGAGUGGAACCUUUAUAUUAUCAAAACAAGUACUCCAGAUUCAAAUUUACAAUCUCAGACCAUUCAUGACUUCUAAUCACUAUACCAAAUGUGAAAUGUAUGUAGACCCUAAACCUUCUCUCUACAUUUGGGACCCAAAAAAAGUUGAACAAAUUUGACGCAGAUUGGAUGCGUAUUGAACACGUUUUUGAUUGGACGCGUUUUGAAGGCGAAUUUGACGCGUUUUGGACGCGUUUUGAAAUGAAAUGGUACUUGAAAAUAGGAUAUGUCUAAAGAGAGCGCUUUUUUUUUUCUUUUUUAAAAAAGGGAUUUCAGCAAUUCAGCUGGAGACUGAAUGAUGAAUACACUUGUACAAAAGGUAAUUUUGAGUUACAAUUUGAUUUAAUCAUGACUCCAAGUCAAAUUUUUUUAAAGCUAAAUCAUCCAAGCUCUUGUUAUUUGCUAGAAAAAGACAAUUUUCCGACAACCAAGAAGAGAAUGGGUGCAUGACGCUGAUAUACUCCGCAUGUAUGCUUGACGCAUUUGAAAACAGGCCAUCUGAGAGAGGAAAACAAAUAAUCUUGUGGUCAACAAAUACCUCCUUAGCUAAUUAACAUCAGUUCCCAAUGAAAUAUAAUGAAUGAAAUUUCCAGUUGCUGAUAAUGUAAUUUAGCAUAGCAUUCACUCAUGUAGAAGUAAACCCAAGCCGCUGAUAUACUGCUCCAAUAUUCACUCGAUCAUCAAUUUGUAUAACUAACUAACUAACUAACUAGAAAGACUUGCAUAUUUGGAUCAAACACUCAACCCAUCGUCAAAAUCAAAGAACAUGAAGAAUAGAUUUUCAUUCAUUCAUGCAUUUCAAACUCCAAUUACCAAACAACGAUGAAGAUUAGCAAAAACUGAGACCAUACCGCCAAACCGAACGAAGCAGUAGAAAAAGAAACCGGCUAAAAAUGUUAAAACAACAUAAAAUGUAAGAUUUACCGUAGGGGAACCACAUAACCGGAGAGAGUCCAAAUCCGAGAGUCCACCCGACCCAGGGCCGGACUGCACAAACUGUGAAAUUACCAAAAGGUAACUGCACGAACUGUAAUUUUUUCCCGCACAGCAGAGAAGACGGACUGUACCGGAAGAAAAUCGGCUCGUGUGUCGCCAAUUCGGUCCCCCUGCCUCCUGCCAUAUUUCCCGGAAUGUUGUGUGUGCGACGAUGUCUGCAAAUCUUGGAAAUUUUAAAUAUGUAAGGCCAGGAUGGAACUGUGGAGUUUAGGGUGCUGGUGGGAAUGGUGGGAGAAAAGCUGUUGGGGACGCCAGGCGGAGGCGGAAGAUGAGGGAUAAGAACAGGCAACUGGCGUUCGGCUGGGUAGUUGGUGCCGCCGCAGUAGCCAAGCAGUAGCAACAACAAUAACAAUAGGACAUUGACAUUGACGGUGAGAGCUAGCUUGCUCCUCUUCCAUAUAUAUAGUUUCUCACUGUUUGUGUGGUUGGUAGGGGUGCUCAAAAAAUUCAUUUUUUUCGGGUUUUUACCGAACCGGUUGAAAUCGGUAUACCGAUUUUUCGGUUUUUUUAUACUUUUCGGUACCGGUAAUGAAAAUUUUGAAUUCGGUAAAUACCGAAAAACCGAAAAAAAGCUCAGUAAAAUUAUGUUUGUUCCCACGACUCUACCAAGCUCGGCUUUAAUCUUGAUCAUUGCUUCAGGAUUUCGAAAAAGCUCGAUCAUUGCCCACUCAAUUGAGGUGUUAAUUGUUUCUGUUCCGCCAACAAACAUUUCCCGCUCCCACCCCACCCCACCCCACCCCACUUCACUUGCGAUUAAUAAUAAAAUUUAAUUGAUAAAAUGAUAUGUAGAUAAAAUUUAAUUGAUAAAAUGAUAUUUAAUUAAUUAAUUAAUUUUACCGAAUUAAUUUAAGCAAUGAUCAAGAUUAAUUUAAGUUUGGACUUUGGAUGAUUGAUUACAAAAGUAGUGAACAGGACAACUUCCAUCCAUUGGGUUCCUUAUUUGUGUUUGUUUCAUUUUGGCCAAGGACAAGUCACAUAUGAAGAAGACACCACACCCAUGUGAGAUGCCCAUCACUCAUCUUUACUUCAAUGCUCUCGAUCAUAAACUUCUCCAUUACUAUUUACUACAACUAUGAUAGUUAAAUACUCUUAGACUAACAAUUAUAAUUAGUAUUUGUAAGAAUGUAAUUUACUAAUCUCAUUUCUUAGUUUUUAAAAAUUUGUUAAUAUAAAAAAAAAUUAUUUAAUUAUUGCGCUAUAACCGAAAAUCGAACCGAAAAAACCAGUACCGACUUUGUACUGAACCGGUUAUUCGGUACCGGUACUUGACUUUCCGGGUUUUUCGGUUCGGUACCGGUUCGGUUUUUUACCGAUGAGCACCCCUAGUAGUUGGGCUCAAAAUCAAAACAAAUAUAUAUUUUAUAAUUAAUGUUGUAUUUGUAUAGUUCUUUACAUAUAAGUAAGUACUAUUUAGCACCAAAACAACCUAUAUUAGGCUAAUGGAAAAAAUAACAAAAGGAAAUAAUUUCAAUUUUCUUCCAAUUUAUUUUCACUAAAAAAAAAGAAGAAAAAAAUGGUGUAUUGUUUUGGUUUAUAAAUUUAGUCUUCUAAGUAACAAAAUUAAUAAUGUAUUACUUUAAUUUAUUAUUUUUUAUAAAAUAAGAGAAAAGAAACUACAAUCUCUCUCCCUUUCUCUUAGGUCGUUUUUAUCCUUUUAUUUUAUUUUUACUUUUUUAGUCCAAAUUAUACCCACAAAUUAAGUAGUUCAGAUUUAAUGGACAUGAUUUUUUCCGUACACGUAUAAAUUUUUUCCAUUCGUAUGAAAAGUUUGUGGUAUGUACGAGACUCUUGGUAUUCUCUAUACAUAACAUAAUAGUGCGUAUGAAAUUAUUUUAGGAAAAAGUAAGUAAUAAUAUUCAUAAUUGUAAUCACAUUAUAACUGCAAAAAAUUAUAUAUUUACGGACGCGGUACAAUUUUUAUUUUUAAUAAUAUCAUAUGAUUGUGGAUGCAGUUGCGGAUACUUCUUACGCCGAUCCUACAAGGAAGAAGGACGAGAAAUAUCAUGGGUCAGAAGAAAUGUGGGCUCGUUUUGGACCGACAGAAUGCAAAGACUUUGAUGAAGCUUUAUCAAAGGUGAAACAAGUGGGUUCGUUCCGCUACUAACAAAAUGAAUUUGAAAAGCUCGGGAAUCGGGUGCAAGGAUGGACCCAAAAGACAUUAGUAGGGACGUUUAUGGGUGGUCUCAAACCGGAGAUUGCGAAAGACAUUCGAAUGUUCAAACCUAAGUCAUUGAAGGAAGCAAUAAGCUUGGCACGAAUGUGAGAUGAUCAACUAACUCGUCAAGGGAUAGACACAAGAUCUCUACAAUUUAAUCAUCGCCAACUUGACCUUGCUUCCCCAACAAAGGCCAAACAAGUUGUGGCUAUAAAGCGCCUUACCUAUGAUGAAAUACAAAAAAAACGAGCUCAAGGCCUCUGCUUUAACUGCGACGACAAAUUCACUCCGGGACAAGUGUUGAAAACCCCAGGUCUUGUUGCUGGAAGUAAAAGAUGGUUCAAGCAAAGAAUAUAAAGAGGAUCACGUAAGCCAAUGAACCUUGAGGACAAGGUUCCGCUGAAAGAGGCCGGUAUUGACAAGUAGCAAAAGUCGGUUAGAGACUUGGUCUUUUUGUUAGCUAUUGUCUUACUUUAUGAAUAAGUUGUAGUAGUGGAGUUCUUGUGGAAUCCUUAAUUCUAGUAGUUGUGGCUCAUGUGGUAGUAGUGGAGUUCUUAAUUCUAGUAGUUUUGGUCCAUAAGCUUAGGAGAGAGUAGUUUACUUUUAUGUAUUUAAAUCUUCAGUUAGUAGAAGAGGAAAAUAAGAAAUCAUUUGUUAUAAAACCUUGCGGUACUUUCUCACCUGAAGAGAAAACAUCAUUUAUCAUUUUGAAGCUUUGAUUGGGACCUAUCAACAAUAUUAUCAUUAAUUCCAAGGACCGCAUAUUAACGGGAUUUGUUCUACUACUACACCCCUCCCUCGUUAUAUAUGUUGGAUGUAGCUCUUUGGUAGAGAGUUCCUCAUUGAAGAGGAGUACUAAAGUAAUUAAUACUAUUUCUUUCGUUUAGAAAACAACAUACUACGUACGUAUGGCUUGUUUGAUCAUUAACAAAAUCAUGGUUAAAUUAAAUUCUAGUAGUUACUAGAUUUUACGUUUCCUCCUCUGCUCUCCUCCACUCCAAUCAAAGAAAUGGUGGUGUUCUAGUCUUUCUUCUCCUCCCGAGGAAGAAGGUGUUUGAAGAAACCAAAGAACCAACACCCAAACACACGAUCCAUAUCCCUAUGUGAACCGCCCAACUCACUCCUUCCGUCUCUAUGUCCUCCGUAUCUUCUUCUUCUUCCUCCUCGUCAACAGUAUGCUGCAGCUGAAUUAUCUCAAGCUGGGCUUGCUUAAUAAUACUCUCCAGAGCACCAGUCUGCUUAUAGCAGAUUAUACCUCAGCCAAAGAGACAAAAUUUAAGACCUUACAAGUUAAGAGCCUAAGACACUUACCAAAGUAGAUAUUUCGUUGUCCUCCGUCACCAGAGUACAUGCCUUAUCAUUUGAAGCUGCCACUUUUCCAUCCCCAAGAUGAUUACGAAAUUUAUAAUCAAAACCACCCUCUUUUAAUCAAUUUUCUGCAACUUUAAAAAGUUCAAUGGUUUUGGAUGACAAAUCUGUUGAUAUUUUUAUUGAUAACGCACUUCUUAAUAAGGCUCCAAUAUGCUCUUUUUCCUGGAUUAGUUGAGUCACCGUUUGAUUUAGCCUAUUUACUUCAUGUCUCCUUUUCACACCUCUGCUUUUGCUGGAUGAGACUAAGGAUAGAAUAAAUGAAUAGUAUCCCCAUCAAAAUCAGCACUAAGUGGCGCACAGAUCAGGGGAUUGAUAUACGGUCAUGAACAUAUACCGAUAAUGCUUGAAGGGAACGCUUGUGGGUAGUGGCUUUUGAACCUUCCCUUAAUGAGUAUGUAGAUGACCCAUCCCUAUAUGUUAAGCACAAUUUUUCGUCAACCAACUUUUGCAGAUAUGACAUAUUGUGCUAACUCACUUUCUCCUCAAAAGUAAUUCUCUGAGCUAUUUCAGAAGGCAAACCAAUUUCACCCACCCCUUUAUAUGGAUCACUAGUUAUAAUACUACAAGAGGAAAACCCAGAAGCUAAACAAAGUUCUCAUUUUCUCUAGCCAUACUUUUGUAGAAGAAUCGUUUGGUUCUCUUUUUAUCCCAAAACAUCCAUCCACAUCACGAGAUACCUUAUAAAAGAAAAUGUUUGAAUCAGCGAGAGGUAGGACAGUUGAUUAACAUACAUACUUAUAACUUGGAUGAUAUAAGUUAUAUAUGACAAACAUUCUAUUGGGACAAUCUAAUUUUAGACUACAGUAAGCAAUACUAACACAUAUUUCCUCAAGUCAAGCAAAAUCUAAACCAUCUUGCCAACACACACCUUGUCCGAGAAAAUAAAUGCAUAUAACAAAAUGACAAUGAGUAAAUAAAAAUAUCAUUUGAAGAAGCAUUAAGGACCUUUCCUCUCAAAUUUGUCUUAGUGAUCCUACUCGUACACCAAGUUUAGUUUACCAAGUCGUAUGAGUACCUUAGCAGUACCCCUAGCUUGAAGAUACUGAGCAACUGCUGCUCGCAAAUCAUUAGCUUCAAUUUCAUGGGAUUCAAAAUUUGGUGUCCCAGACCUUUUACUAAUGAUAAUCUCGAUUUGCUUUAGCACUUUCUUUAGAAUUUCUAUAGAAUGAUCCAGAAUAGAUAUUAUCAAAAUAGAAACAGUACUAGGUCAAACCUAAGAUUCAUGUAUGAAAAGAAUGAUUAACUAAAGAAAUGACGCUAGUUCCAUCCAAGAUGUUUGGCAUAGACAAACAGUAUGGAGGAAUUUGUAAAUAUUGCAAGAUAUACCCAUCUUGAGGUAAGAAUCCUUUCCCAACAAGUUAACAAUGGUUGAAGGCUUAUCAUAUGUGCAUAUAUUAAAUAAACUUUAUUAGACGUAAGAGCAUAUGCCCUAACUGAAUGACACAACAAAGUUUAACACACACCAACUGCUAGACAGUUGUGGAGAAAUUUACCUCAAGAUAUUGCUCAAUGAUUUUAUAAGUUACAUGAACUGGAUUAUUACGCAUUAAAUUUGGAAAAUAAGAAAUCCUUUCCAAGAAAGCCUCAAUUCUACUGUGCUGACCCCCAUCCCUUCUUCCAUUAGGAAUGUCCACAUUAUCACCUUUUGUAAAGCAUGAAAAGUUAACAAUUCCAGUUGAGUGAACCUUAAUAACAGUUUUCAGAUAAAGGAAAAGGCUUUCUGGGUGAGAGUCCAGCUCAAGAUAAAGUGCGUUCAUUAUUACCACUGAAAUGGUCAACAACCAAAAAGAAUGUACUCUCUCUACAAAAGGCAGAAAUACAAAAACAAUUUUAUCAAUCAAGUCUACUUCAGGUCUACAUAAACAUACGCACCAUGUGAAACAAAGAUCCAUCAAACUCAUGGUUAUCAAGCAGCACCUGCUUAAUUUGACCAGAUCUGGGAUUCGUGACAUGAUUGCUGAUUGGAAAGCAUCAGAUUCUUUGCCAUCUAGCUGAAGCAAUGUAUAACUGAUAAAAGAGAAGGCAUGAAUCAAUUCAUCAACGUCUUUCAUAUAGCUACCAAAGCGGCAAUAUUCUGAUGUCUGAUGGCAUGAGUACAUCCACAAACCUAAAUAAAUAUUUAAAAAUAGAUCAACCUUUCUGUAUGAAUUAUGGAUUUUUUUGUAUGGGGGGAGGGGGGGAGAGAGAAAUCAUGAUCAUAAACUUCCUUUAUAGAUUGAUAAAUGUGUAACGAACCAAUUGUCACAAGGAACGAAGAAGUACUAUUUUGUUAUAAAGCAUUUUAUAUGUCCAAAAUAAUGGAAAAAGGGUUGGGGAAAUCAAGGGGAAUGCAACCUUCGCUGAAGUGGGUAAAUGCCCUUACCAAAAAUAAGUUGGCAUCUAAUAUAGCACUUAACAAGACAGCUUACCCCUCUAACAAACCUAUUUCCAGAUUAGUGCAAGCAGCUAAGUUUGAAAUGGCUAAUACAAUAAUAAUAGAUAUCUCCUAAAAUUGUCCAUUCUGAGGCAGCUAUUCAAAUAUUAUACCUGAGACAUAGGACAACUUUGGUAAAAAAAAAAAUGUUAUAUACACUGUUACAAAUAAGAUCAAUAGAGAGCUUAUAAAAAGGAUCAAUACAGAAAUAAUCCACAAAAUUGAGAAAAACAAUUUUUUCAUCAACUAAUUUCAAGUAAUACAUUGAAAAGUAAUUGGUACAUUGUACUCACACCAUGCAUCACGACAAGGUCAAAUCAUGCAUCAACAUCUGCACAUGUUGGGAAAUCCAGUUCAUAAAGUGCAUGAAUAUUCUCCAUACCUUGAUAAAGACAGAAACAUGAGAAUAUGAGAUCACAAGAUGUGAAUACCUAAGCAAAGGAAGAAUGAUUUCUAAAGCCUACAUACCAUUGUAAUCUAGUUCAAUACUGAUAAUGAACAGAAGAUAACUUUAGUAAUACAUUGUUGGAUCCGAUAUCAAUUAUUGCAAGGCAAAAUAUUUCAAAGAAAUUUAAGUUCAGGGUUUACAUUUUGAAUUUCGGAAAUAGAAAAUUAUCCUAUGGACUCGUGAAGAUAUUGUACUCUAACUAUAAUAAUUUGAAUCACAAAUAUAAAUAGUGUAUAAUUUCUUGGGAACUACUUAGAACAAUGAUUCUUGCAAAAGGAUGGUGAUACAUAUAUUCUAUUUACAUUUUUGACUUAAAGUCACUCGCUGAUUGUCUGUUCAUCCUUAACUUUCAUCCAUUAUCCUAUGGACUCAUGGAGAUAUUGUGCUUUUACUAUAAUAAUUUGAAUCACAAAUAUAAAUAGCGUAUAAUUUCCUGGGAACUACUCAAAACAAUGAUUCUUGCAAAAGGCUGGUGAUACAUAUAUUCUAUUUACAUUUUUGACUUAAAAUCACUCGCUGAUUGUCUUUUCAUCCUUAACUUUCAUCCAUUGCACUAAAAGAAAAUAGGAAUAACUUCUUAAAAAAAAUUGUCAAACAAGUCCUACUUGCUCAACUUUUUUCUUUUGCACUGUAGCUGGGUAACUCCUUUCUUCUCAUUAAGCCUAUAUGAGAAAAUUAUAUUCGCCAUUCUUUACAAAGGAAGAGCAAAGGGAGAUAGAAAUGAAUAGAAGCACAAAGUUGGUCGGUGUUUAAUUAUCUCUACCAAAAUGGUGUUGCUUAAGAUAAGAGAUGCAUGCAUAAUUAUGAAACAAAGAUGACUUGGUGUAAAUCCAAGUUUAAAACUGCAUCAAGGUACAAAAUCAAUAAGAAACAUGCAAACAGUUAGAAUGCAGAAAUAGUAAUUGGAGAUUGUGAAUAAUUUGUGAAAUAUAUGAGAAAGUAUACCAAAAUUUCCUCCCUCCCUUAGAGAGUGUCACUUUCUAAUUUCAGGGUUAUCAAAAUACUGCUCACUUACUUUGACAAUUCAAAUCUUUAUAAAGAGAGUUCGAUUCGAGGAGAGCAUAAACUAAUACCAACAACCUUAUUAAAUUUGUUUCAUGUAGUUUACUUUGAAGGAGUAAUCUGGAGGGGGCACAUUAAUCAAGUAGAAAAUUUUCACAGUUAAAUAUUUUAGGCAAAAAAACUACAAGGCACAAAGGGACUCACUAGGAUGGAUAGAUUAUAUGAUAACGUCUAUCUUAUGGGAGACAAACCCAUGACUAUCCUGUUUGUUAAAACUUUUUAAAACUCAUGUUUUCAGUUCCUCCAUCUAAAUGAACACAAAUACAACAUCUCAUCUCAAAAUAACAAACACUCGUAUCAAAUAACAAUUUUGCAGUAGACUACAACUUUAAAAAGUGAUCCCCAAAUUACACUACAUGCAUCUCUCAAGGCAACAUGAAUGGAUCGAAGUAACAUGUCGCCAUAAUUUUUUUAAUAAAUUGACAUCAUUUGUCCUACAAUAUUCCUGUAGUUCAACAACCGACUCAUAUAGAGAACACCAUCUCAAAAAUAAACAGAAUUGAUGUGACACCCCCCAAAAUCCGGGUACUUCAAUUCCACGGGAUUUGGUGUUCACUGUACAAAUAUCAUCUAUCUAUCUACCCAUAAUAAAUGCAAGCCAUGCAAUAGAUAGAAUAAAAAUCUUCCCCUUAAGGGUUACAACAUUUGAAUAAUAAUAAUACAAUCCCAGGUUAAACUAACCUUAAACAUCUGUGCGGAAUCAUAAACAAAUAAGUCUUAAAUAACAUCAUUAACUCAAGUCUUAAACAUAAAUACAUCAUCUAAAAAAAAUAACAAGUCUUCAUCACUUGCUAACUUUGCCCUUGCCUUUACUAGUGGAAGGUUCAUCAGUUCUUUCGUUCUUAACUGCAAUGUUAUUAUUAAGCAAGAGUGAGCACUAUUGCCCACAAGUAUAAUAAUGAAAUAACAGUAUAAUAACAUGCGAGUAAAUCAAAGACAUCUGAAUAAAAGCUCAACUUUUGAAUCAAGAAUGAAUAACAAGAAUCAAAAGAAUUCUGAGGGUCAUAAGACCUUGAACUAUGUCCUAGGUUAUCAAGGGUUAUACUUGAAACCUUUAACAGUCAUAAGACUAUGGACCUUUCUACUCGUACUUAGGGGGAUCAGCCCUUAGUACCAUACUGUGCACAAUAUCUUAACGCUAACGCAUAAGUAAAUCCCUUUGCAGGGUUGUUCAUCUCAGUUUGACAUUCGAGUCCGCACCAAAGGAAGUUUGGUUUGGAUAAUUCAAUAAGGGUUCUGAAAUUUAGAACGUUCAUCAACUAAGGACUAGUUGAAUCAAUAAAGUUCACUAGUCUAAUAAGGUUCAACAAUAAUGAUAUUCAAUUUGAAUAAUAAUCUCAAGAAGUAUACAAUAGGACAAUUAUUGUAUAACUGAAUCAUGCUUUGAAAAGAUAAUCAAUCUUUAAUAUAACAUUUGAACUUGAAUAAUAGUAAUGAUAAUUUACUCGAGGUAAAUAAUAAACUUGAACAAUAAUGACAAGUAGGGUUAGGAAACUUGCCUCGUGCGUAGAUUACACUUUAACUAAGCACGUUCUUUGAAUUUAAUCCUACAUACCAUUCACAUUCACAAUACCAGUUAAUUAUAACUUAACUAAUCAUCAAUGAUCAUUCUUUUGUCUAAACUUUGGCUAUGACUAUACUUAGUCAAAUUAUCACAUAAAAUCACUUCAUGAAUAAUAAUUUAAUUAUGUAUUCCAUAACUCAAUCUACAUGUAAUUAUGUUAUUAACAUGUUAAACAACUCUUUUAUCAUCCUAUUAUACUUCUAACAUGUUUACAUGUUCAUUACAUUAAUUUACUAACACAUUGUUAGACUUAAACAUUUUGAAAAUUACAUUUCUGAACUUUCUGGAGAGUGGCGCUGCGACGCCACUGUUAUACUGGUACUCGGCGCUGCGGCGCGAUGGCGCUGUAGCCGGACUAUUGGCGCUGCGGCGCCGUGGCGCUGCGGCGCUGAAAGUAAGGCACGAGUCUGGCGUCGCGGCGCGGCGAACCAGAAACUGUUCUGCAAUUCGCGAAAAUUGCAGAAUACAGCCAAAAACUCCAAAUUAAUUUACUACUACACGAAUUUAAUCAUACCCACAUGUUAUAAUUCGUAUAUAAUCAUUACCCAACAUUUAUAAAGUGAUUUUAACCCAUUACAACACAUAAUCACAGAGUUUAAGCAUGCAAUUUUACUGACUUUGAUGUUCUUGAAGGUUUUGAAAAUAAAACAUGAAAAUUGUCACUACGGAUUCGUUAUAACACCGAAUCCGUUUAUUUAAACUUUGGUCUCUUCGUAUCAACAUGCAUAACAACAUACGAAUGUAAAAUUUAGGGAUAAUAUACGAUCAAUACAUGAAAUAUCACGUAUAAGGCCAUAUGGCCAAAACCCAAACUCUGUAAAUUUUUGAAAUAGCAAGUCAUCAUUUACUGAAACUUAUGAUAUGGAAUCAUAUAAUAUAUAUAAAACAUGUUAUGCUACUCGAAUUAUUACAUAUAUUUCUAACUCAAUUUCCCAAUUUACAGAAAUUCCACAGAACUUGAUUGAAAGCCAUUUUCAUAAAAAAACUAAAUGACGUAAAAGUAGAAUUUGGGUUGGAGAGAAUUACUCACAGAUUAGUGUAGAUAGGAGGGAUUAAACUUUCUCAAUCAAUCAAACAACUCACAAUUCUCUCAAUUUCUUAAUUCUGUCUCUCUGUGAUAAUUCUCUAGACUUAGCAAUAAUGGAAUGAAUGAAGAAGAAGACGUCGCAUAUAAUAAUUAAACUGACGUAGUUGUGGUCAGUUAACCAAUUCGUGGUUAACUGCCCUCAACCACUACUAAGGCCUUGUUUGGCUAUUCAAUAUAAUUCAUUCUCAUUUAAUUUGAUAAACUUCUUAUACUAUAGUUUAAUUAAUGUCACACUCCUUAUAAAAUAACUCCAAUAUUUUAUUUAAUAUAUUUUAAAUAAAAUAUAAUAAUUUCUCAUAAAUUCACAUAGUCACAUAAAUAAUUUUCUCAUUAAUAAAUAAUGUCAAAUUAUUAACUCUCUAAUUAAUAAUUAAAUUAAUUAAAUAACAUCAUGCUUAAUUAAAUAUUUCUUUUAAUACAAUAAGCUCACAUAAUUACAUAUUUGAAUAAUAAUUAUUCUCUACAUUAAUUUAAUAAAUGUAACACAUAAUUAAAUUAAUCUACCACAAUUGCAUCAAAUAAUUAUUUAAUCCAAUAAUUAAAUCAUCGAAAAAUAUUUAUUUAAUUCAAUAAAUAUUAAAAUUAAUUUACAAAAAUCUUGUUCGUCACAAUUGAAGUCCCAUAAACAUAAAUAGCAUCUUUUGAUUACUGUCACUUGCUUUCUUAGUGAAUAAGGUCACUUCUCUACCCAAACCUCAUAUUUGACAGAAAUGAUCAACUGAAAAUUUCAAAAAAUAUUCAAAACGGCAAAAUAAGCAAAAGAGCACAUAGCUAACAAUAAAAAUCCCAAAAGACCAAAGUUUAUGGUACUUGAGAUAAAAGUUAUCCAAAAUGAAAAAUACUAGAAGCAACGCACAUAAACAAGCACAACAUUCAUGAAGAAUCUAAGUUCAGGCAUAGUCCAAACGCUGAAAUUGAGUUUCAAUCCUAAACAUCUUCAAAACAAAAUAAAACAAAACAAUACCUGCAAAUCAUUCAACCCCAAAAUUUACUUUUUCUCACACACAUGCACUGCAUAUCUGCAUUCUUAAGGCUGAAAUAGAACAAUAAACAACAAUGAGCAAGUGUACCUAGCUUCAAAAUCUGCUCAACACAUCUUUGCAGAAACCCAGUCAACAUCUUCAAGUUGAUGAGACAGCUCCUCCACCUUAUCUCCAAGUCUAGAAGCCCCUAGAUCAGCCAACCAAAAUGAUUUACUUGCUGUCAUGGCAACAUCUAUUGUUUCUUCUUUGAAUUUAAGUUUAUUCUUAAACUCAACCACUGCUUGCUUCGCCUCUUCAAGUUCCUGUCAGACAGCUAAUAACUGCAAGAAUGUAAAAAAACAUGGUUAACUCAAAAUUGGAAUGGAGUAGUAUAGAGGAUCAGAAAACAACAUAGUACACAAAUGAUCGAAAUUCAUUUUUUGUGGGUGCUUUUAUAACCUUCUGUGUAAGAAUUGUAUUUUUAUAGCCAUAUUUACAGGUUUUUAAGUACCUAUUCUAUCUUGAAGAGUAAUAUAAAAAGAAUACACUCUAAAAUGCUUUAUAGAAGUUGUCCCAAACUUGCAAACAAUGUGGUACAAUGCCAAAGUUCAUAAGGUUGCCUCCUGUUUGCAACUCUGAUGACAUCUGAGAGUAUAUGAACUUCACAUGAUAUGAAAAGAUAAAUAUUCAAUUCAAAUAAAUGAAAAUCCUAAAUUGAUCUUUACUACUUCUAUAUAUCACAAAAUUAUCCUAUAUAUCAUACUCUUUUAAGCAAAUGCUCUUUUUAAGAUAAUGACAUAUUUCUAGUCAGAUUAUGUUUGAAGAGGUUAAAUUCCAAUUUAUCCUUCAUGAAGUGAUGGAAUAUCAAUUUUAAUGUCAGAUCAUACCCUCAUGAAGUGGACUAAAGGAGCACAAGUUUCGAAACAUGGUUGACUGUGAAAAUAUUUUCACAUUAUAAUUCAAGACGACCGUCCAGCCUAAGCUACAAAGUGUUAAGGGAAAAGGUGGCAAGCAACGUGGAGCUAAUUCCAAUCUCCAAGCAGAAGCUGAAGACUGUUAAUAUCUUGGGCAGUCAACGGUCAAAGUGGUUAGUUUAAUGAAUUCUUCUGGUUUGUCAAAAACAAACAAUAUAAUGGGACGUGUAAAAGGCUGUUUUAAGUACUCGCCAUCCUUAAAGAAAGGUUCAAUACCAAUUUCUAGAUACACCUGUGCCACAAAAUCUGGUUCAACAGUCUUGCCUACAUCAGCUUCUUGUUGCGCAACUACCUUCCAUCUUAUAAUUUCUUCUUGAGCUGCAGCAAUAUCCAUCAUAAGCCCUUCAACCUAAAACCAAAAAGUAGUCGAUAUAAGAUGUGAGAUAUAAUGAAUUUAAGAGUAGCUGGAAUGUACAUAUUCCUCACUAUAAUUUCACAUAAUCAUAUCAACAACCAAAUAAAAAAAUGAGAUUACAAAACAGCAGUUUGCUAAGAAAUCAUUAUACAAUCAAUAUAUGAACAAGCAUAUAUGUUAACUUACAUUACCAUUUGCCACUCUUUCUUUCUCUAAAAGUUCCUCUGCGUUUUUUCCUCAGGAAGAGCACCUUGGCUUGAGCUUCUACAGGCUGUUUGAGUAAACUUAAAUCAAAUAAACAACUCUACAAUUGCUGAUCAAACAAGGGAAAUCAAUUCUAAACAAACUUAACUUGAGGUAAACCUAAUAUGUAUCCCCCAACAGCUAGGGAAUAGGGAAUUAUAUCCCAAUUCAAUACAUUGCUUAUAAACUCUCAAUCCACAUAAAUAUGGCCUAGGGCGUCAACAAUCCUUGUAAACUCUUACCAACAUGUCCUGAUAGGAUGUGUAAAAAGUUACAACUGCUGAAAUACUAGUAGAAAUAUCUAUUUGGCGAAUGAUGAUGAUAUUUCUCUUAGCAAUCUGAUUCGGGGACAAACUGGUGCAAUAACAAAGAACUCUGCAGAUGCCAUGAUGACAAGUACAUGCAUUAUGCAUAUGCUACCAGACUAAACCAGAAACAUUACAAGGCUGCAGAACUUGGUUCCCUAGGACUAAAUAUUCCAGCUUAUACAAAUAUUAAUCUAAUAUUGAUAAUUUAAAUAUUUCUCACCUUCACAAGGACGACGUCGUUGCCUUUCCAAAUGAGGCAUCACUCCAUCAUCAUAAACUAUUUUCUCUAGCUCAUCAUAAUUAAGAAAUGGUUCUUCCUCCUCUUCAACAAUCCAAAACUCUGUUUUGUCAAUUGACUUAUAAUCAAUUGGAUCCUAAUUCCAUCUCUUAUAGCAAUGCCUAAAAUUAUGAUUUCAUAUAAUGUUAUGUGAUUUUUUUUCCAUAAAACUAACGUCAUAUAAUAUUAAUUAUUAAAAAUUCAAAGAAAGAUUGCUACCUCAACACCAAUAGCUUUUUUAUACUCCAACUUGCUUAUAGGGCCUCCAAUGUUAAUCAUGUCUGGCAACUAAAGGUAUUAACCUUGACCCAAUUUCAGCACAAUCAAAUUAGUGUAACCUUGAAGAGCUGGGAAAUGAGUGGCAUGGGACUGCCAUGCAUACUGUUCAUUAUCAUUGUGUUUUGUUGUGACAAUAACCUUCUCAACAACUAAGUAAGCAGAACAAAAACAAACACCAAAUUGUUCAAUCAUACUGUCAUCAGCACCACCAACAAGAGCUUUCUUGAAAUCCUUAAUACCUGAUCUUGCAAUUAUUAAUAUGCCCAAAGCCAUAGUAAGUUACAACUUCUAAAUUUUCACUUCAACCACAUAAUACUAAAAUGUACACAUGUAAGAGCAAGCACAAUCAAACAAAAGCCACCGAAUAAAUUACAUAAAGAUUAUGCAAAAUCAUUUAUGAUACAUUAGCACAGCAAAAAAUAGAGCGCGACCAGAGAAAUUGACUAAUCUAUUUAAUGUUUUUGCUUUCUGCAUGCAGUCUACUCUCUUAUUUAUAAAAUGCAACUUCCCAAUAGGCUACUAACUUCCUGUUGAGUAAUGCAACUAAAUGAACACCUAGACUAUCAAAUAAUUUGAUCUUACAAAAUAAAUUCAUUAACUGUAAUAGGCUAUCAAGAAAAAAAUUAAGCCAGUCAUAUACUUUGAGUAUACCAAUGUGAAAUUUCUAAACAAUCUAAGGCAGAGAGAAGCUAGAAUAGCAAUAUCUACAGUACCAAUAAGGAGAGGCAUGAUGAAAAGAGCAGGGAAAGAAUCAUAAGCCUCUUACCUCCACAGCAGAUGGAAAGAGUGUCAUUCCACCAAUGAUGCUAAGACCGAUGAGAUAUGCACUAUGACCAGGAAUAUCUUCUUGAAUUUCAAGACAUCCGUACUCCAUAAGCACAAGAUGAAUAAUGGAUAAGCUAAGGGCCAGUAUAUAUCUGCUUUCCAGUGCCAACUGCAGGGAAGCUGGAAUUGUUGAAAGCCAAUAAGGGAGUAUAGUCUAAAUAAAAGCCAAGUAAGACAUUCCCGAAAGACAACAAUCUCAGAAGUGGCAAGCAAGCAGAACACCUGAGAAAGCUUUAUCAAGAACUUCAACACAUCUGGACCUUGCAGAUUGUGAAAUGGGAAUCAUACACAUCACUUGUUCUGUGACUCCACCAGAAUCUGAUGUGAUAAAAUAAUACAAGACCCAGAAGAAAAUCAUCGACUGACACACAAAAUUGAAAAUACCUGCUGCUCCGGACACAAUGAAAUUACCAAUUAUGAACACGAGCUUAGCACUCCCACCUAGAACUGAUUUACCACUGGAAAAUACGCCUUGCAACAUGUCCAAUCCUUGAAAGGCAAACCCCUUUGCCUUCUCAACCAAAUCCUCCCUUGUGAUCAGUAAUUCCUUAAAAAUCGCAUCAACUUCCGUAUAAAUUUCCCACAAUCACAAUUAGUAACCCUCUUCUUCAAACUCAAAAGUUUCUCAGUGUAAAGGGGAUGGAGUCAUCAAAGCAGUGGACUUUGAAGAAGAAUUCAUUGUUUGAGUUGUUACAAAACGCCAAAUUCCAGCAACAAAUUGUGUCAUAUUAUACUGCAUUGCCAAACUAUCAAUGUGAUCAGAUACAGUAUCAUAAAAUUGUGUAGUGUCAAUUCUGAAAAUAGCCUACUCUAUGUUCAGCUUUCUCAAUUACAUCCAAUUUGUUCUGCUUUUCUGAAAAUAGGCCAUUUGAACUGGCGUUGAGAAUAAAAAUUCAAAUUAAACGCCAUUUUAAGUGGCGUUGGAAUGAUGUGAAUAAUUUCAGUGUCUAAUUUUGUUCUUAAUCAGAUUUUUUUGUUUAUCCGACUUUUUUUUGAAAAAAAAAUAUUUUUUAAAGAAUAUUUUGAAAUUUUGAUAAUUUAUUUUUUGUAUAAAGCAAAUUUGAAAAUAAAAAAUUUAACACCAUUUGAAAUGGCGUUGGAACAAUAUAUUUUUUUAUGAAGAUAAAGAAUAGAGCUUGAACGCCAUUUCAAAUGGCGUUGGAACUUUUUUUUUAUAAAGCAAAUGUGGAAUGGAAUAGAUGCACACAAGCAAAUGUGAACAGAGCUUGAACAGCACUUCAAAUGGUGUUGGAACAUUUUUUGUUUUUUUCUCAAUAAAGUAAAUGGCAGCUUUUCUGAUGCAGGAAAUGUAGAAUAGAGCUUGAAUGCCAUUUCAAAUGGCGUUGGAACAGCAUCACCAAACACAUAAAUGGAAUAUUGCAUCUUGCAAAACAAACACAUGAAUGUCAUUCCUUGCUUAAGCCUAUUGACAGAUAUUAACAAAAAAAUCCAAUUCAAGCCUCAAAAAUGCCUUAACUGCAUCAAAUUUAACUGAUAUUUUACUUUUUGGUAGACUUCUUCCUAGUUGAAUACGUUGCACUAUGGAGAUUCUUCAACGAUAUAGAUAAACUUCUUGCUUCCACUUGGUUGUGAUGCAUUGGUUGGAUGUGAUGUGAUGUGUUGGUUGUGAUACAUUGGUUGUGAACUUGUGAUGUGUUGGUUGGUUGUAAUGCAUUGGUUGGAUGUGAUUCUAAACUCGUGAUUUUUUUAAAAAAAAGUGAGUUUAAAUACUAAACUCGUGAGUGUCUGAUUUACAAAGAAAAGUGAGUUUUCCUUCUAAACUCUAAUGUGUGUGUUUUAAAAAAAAGUGAUUUUGGUUUCUUCUAAUGUGUGUUUUUCAAAGAAAAGUGAGUUUGGUUUCUAAACUCUAGUGUAUGUUUUCAAAAGAAAGUAAGUUUGGUUUCUAAAUUCUAGUGUGUUUUUCAAAAAAGUGAGUCUGUUUUCUAUACUUUAGUGUGUGUUUUCAAAAGAGUGAUUGUAAAAGGUGAAUUUUAAGUUUCAUCAAAAGUCCCUUUCAAGUAAUUAGUUUUUACCCUUUGAAUUUGAUUCAUUUUAGAAAGCCUUUAGUUUUGAAAAUCAUUUUUUAAUUACCCAAAGCAAAUAAAUGAGUUAGAGUCCAACUUAGGGCAUAGAAAUAAUCACAUUGGACGUUAUCACUAAAUUACACUAAUAAUCCACUAUUUAGGCUUUAAACUCCAUCUUAAGAGUUAAAGUCCACCCAAAUUAGGUUUAAGGCCCAUAAAUGAUAUACAAGCACGAUAGCCAUUUACAAUCCCAAUUUCACAUGUCCAUUAUUAUGGGAGGAAUGUCCUAAUUCCUCUAAAUUUGAAUUUAGAGGCCUUAAGUUUUCUAUUAAGCUCACAAUUUGCAUAAAUCUUACUCAAACUAAAAUGAUGGAAUUUAAUUUCAAGAUCCAUCAUUGGAAGAGUGCCACAAUUCUUCCAAAUAUGGAUUUGGAGCCCUUGGCACACAAACGAGGAAACGGCUCAAUCAAUGCAUUUGCAUGAAUUCUAAACACAUAUCCAACAUGGGUUACGUCUAAUUUUUAUGGAUAGAAGACCACAAACCUUAGAUUCACCUAGGACAUCACAAAAUUAUACUACAAAAUUUACCCAAGCAAUUUAAACACUAAGCAUAGUAAGAAAGUUUCACAUACUUCAAAUUGAUACCCAAUUCACAUAUAAGAAUUAAAAUAGAGAUAAUGUUGUAGAAAAAAUAGAGAUACCCAAUUCUCUAUAUGCAUGAAAUGAAGGAACAAAUGAAUAUAUAUGUUGAAAACUAGAUGUGUCCCGUGCCUCCGGCACUGUAUGGACGGUGAGAUUUAUCCCAAACUUUGGAUGGCCCAGAUGAUUUAUUGAGUGAGCGGGAAAUUCAAAAUCAUUUGUAUUUUAUUAGAUAGAUUUUAUCCCGGGGCCGCAUAUAAGGCCGCGGCUAGGCCAAGCUAUCAUUUGGCGCACGGCUUUGGGUGUGGAAAUUUAGGACAGACACGUGGAUUGGUUUGAUGUCUUUUUUCUCUCCUAAACCCCUUGGUUUUCUUGAUUUUGUUGUUUAGAACCUGAAAUUCUAUUUUUUCACAAUUUUCUCACUUUUGGGUGAUUUUUAUUAUUUUUGAGCAUGAGAUAAAAAUUUUGAUCGUCUAUAUAUAUAUAUAUAUAUAUAUAUAUAUAUGUUCACAUUAUAAUUUCAAUAGUAGGAUUUGACAAAUUGACCUGAAAAAAUUCAAAUGAAACUAUUUUUGUUUUUGGAAUAGAGACUAUUAACAAUCUCACAAGGUAUCUCUUUUUGUGGUACGGUGAGAGUUUGUGAGAACAUGAACAGCCAGGGAUGGUUAUCAAUUUAUUGUUAAGCUUUUCAAUAUGGAAAAGAGAUUUUAUCAAUAUGACCAGUUUACUUAUCUUAAUAAAAAGAGUUAAUGUCAAACUAUUAAGGGACGCUGUCAAGGAACACUCGAGACCAAAUAAUAGGUUAUAAGCUUGUAGCAGACUAGCCAUGCAGAUUAAGUAUGUGAUUCAAUCCAUCUUUAAGAAAACUCAAAACAGCAACACACUGCCACAUUGAAUACAUAGAUUCCUUCCAAUACCCCUAGAUUGAGCAUAGAAGGCCUACAACAUUUGUUUUUAAGCUCUGCCUCAAUAUUUGAUGAAUUUUGAAAUGUAAAAAAGCCUAGACAGUAUUUUUCAAGUUCCACGUAGGGCACGGACACGAACCUGAAUUUGUUUCCUCUCCCAAUCCGCUACAUCCUUAAAAGCAUGUUCUGGAAGAUUUUCAAAAGGCUCCUUCCAAGGAUCAUUUUUAGCUAAAUCAUAUGUAGCUCCCCUCAGUGCUUUUUUAUUGGGUCCACAAGGUCUCUUUGAGGUAAAUAUACUGUAUGUCGUGUUCAACUGCUCCGAUAAAUAAAAACCAGAAAAGUAAGAGACUCGUAGUUUUGCUGCAAAUUUUCAGGACAUGGCAACAAUGGAUUUAAAAAAUGAGAUUAGGGCUGAUACUGAAGUGAAGAUUUGAGGACUUACAUCCAUGUCACAGAACCAGAACAUGUAAGCAAUUGCAACAGCAGGAGCCCUACCUAAUCCAGCGGUACAAUGUACUUAUACUCUUCCUUUGCCCUCUGAAAUGGCCCAAUCUAGUGAGGAGACAGCUUUUGGUAAUCCAAAUCUCAAGGAAUCAGGAUCAAAAUCUCUUGCCUUUCAACACAUACGAUAAAUCAGGGAAUGUAAAGCAACAGUAAUAACCUUAAUUAUUCUUUUUGAUACUCAAAAAAGUUGAGGUGAAGGGAAACAAAAAGGAAAGUAAAUUUAGAGAAAAACAGAAGAGGGAAUUGAUAUUUCCGCAAAUGAAAAUGUUAGUUCCACAAGCUUCUACUCACAUGAAUAGUGAGGUCCACCCUUAUGCGAGAGAGAACUUUGUGGGGAACUAACAUUUUCACUUGAGGAAAUAUUAAUUCCCCCCCAAAAAAACUUUUUUUACUGGAUAUAAGUUCACCCAUGUAUAAUGAUGAAAGUAAGUGUAACGAAUUGUUUUCAUUCUCCUUUUCUUUUCUUUCCCCCACACAGUUCCCAAGUUCCAAAUAAAGCAUUAGUACGUUUUCUACCAGUCAAUUCACUAGUAUCCAUGAGUCCUUUAUAUGUUGGAAGUUUAUUGAACUUCUCUACACAGAUAUGUUGCUAUCUGCAUCCAGAAAAAUCCAAAACUUGGCAUACAGAACAUGAAAAACUAGCUAUGCAUACACCAUGUUUUUUAGCAAUUGUGAAAGGAUUGUGUAGUUUUGCUUAUACAUUGUUAUAGCAGCCUAGUUUACAAACAUGAAAACCAGCUAUAUUGUUUACAGCAGUUCGAUUUACAAACCUACACUUGCAUCUUAAGAUAGACAAGGCAUUAGACAUAACAACUCGCAAGAUCUGAAAUCUCAGAAAAUUAAAUACUCUUAUGUUUGUGAAUUACUACAACGAUAGUAGAAAUAUGUUAUCAUGUUCAAGUUUUGUAUGUUUGAGUAAUAAUAAAAAUAGAGUAAAACAAUGAAGGUUGCAAAGAUAUGUGAUAGUGAUAAUCAUUUGAAGGCAUAAUACACUAUUUGUGGGGCAAUUUAACAAUAAUAAGGGUGUAGUGCUUAUUUAACUACCUCCAUUCCAAAAUAUAAGAUCCUUAUUGACAUUUUGAAGUCAACGAAAGACAUUUUCAAACUGAAAAUUGACAUAGAUUCCUUUCAUUUAAGCCAAUACAAUGACGAAUAUUGUAAAUUAUCUCAAAAGUACUACUCAUCGUAAGAUUUAUUAUUUUAUAAUUUUUAAUGAAUCAUCUCUAUUUUGAGUUUAAAAAUAUCUCAAAUUGACUUUCAAAAGUAUAACAAUCCUAUAAUUUGAAAUGGAGUACUUAUAAGUUACUUCAUAACCUCCUUCCACGUGAAAUGGUUGGUACUAAAAAAAAGAUCUGCUUACAGGCCUUCUCAUGUGACGUAUUCCUGCUCUUUGACAGCUUUUUAUUAUAGACGGUAGAUCUAUUCCCCAAUAUUCAAUGUCUUUGUCCUGCUGCAAGUUAAGAAUGUAGGCCACAUUCUCUUCCUCUUUUAGAUGAUCUAUGUCUUCACCUUUCUGAGGCUGAGAGCCCACAAUCAUUUAUUCAGUUAUCAAUGAAUAGUUCAUGCCUGAAUCAAGGAUUAUACUGUUUAGAAUUUAGAUCAUAUAAAGAAGUAAAAAUCAUCACCACAAGGUUUUGCGAAUGUGGUACACAAAAAAUGAGUUCUGCAUAGAAUGAACCAAAUAAGAAAAGUGGUGGAUCCAUAUGAUACUUUCGACUAAUCAAAUGAUAUAGGACAACACACAAAAAUAACUAGGGUUUAGAUUCCGCACCUAAACAAUAGGAUCCCUUGGUUACCAAGAUUUGAUGGAUGCCAAUCUCCCUAGACGUACGAUGGUUUGAGGUCACUCUGCUGAGAUUACUCGUGCACGAGAGAGAAGAUUGAUCGCAAUCAAAAUCUAAAUUUUAUAAAAUCUCAAAAUGAAUAAUACGUCCCGUAGAACAAUUAAGCUUGGCCUCAUAUUACUGCACCGUAGCAUACAAGGUUGUCUAUUGACCACCAAUUUUUGAGUUGGGAUAUGACAGUAUGAACAUAAUUUUGUGAUGCUCUGGUUUAUAUUCCUAUGAUAAUGUACAUGAAGGAAAGAUCAAACUUAUAGUAUAAAAAAAGAUGAAGGAAUAGUACACUAUUUCAGGGGAAUGGGCGCGUGGACACUUAAUAGGCACAGUGACGAUAGUGUUGGGGAGCGCAGACACUAGCACGCCCAGUGCCGCUUGACCUACUAGUGCAUAUGAUCCUCAUCGCCAGGACCACUAGCACCCAUAUACUCACACGCCCUUGAAAUCGCGCCCCCUAUUCACGCUCUCGUCCUCACACAUGCGCGACACUCAAUAUCUCUGUCCGUACUUGAGCCCAGUACCCUUUAACUAUCAUACCCACGUGUGCAUGCUCUGUGCCCUAUUAAUUGCACCAAUUUUGCUUAUAAUGACUUUUGUCAUAGCAUUUGCACGCCUACGCACGCAUGUCCUCGAACGCCUAAUAACCGCGAUAGGGAUUGGGUGCCACAGUAUGCAUUUCCACGCAGACAUUUAGCCGUAUAACCUAAUCGUCCUUUGCCUUGUUGCCCGAAGUACCAACACUAUUGCUCACCCGCACUAGUGUGCCCAACCUAACCGCGUACCCAACGCCUAGGUUGAAAUAUAUUCAUUCUAAUAUCCUUUGAUUGUAAAAAAAUAUUUGUGAUUAAUAAAAUAGAUCAUUGUAUCGAGUAAAUUUAAUCCAUUCAAACAUGUAUCAAGGAUUUACUCACUAUUUGACUACCUAAUAGAGUUGUGUUUGUAAUUCCAGUUGUUUUAAAUGAAACACGUUUAGUGUUGAGAUGCUUUUUUUUUUUGAGGAAUGUAGAGAUAUUUAGUUCCAUAUGAACCUCUUAAUUUUCUAAAGGAUAUAUACGUAUAUUUAUGACUGAAAUUCUACUGUAAUAUAUACGUAUAUUUUCUCAAAUAUUUUGCAGAUUUUUGAAAUAGUAUUUGUGCACUUAAAAGCCCUUCAGCAGACUUAUGAAGCAUUCUAGGGAAUGCAAAACAGCACUGCCAGCGAAAUUAGAAGGUGUUGGAGGACCUCUAUUAACAAAGUCUUGAUGAAGCACCUCACAACUCUUUACAACCAUUGUAUUGCCAGACAAUCAUCCAUAGAGGAAGAAGGUAUGCAAACUAAAGUGAACACUAAGACCAUAAAAAGAACGUCACAAUCAGAGAAAUUCAUAAUGGAAUAAGAAUAAACAAACAAUCAAAAACAUACCAGAAGUGGCAAAAUGGUCCAAUGAAGCCAAGACCGCAACCUGCUUUCACCUAAUUUUAAAUUCUUCAUCUACAUGUUGAAAUGCAAAACAGAAACAUUAAUCCACUGAAGCACAUACUUUCACAAAAAUGUUUUGUCAAAUAGUUUAACAAGAACUUCAGUUUACAUCAGGAAACAUUAAAAGGCCAACACUAGCCUUGCAUCUAACAGAAGAUUAAUAAGUUAAAAGUUUUUUUUUGGGGGGUUGGAGGGGGGUAUGUGGUGUUAAAAUUCAAGAAACUCAACUAGUUAUGUAGGACAAGAUAUUGAUCAACUACUGACUUUUUUUUAAUCAUUAUGAUUUGUUACAUUUAUUAGAAUAUGACCUUCUGUAAACUCCCAACUAAUACAUUAAAAUGCACAUACGCACAUCCUGCUAAGACAAAGUAAUAAAAAAUAUAUCAAACCUUUUCAUUUUCAUAUGUGAUUAUACCUAUGUCUCCUUGAUUUCUUUAUAGGGACAUGAAUGAUAUAUAAAUUGGAAUAUAAGAUUCACUCCAUAUAUUAUGAAGGACUGCAUGUGUAUAAGAUACAUCAGAGGGAUAAUACUGAAAUCAAGGUCAUGUUAAUAGAAGUCUCACUCGGGUCUCCAGCUGUAACAAGAUAAAGCAAAAUAAACAUCCAAGUCUACUUGUAGUGAUCACAACUAAUUAAAAACACUCUUGAUGUUCUGUGAAAGAUUAUUUCAUUCAUGCACUCCAAUAAAGAUGAAUUAUUGCAAAGGUUGGAUAUAAUGAGACCCGAAACAAUAAGAACAACCAUUCAUGGCAACAUUUAAUAGCAAGAGAGAACAUAAAGAAAAUUAACCAGAUAUGUUAGGAUAAUUAAAGUCGCCAAACAAAAUUGGCCAGCAAGCUGGGUGUAGUAGUUAUAGCCAAAAGCCAUAUUUGAGCUGACCCAUUAAUAAUUGUUUUAAUUUUUCUAAACAGGAGAAUAAUGGAGUACAUAGCAAUUGAUUCAGGAAAGGAAACUUGUUGGAAAAAAAAUGAGCUGGUUCAUGCUUAAAGUCUUAAAGAAAGAAGACAAAUAUGUAGGAUGACAUGAUAGAUUAUAUAUUAAUUUAGUUCCAUACUUCAAAGUUCAAACUGAAUAUACUAAGAAGAUGAACAAGUGGAAGAACUAAGAAGAUGCAUAGACAUUAGUGCACAUAAUUUACGGUAGGCAGUAUGCAUAGUAUAAAACAACAAAACAAAACAAAAAAAUCAAAACAUAAAACCCUGAACCAACAAAACAUCUGUCAUGGCAAACUGUACAAUGCAAGUUAUCUCCUUGGCUACAAAAAAUCACAAGAGACGCUAAUAAAGAAAUCACAAAAUAAGAAUACAAUAAAAUGAAAAACAAUAAAUUACCACCGAGAAUCCCCAUUAAAUCAACAAGUUCCUCCACUUCACCGCGUUUAAUAAUCCGGCAACAUUCUCUCCCAAACGCCUCUUUUGCAGCCCCGUCAAACAACUCCAAAUUACCAAUCCCUAGCUUCUGAGCACCACUCAACGCAUCCACCAGUCUCCUAAUCUCUUCUUUUUCUACCAUUUAAACAACUCCCAUCGAAACAAGCUCGGAGUUGAGAAAAGCCACGAAUUGGGAGGAUUUUACGCUUCUCCCGGAAGAAAGCUAGAAGAAACCGCGCGAAAAAUGGCAAAGAACAGCGGGAAACGGUCAUGUACCGGACGGAACCCAUAUAACCUGAGGGAACCUGAAAAUCCGUCCAUUAAUGGGGCUCCGACCCGUAACUGUACGAACUGUAAAAUCAUCAAACCCUAACUGUACGCACUGUACACCUGUUCCGAACAGCAGGGGAGGAAUAACCGCAGGGAUAGAUAAGCGGAGCGUGAAGGCGCGUCGAAGCUCCGAUUUGGUCGAGCUUCCUCCAGCCAAAAAGCCCCGAUCGACUCUGACCAGCUUCGAUUACAUGACACUCGAGUACAUCUACCACUACCAGUCAAGAUGGAGAAGCCACGUGAACUCGGGCUUCUUUACUUGGUGUCCGCAUGUGGCUGCUGGUAGUAUUCGGAUUGCAGAAAGAGUGAGGGAAAGAGAGGAAGAAGAAAAGAAAAUUUAGAAAGAAAAAUGGAGUCCUCUAUAUGAUAGAGAAAAAUGUGAAUAGCAAACAAAGCUCUCGAUUAUCUAUUCUUUAAUACUCCAUAAAAGGUUAAGAGUAAGAACACUCUGAGUAGAGCUGGAUAUCACUCAACUCAUUAAUAGGAAUAUGUAAUUUUUAAUUCAAACGAUAUCUCCUAAUAUUAUAAUGGGGGAGAGUUAGAAAAAAACAGUACAUCUCUUGAAGUUAUGCAACACAGUCUAAAAAAAAUAUUAUAAUUUUUCCUCACUCAUUUCUAAAUUAUCUCCCCACUAAUUAGCUUGUAAUUUUUUACUUGCACACACAAGUACGGACCGGUAUAAAUAAUGAAUAUUAUAAUAUUGGCCCAAAACGAAAAAAAGAAGAAGAGGAAAUGUCCAAAAAUGAGACAAAAUUAAUACUAUAAAUUUUGAGCAGAAAAAUUAAUAAUCAAGUAAAUAAAUACAAGUAGGAAGGAAAGAACUGAGAUGAAAUGAUCAAAUGAAACAGCGGUCGAAUGCUCUACAAGAAUGGAUGCUGAUUUUUUUUUUGUUGAAAAAAUUCAUCUCAUAUAUAUAUAUAUAUAUAUAUGUGUGUGUGUGUGUGUUAAGCUAAUACUCUUAUAUUUUUAUUUCAUAGUGAUUUGAUGAUUAAAAAAUGAAUACUUAAUCAACUAAAAACAAUUUGACAAGUUAUUUGUAAGUCUCGAGUAGAGUACGGGGGAGGGGUGAAAAUAAUCCCAAGUCGAUUCGAACACCCUAAUACUCAAACUCGACUCGAAUUCAAACUUAUAAUUUUCAAGGAUGAUCAAGUUCGACUCGAUAAAUUACUCGAUACUACUUGACUCAGAGUUACUCAACUUGUUUAUUCGCAAGCCUUUCUAUUCGAGCUCAAGUCUGAGAUGGAUUACACCAAAAUGAGACAUAAAAAUAAAAACUUAGAAAAACUUCAAUUUCAUUUAUAUAUAAAAAUACACAUGUUACAAAAAUUACAAUAAUAAAUUUACAAUAUUAAUCAUACUAUGAUACAAUUUCUAAUAACAUCAUUACAUUUAUCCGAUCUCGUACAUACACAUCCCCUCGCUUUAUUUCCAUCGGUAUUUGCAAGAGCUAUUUAUACUUUAUAGUUUAUACAUUUAUCCAAUCUUUGUAUAUAUGCAGAAAGUGACUAGUUGAGUAGAGGUUCAACCAAAGAGCCUAAAACAAGAAUGAAGACAGAAGAAGAGAAGUGAUUUACAAGGAUGAACACAUCUUCUAACAAGUCUAAUUCCUUCUUCACCAGUUUUUGAAGAUGUAUCAUCCAUUUGCAGUAUAUGGCAAGUCAGAAAGCCAUAUGCGAUGUCUGUAAAUGCUGCUCCACAAAUCACAAUGGGUCCUGCAAAAGUGUAGAGUUCAAAAAUUGAAAAUAUAUAUCUAUUAUGCAAUUACCACAAAUAUCAACAAAACAAAAUUAUAUAUAUCACCGAAAAUCAUAUAUCUUGCAUUCUUGCGACUUUUGUUGCGAGUAUACACAAAUAGAUUAUCCAAUCUGCACUUAUUUUCAUGUGUCAUUGUAUAUGCAGGUCGUAGUAAACAGGACCAUAGGAACAUAAAUAAGCUCAUGACCAAUUUAUGUUACUAUUAACAUACCUGGACCAAGAUUAUAUAUGUGGUGGGUAACCACAUCGAACUUGGGUGUUUUGCCAAUAAAUUCUUUGAACCAAUUUGCAUAAAAAAUCCUCCUGGUGUUAUGAUUUGCGACUGAAAUUCUUCACCCUUACAGAUAUCUUGCACUAUCUUUUGUAGAGAGAUUGUGUCCGAGGAGUAUUGAUCUGCUGCAACUCUACCCGUACUCCACUUCCACACAAUUCAUUUCCUGAAAUGAUAUGAGAUAAUGUUAAUAAUUGUAUUUGCAUGUUUCUGAGUAUAAUCUUCCUAUAAGUUUGCAGCACUUACCUACCUCCCACCCAUGGAUAGUGUAAUUCUUUUUGACAGUAAAUUGUACAAAAGAUUCCGCGUUUGUGGAAUCCCAUGCUGCAACAGCAGAGCUAUUAGACCUUAUGGUUUUUCCAUUGAGAGCAUUCAAUUCAAAAAUAAUCACAGCCCUAAAUUUGAAAAACGAGAUUGUAAGUCAUUUUUCUUGCAGCUAUGAAGUUCAAGGUAAAUGAAAAAUUGGUUGGAAUUCCUUUUUUACCGAUAUUUAUUGAAGAAGGUGUUUAGUUCAUCCCAUCUGUACAAGGGUAGGCAGCCCCGAGUGAAACCAAACAACUCUGAGGUGUUUUUAGUAAAUGGGGUGCAGGGUUGCUUCUUCAGUAUCGUAGAUGACUUUGUCUUGUAAAGUACCACCUAAUCUAAUCUUUAAUGGUGAAAAAGCUGCAUAAUUACUUGAAUCAGUUACUUUAAGGCACCGAUUAUUCAUCAUCAGCAAUAUAAAAGAACUGAAAAUCAAGUUAAAAUAUGUCAUCAAUACUCAAAGUAUUUAAAGACGAUUUUACCUUUAAUGCCAUUUAAGAAAAUCUCAUUCUUAAAAUCCUGCAAAAAAAAAAAGAAAAAAGGAAGAACCACCAAAUUUAUACAUAAUGAGUUAUGAUUACAAUAUUUAGUUGUUAUUGUUGUUGAAAAUUUACCAAUUCUCUUGCACAAUGAGCAUAAGCACGUAUUUUCUUUAUUCCGGAGAAGCUUGUGGACAAAACUUUUCUUCCCAUCAGUCUGUGCCAAAGAAGAGCACUGCAAGAAAGAAAGCAUAUCAAACACACAGCCUUAAACAUGAAUUGUUCUGCACCUGGGAACAAAAUGGAUGCCUCUUAUAUGUACAUUUAUCUAUUUAUCUGUUUAUAUAUACACAUUGGGAGUCAUUAGAUAGAGGAAAGCAAAGAGAAAUAGAACGUAAAAAAAUGGCAAGAAGACAUCAUAAUGUAGAGGUGUAAGCUUGCUUGCUUAUAGAAGACAGCAGAAUUGCUUAAUUUGAAAGUGAAGACGAAAAGUUACUAUCACUAGGAAAUAAUGCAUUUGAAGCAACUUAGCCAAAAUUGGAUAGUCAAUUCCACAAAAGGAAUUCACAAAUUUAUAGUUCUUUUUUUCAUUAGGCAUUGACUGAAAAAAUUCUAAUCACCUAUAGUAAUCUGGAUUUGGUACAAAGGUAGUAGUGUUGAGUAAACCAUAGUUUCCACCUAUCAGUGAUUGUCUGCAGUAUGUCUUGGUACCAUAAGUCGCUGACAUGCCAAGCUGAUCCAAGUACCUAAAAUAUAAUGUCCAGGACAACAUUACCCGACGAACCAUUAGAGUUCCAACUCGAGCAACUAUCAUUUUUAACCACCACUUUUGGGGGAGGUUGUCUGCAAAACAACGUUAAAAAAAGAAGAGGGAGUUAGAGAAACAAAACAAGGAAAAUGAAUGUGAGUUCACCAGAAAUUUAAGAACCAAUUAGUUGAGCAAGUUCAUAUACCUUCUUGGAAGGCAUCUCACUUUCUGUUUUUUAUGAGAUCCAGAUACCUCAUUUGGCAGUUUCAAAGAGGCAAGAAGAGGGUAUAGCCUGACAAAGUUAUCCUGUAGCAAGAAAACAAAAUCAAAGUUGCAAUAUAUGGGGCAAAGCUCAAACAUAGUUUAGAAAAUGACUAAAGAUGUUCAAUGUUUUCUAUGCCUUAUCUAAGUAUUCAGGAAAUCUCAGAACAAAGCAUUACUGUUGCAAAAAAGAAGCUAAACUGCAUAUACAUAUAUACUGAUUAAACCAAGAUUUUGAGCAAAUAUAAUACCCAUUGUUGAUACCAACAAUAAAUUCACGGCGAAAAAUAUUUUCAAUUAAUACCCCAAAAAAUUAGUCAAAUAUUUGAAGUAUUCCUUAACGAACACCAAAAACAUAAUAAACUACUUAUUUAUUGUCUUCUUGCAACCCUUAAUCACCACUUCCUUGCAACCUUCAGUUAUUGCUUUUUGGUUCCCCACUCCCGCAAACUACACAUCAGGUUAUGUGAAUAUAAAUUAGAGAUGACAUUCAAUUAAAAAAAUGCACUGUAAUGAUAAAAUUACAUUACUUGUUUAGAUGUAGCAGAUGAUGACUCAUUUGGAUUCAAGUUAUACACCCUCGUUGGUGGUGGCUCAUUUGGAAUCUACACAAAUUCAUUUAAAAUUGUAAUCAAGGACAAGCAAGUGAAAACAAUGGUAAAUAUAAUUAUAAUUAGUAAUAUUACCCUUGUACAUGUAGCUGAUGUAGCUCUAGGAAGAACCCAUGAUCCCUUUGUGCCCCCAAUAAGUAAGCCAUAUGAUUUAAGUCAAUCAUUGUUGUAGUCUCAAAGUUGCAAUAAUCAAUAUAACUCACUUUGCCUCUUAUGUAUUCAAUCUCAUCCUUAGAAAAUUGACCUGAUGCAAUUUUAUUGUGAAGCAACUGUUGAGCAUUAAUUGACCUUCAAGACAAUAUUAAACUAUAAUUAGGGAACACAAUAUAAUAUAACAUUAUACAAAUAGAGAGGGCUGUCAACAUAUGAUAACAAAUGUACAGAAAUUAACUAUGUACAUUUGUUAUCAGAUUAGUAUGUGUGUGUUGAGUUACUUUAACAAGUCCACAAUUUGUAUGUAUGUAUGUAUGUUUAAACAAUGUGUUAAUUGCUAAAAACUGCGUUAUUGCUAAAAAUAUUAAAACAAGUUAUUCAUAAGAAGAAAAUAAAUGAUGGAAAAGCUUGGAACCGGUAAAGAACUAAAGAUAGCAGAGAAGAUCAAUAAAAUUUUAUGAUUCUUUCUUUCUCACUCCUUUUAUGUUAUAUAUGAAUAUAAAAAAUUAAUGAAACAUGAACAUGGGAGGGAGACGGACAGAUAUACAUUAGAAGUACCCUAAAAAAACUCAACUUUUGUUCAUUCUGUUUCUUUUGACAAAUUACAGACGGAAAAAGAAAGCGAGAAAUGAAGUAGUAUAUUUUUAGGUGAUUAAUAUUUACUAAAAUGGCCAAUGGGUGUUUUACUGCCAAAAAGUGGAGAAUCUUCCCAUAGUGAACAUCAAAGAAUGUGUUAAAUCUAAUUUAAAAAUGAAAACUAUUAUUUCCACAUGAGACUCUCACAUGGAAGUGAGACCCACUCACUAUUCAUGUGAGAGGGAUCAUGUGGAAAUAUCAGUUCCCUUUAAGAAUUAAGACACAUAUAAAGGUCCUUUUUUGGGAAGUGAUGCUACUAGUACUAAUGAAGAAGGAAAGAGCAUGGAGAAGUGUGGUCGGUGCCAAAAAACACGAGGGAGGGACACGGAAUAAUAUAUUGGUGAAUAAUGAAAGGCCUUGAGCACCAAUUUGAAAUUUGAAAUUUUGGGUAAACUUAUAUACUCCUAUCCCUUUACUCAUCUCCCUUUAAUUUUGAAAUUUUGAAUAAAUUUAUCGUAUCUUAAAUUUUUUAGAGUUCCGUUAUUUUCAUUGCAAUUUCGUUACUUUUCUUACAAUUCCGUCACAUUAUUGCAUAGAAUGCACAUUAAAACAGAUUCAUAAGAAUUUUAUAUAAAAAUGAAAUUUUGCAUGUAACACAUAACAAUAAGUUCUGAAAAACUUGCCUUAAAUGUCCUGUAUAACUUCGCGCUAAUGCGCCCUUCCAACGUCUUGAAUAGCUUAUAGCUUGCUCAAAAGUAAAAAACAUCUCAAGAAUUAUUGAAUAGGGGAUGAAUCGACUCGUGUCAAUUAAAUGGAUUACAGGAAGGCAGGAGUCUAUUAUUAUCUUUCAUGAUGAAUCUCAGAACACUUAUCAAGUAUAGUCUAGCCGAACUCGAAUAACAUAGGUUGUCAAUAUAAAUUCACGAAUCAAAAGAAACUUCAAUAAUAUUUAGAUAAUGAAUUCAUAAGGGAAUUAUAAAUUAAAGAUACAAAUUAAUCAUUUCAAGCUUGAAAAGGAACUUUGAUCCAAGAUUUCUCCUCAAAGAAGAAAGUUAGUAUACUCGCAAUAAGGCUUGUCAUUGAAUAAAGUUUUUCAACCAGAUGUUAAUUAUGGAUGAAAGUUGAAAUACUUAUUUUCUUGGUGCAAAACUAUUGAUUCUAUGCGAUUACGUGAAUCCGAAACGUUAUGUUCUUGAAAAGCACCUAUUUUACACACAUAAGGUCAUUACUAGAUAUAAUACAACCAUUAUAUUUCACAAAUUCCUUUUAAACUUGUGUUUUUUUGUAAUAUUUAAACAACUCACUUUAAUUACUAUAUUUCUUAAAUUUAUUCCUAAUAUUACAUACUAAUUAUAAUUAAUAUAUCAAGUUAUAUGCAUUUAUCAAUUUGCUUCCACAUUACAUGAACUAACUGUCAAGAUGACUACAACAGAAGCAAAACAUUCAACAAGCAGGCUAGGCCAGGUCGUGCUGCAGCAGCUACCCAGCAUUGCCCUGCAACCGAGCCUCAACAGCUCUCCUUUGCUAAUUUCUAUCUUACAACUCACAUCAUUAAAUGCAACCAAACCUUUAACAAGUUAUAAUAGGCAUGGCGUAGUAUUUUUAAAAAUUGUAACUCAGCUGAAAUGGACACUCUAAGACAGGCAAAUCAGGUGCCAAAGCUGCCCAGUUGAUACUGUUCAGCGCAGCGCACGGCUGCUGGUGCUGCUACUGCUCCAAUGCCAAGUUGCUAGUUUUGUUAUUUUAUAAUUCGCAAACCAUAGAUCCAAUCAAAGUCAAUUUCUAAUAUGCUAUAACUGGUAUAGCAAGCUAUUUUUAGAAAAUAUAAAAUAGCUAAAAUGAUCAGUUUAGAUGGAUUUUAGGGAGUUCUGAAACUGCUCUGUAGAAACAGUUUCGAAGCUAUGCACCAAUAUGACUUUUACUUUAAAACAGACUUCCAGCCACACUUGGCUUAUGAAAAACAUUCCAUGUAUACUCUAUAACAUAUAUGAAGUAUACCUUACUCACGACAGUACCUCAAUUGCUUAUAUUGGUCUUAACAGUUCUAUGAAGCAUACAAUCAAACAUGUCAUAGGCACAAGCUUUAUGGACAGACUUCAUAAACCUUUGCACAUGUUUUAAACUACAUUCUCCUCCCUUAUUUCUCCGCACAACAACAACUAAACUCCAUCUAACAUACAACCCAAUUAGCACAGUUAUAAUACUCUAAAUUUUAUAUAAAACAGUUAAUUUUUGCUUCAAAAAUCAAGAUUUUAAACUUACCUUGCUUUAACAGUAUAAUAAGCUGAAAUUGACACUUAUGAUUCAGCUAGAACCCUUUCUUUUUGCUGCCCUGCUAUCCAAAUUAUCCAGCUCAGUUUACAUUUAAACUAUCUUGCUCCAUUCCUUGCUCAAUUUGCUAGUUUAGUCGACAAAGAAGAGAAGUUUUGAUAGAAUUUUGGGGUGCAUAAAUUCGGUUAUCAAGAGGGAGAAGAAAUAGAUUUGAGAUGGAAGGAGAACACUUGUGCUUGGCAAGUUCAGAGGAUUUAGGAUGCAAUGAACAGAACAGAGUUUUUUUUUAUCUCAAUCAUUGCUUAAUGCACUGUUAGUACAUUACUUUCUUGCCAACUCAUGCUUUAUAUUGGCUUAGUGGCUUAGUUAUUCUCCCUAAGAACGACGGCAAAACCUUAAUAAGUAGCAGGAAACCGCGAACAAGGAGCAAAACUUUUAGUCAUACUCUUUAAGUAAAUGCUCUUUAAGAUAAUAAAAUAUUUCUACUCAGAUUGUGUUAUAAGAGGUUAAAUUCCAAUUUAUCCUUCAUGAAGUGUGAGAAUAUCAAUUUUAAUGUCAGAUCAUACCCUCAUGAAGUGGAUAACAUCCAACAAGACUUGAAUCAUGUCUCAGUAUCCUAAUGGCACCCUUGAUAUCGAGUUAACGCAUUACUCUGCAAAGUGCUUCGAGCUCACACGCAACAUAAAACAAGAAUCACGUUAUGGCUAGAGGUCUUUGAUGCUAUUAGUUAAUCAUGUGGUGUUCAUGUUGAUUCAUAUUUAUCUGAUCAUGUCGUAUUUGAUAUGAACCAGCAUUACAUGACACGAUUGACAACCCUACUAACAGCCUCAAUAUUAAUGAUAGGAAAUUAUUAGAAGAAAACGGAGCAUAGACUUCAUACCAACAGCCUGACCCUGAACUUAACUGAGUAAGAUAGUGAUCCAAUAGCAAGACAACAGGAGCACAAGUUUCGAAACAUAGUUGAUUGAAAAUGUUUUCAGGUCAUAAUAUAAGACGACCGUCAAGACUAAGCUACAAGGUGUCCAGGGAAAAGGUGACAAGCAACGUGGAGCUAAUUUUAGUCUCCAGGCAGAAGCUGAAGACUGUUAAUAUCUUGGGCAGACAACGGUCAAAGCGAGCCCUUUCUGAAUUCUUUAAAUUAAUCAAAUCUCCCCAAGUAGACUAACAAAAAUUUGAUGGCUCGACAUUACAAGAGAUAGAAAAAAAUCUUGUUAUAAGAACCUGAUAAAAUAUUUCUUAUUUUAAUCUUCUUCCAUUAUCGCCAAAUUUUUUUUAAACUCACUUUUCUUCCGCUCUAUUUUUAUUUAUUUCUUAUAUAUAUAUAUAUAUAUAUAUAUAUAUGUAUAUAUAUGUAUAUAUAUAUAUAUAUAUAUAUAUGUAUAUGUAUAAACCAGGGUAAGUAAAAAAUGUAUCAAAAUUGCUCAUGAUAUGAUCCUGUUCAGUGUGAUUUGGUCUCUCAAUAAACAUCUAUUUCUUCAAUUGUGUUUGUUUCACAUACGCAAGUUUCUGUAGGAAGUCUAUAACUGUAUCCCAGGAAUGUCAAGCUGGAUAGUUUAAUGAAUUAUUCUGGUUUGUCAAAAAGAAAAAAGAAACAAAUAAGAUAAUGGAGCAUGUAAAAGGCUGUUUUAAAUACUCGCCAUCCUUAAAGAAAGGUUCAAUAACCAAUUUCUCGAUAUACCCGUGCCACAAAAUCUGGCAAUCCAUGCCCAACCUUCUUCAAUUCCAUGCAGGUUACGAAAACCCUCAACUUCAGUCUGAAAAAAGACAAUAAUUUUCCUGUCACUUGUGAUCCUUCAAACUAGAAAAGAGCAUGGAAUAACUUUUUUUUUUCCUUUUUUUUUGACAGGUAGAAUGUACAAUAACUUAAUCUUAUAAAACUAAAUAUUUGUUUUCCAUGGCUGCUAAAAUCCUGCACAACACACAAAUCGUCAGUUACUGAUCAUGAUAUAAUCCCUCGUGUUAAAAUACAUAUUUACGUAGGUAGUUUACAUGACAAAAUGAAGAUCAAAUGAAAAUAACCACUACCACUACUAGCUAAAGAAUAAGUUUAGAACAUCCAAAAAGAAUCACAUAACCUACUAUACAUAGUUUAAACUAAAAAUCUUAAAAUUUUUAUUAAAAAAAUAGAAGAAAUAAUCUCCAAAAUCUGAGAUUAGUUUAU
This 154434-nucleotide long non-coding RNA is filed under the name Panax ginseng (ginseng). RNAcentral describes it as "long non-coding RNA (PGIN_LNC005063)". The record is from RNAcentral. Lineage: Eukaryota; Viridiplantae; Streptophyta; Magnoliopsida; Apiales; Araliaceae.